AAGAUUUUGAAAUGAUCAUUAUUACUGUGCUUUUCAAUACAUUGAUGGCUAUGUAAGUAUUAUAACAUGUCAUUUUAUAUGUUUUUCAAUUGAAAUAUUGCUUAAAGUAAGAGAAAUGUUGAAGCAGUUAUGUAGUUGUUUUAGAACAAAAAAAUAAUCGGGCAUGAUAAACUCCUGUAUACAUUUACUCUUUAUUCAAUAAUGAUAUGAUGUUGAUAGGUUAAUGCUGACAUUAAAGGCUGGAUUCUAUCAUCAGAGUAUUUCUUGUAUAUAAAUAGUAAUUUUGCAAUUAAUGCCUUAAUGCUGGCAUAGUAUAAUAGGACAUUUAGGACUUCCAUUUGGACUCCCCUGCUCUAAAUCGCAAGAUCAUUUUAGAAGGAUACUUAUCACCUCUUGUUUGUGUCCUGAGGUUAUUUGGUAUAAAGUAACUGUGUCAUUUGUUUUGUUUGCUCACUGUACAACACCGUGGAAUAAGCUGAUACAUGUAAUUAUAAAACCAACAAAUAUAAAAUAUAAGUAAGGUAUAAUAUUUACAAGGAAAUUCACCUCCAGGAAAUAAACAUAGUUUGCAGUUGCACUUUUUUAUUUGCUAAACAUUGAAUUGUAGUGAAGUAAAAACCCAACUUUAAAAUGUAGGUUUAAAUAGGUUGUGGCUAUAGCUAGGUUGAAAUUUGUAUUAUUAUUAUUAUUAUUAUUAUUAUUAUCAUCAUUAUUAUUAUUUUAUUUUUAUUUUAUUUUUUUAAAAUCUGGUUUUCAUUCACUGAAAUUUGGUAUUCAGUGAAUACAAUUGUUGGGUGAAAAGUCCUGUUGCUUUUCAAUUUACAAAUCAAUUUUAAUAUUAAACUGAUCUGGAGAUUUCUUGGUUUAAAUGCACUCUGUAACAGUAAAGAAACAUUUCCAUAACAACAAAUCCCAACAGCAGAAAAUCUUUGCCAUAUGUAAAGGGACUGGUGAUAGUCACAGACGACAAAGAGUAAAGCAACCACAAGCACAGCAGUUUGAAUCCAAUAAAGCUCUUUAUUACAAUUCAAAUGUACUAACAAUGUAAAAUGUACUAAACCAUAAUGGCAGAAGUAUCAUUCUGUUAUUGACAGCAUAGAGUUUAUCAUGAAACAAAAUGUAUCUAUCUACCGGGAAAAAAAAGUGCACAAAUAUAGCCUAAUGUAAAUAUAAAAAUAUUAUCCAACUGAACUGGUCAUUAUAUAAUGUGUUCCCUUCAAAAAGCAUGCACAAGAGAACAGCACAGCAUCCUGACAAUAUUCAACCACAGCAGCCUUUAUCGAUGGUUUCCUUAGCUUACAUCCCAAUGAACAGCAUGCUUGCUACAGCCCCUUGUGGCAUUGAAAUGGUUAAUAAAGCCAGUAUUUCCAUAGACACAGAACACAAACUAUAGCCAGCUGUCACAUAGCUGUAAUUUAAGACACAGAACAUUUUUUUGUUUGUCUCACAGGAAUAUCAUAUUGCCUUAUUGUUAACAUAUGGAAAUAUAAGUGAUAUUUGAAUAAAAUGUUUUCUUGUAUCAGCCCAUUGAGUUAAUAUAAAUCAGAAAUAUGUACUGCUCCUCCAAAAUAUUUCGCAAUAGAAAUAAAGAAUAUAUUAAAUGUUGAUUUCAGAAUAUAAAUUAAGUCUCAGCUAUAAUGUCAGUGUAUAAAGUUAGUCUGUUUUGUGAUACAUUUCUAUUUGCAAAAUUAGUGGCCAUCUGUUUGAAGUCUAGGGAAAUCAAUAUUUUUACUUCCUGUAAAAUAUUAUACAAUUAUUAUUAAUCGUCUAGAUGUUAAAUGUGAUUUAGUUUUAUCCUUUGGGCAUGACGAAGCCCUGUAUAAAUUCUCAUAACAGCAUAAUAUUUCCCGUUUAUUAUUUUACAACUAUCCUUAUCGCACAGUUUAUUUAAUUUCAUAUUUUUUUUUUUUUUAUCUCCUGUUCUGUUAAUUACCAACUAGAGCCUGCAGCAGCCUCCAAUAUCAAACUUUAAUGAACAGAGCAGGAAAUAAAAUGUGUGAAGUAAACACACUGAGGUGUACGAUCUGUUUUUUUUUUUAUUAACUUUUUUUCAUGGGCACUGUGUGAGUCACAGUUAGUGGAGGUGUUGCUAGGGCUACAUAAAGAAACUGUUUUUUUUUCAACGUAAAUUCAAAGUAAAUUUCAAAUUCAAGGUAAAAAUAACCAGACUGGAAAAGUUCUUUAAGUCAGCUAUACUUCUACUUCAGCUAUGUUUGCCUAAAUUGCAAUUUUCUUUGUAUUAAUGCUGAAUUCUCACAUUAGUCAAUAACUCAAAGUGAUUUAACUCCUAAAAGAGAUUUGAAAAUUGACAAUACAGGAGCAUUAAGAAAAAGUUGUUUUGGUGCUUAAAGCAUCCAUUUAAAAAAUAGAUGAUCUGCCAAACCAGCUGAAAUUAUACAAUAUCUAUGUGCUUAAAUUAGACCUAAAAUACUGGUGUAAAAACAGACAGGCAUGUUCACAAAUGUAAGCAUAUCAGGGGAAUUUAAAAUGUUUAUUUAGAUAGGACUAAUUAAUAAAGUGAGACUACAAAGAGAAUUACAAGUGGAUUUCAAAUGUAAGGUGAAAAUAGCCGAAAUGGAAAAAAAUUUCAGCAAUGCUUUCAGUUUGACUACUCUUGCUUUAAAAUUUGUAAUACAUUUUCAAUUUGUUUUAAAUUCUCACUUUACAAGGUUAUUCACUAAAGUGAGAAUUCAAAGUGAAUUUCAAAUUCGGCAUUUUGGAACUUUGGGACUUUUGUUGCAGCUGCUUAGUAGAUAACUCCCUAAUUCCCUAGGUAUUUCAAUUAACCAAUCAGAGUGUUGUUAUGAGUCAAAUUACACAGCGUGGGAAAAUGCCAAAGAACUUUCCCAAGCUGUGUAAAAUGACACAGAGCACUCUGAUUGGCUGGAUUUCAAGCUAACCAAUCAGAGUGCUAUGACAGGUAAAUGUAGAGACUUGCCUAUCAGUCUCUUCAUUUACCUGUCAGAGCACUCUGAUUGGAUGGCUUAAACCAACCAGAGUGCUCUGAGCAGGGCCGGCGCUACUUGUAAGGCGACCUAGGCAGCCGCGCCCGGAUCCCUGUGCCCGGAGUCACCGCGGAUUUGAGUGACCGGCAAAAGGGCUCUCAAUGUAGCAUGGCCGGGUGGCGCGGAAUGCGGGACAGGAACCUCUGUUUCCUGUACCCGGCCGCCGGCGGACUGACAGGAAGUGAUCACUGAGUGAGCACUUCCCUUCAGUCCGCCGGCGGCCGGGAACAGGAAACAGAAGUUCCUGUCCCGCGUUCCGCGCCGCCCGGCCACGCUACAUAGGCAGGAGGGGGGGGGAGUGUGAGUAAGGACGGGGAGUAAGGAACACAGGGGAGGGAAGGGUCCACCAGGGGAGGGGGGGGUCCUAGUAAGGACCUCCGUGGGGGAGAAUGGGGGGAGUAAGAACCACUGGGGGAGGAGGGGGGAGUAAGAACCACUGGGGAAGGGGGGGUGAAGGAACACUGGGGAGUAAGGACCACUGAGGGAGGAGGGGGGGUCCACUAAGGGGUUUGGGAGAGGGAGGACCACUAAGGGGGGAAAGGACCACUAAGGGGGGGUGAGAAAGAGGAUAAUGACCACUGGGGGGGGAUUACCACUAAGGGGGUGGGGGGAGGAGGGGAAUGUCUACUAAGGGGUUUGGGAGAGGGAGGGCCACUAAGGGGGAAGGGGGGAGUGAGAAGACCACCAAGGGGGGACUACAGGGGGCCAAGGGAGAGCACUAAGGGACAGAAGGGGAGAACACGGAGGGACAGGAGGGAAGGGGAAAUCAAUAAUUGACAGGGGGGGAGAGCACUAUGAAAAAAAUAAAAAAAAUAAAGAGCUGCUCCCCUCUCAGUCUCUAUCCUACCCCACAAACCCUCUCUUUUACACUACACACAUACACAAUGCAUCCCCCCCACACACACACACAGAAACAUACAAUGCAUUCCUACUCACACACAGACACACCCGAAACACACAAUGCAUCCCUUACAUUCACACAAACACUCAUUCUCUUACACACAGAAACAAAAUGCAUCUCUUACACAAUCAAUGCACCCCUUACAGACACACACUGCAUUCAAUUAAAUACACGGAAACACACCUUGCACCCCUUACACACACACACCCAGAAACAUUCAAUGCAUUCCUUACACACAAACACACACUGCAUCCCCUAUAAACACACUACAUCCCUUACAGAAAUUGGUAUCCCUAUACACUACAUUCUAUAAGAACACACACACACAUUGCAUCCUCUACAAUAACACAUAAACCAUCCCCUACACACAUACACUCCACUUCCUGUGAGAGAACUCACGGGUGGGCCAUGUAGCUGGAUUUAUGGGUGGGCAUUGUAGGCAUACUCACGGUCAAGCCCUGGGGGCCCAGACCUUGAGCUGUGUAAGGGGCCCUAAAAAAUGGAGCUGCUUCCUGUUUGUUAAUUGUUGUGAGCACUCUUAAAAACAGUCUCCUGAGAGCCUCUUCUACACCAGACCUGUGGACCCAGACAGAGCCCAUCAUCAGCCUCUUGUCCUCAUCUGGUGGUAAGUAGGCAAUCCAAUAUAUUAUUAGUGGCACUAAUCUCUAAUUUACCUCACAUUAAAUGGAUACUAUAGUCACCAGAAGCACUACAGCAUAAUGUAGUGGUUCUGGUGUCUAUAGCCUGCCUGUAGGCUUUUUAAUGUAAACACACUGUCUUUUCAGAUAAAAGACACUUUGUGAAGACUGGCGUUGGCUCAUAUGGCAGAGCAUAUGGGCGGGGCAUUGUGAUGUCACAUGGUGGGCAGGACAUAUGGAGGGGGGGCUGCAAAUUUUAUUUUUGCCUAGGGCGGCAAAAAUCCUUGCACCGGCCCUGGCUCUGAGCCUAAUUGCCGGGCGGGGCAAGGCUUUAUAAGCCUUCCCCCGCCCUGCAGAGCUCAGUCUGCGCAAAGCCCUCCAUGGGUGAAGAUAGAUAAAAAUCUUUGCGCUCUGUUUUUUUUUUUUUUUUUUCAAAGUGCGACGGUUAUUAUGGAUUUUUAUUUGGCCUUUUUUAAGGCUGAAAAAAGAAGAUUUUAGAAAAAAGAAGACAUCAAAUGGUAAGUUUUUUUUUUUUUUUUUUACAGGUACCUAGUUAUUGGUCCUCCCUCAUUACAGGUACCUAGUUAUUGGUCCUCCCUCAUUAUUUUUAGGGUGAGGGGAGUAGGUAGGGGUUAAUUUUUUUGGGAGGGGGAGACUAGGGGUUUGGGGAUCCCUAGUCACCUGGGGGGGUUACAUUUUUAUUUAGGGCCCCCACCCACCACUCAGGGGUGGAGGACAAUAGGUCGUCAUCCCUCAUUAUUUUUAGGGUGAGGGGAGUAGGUAGGGGCUAAUUAAUUUUUUUGGGAGAGGGAGACUAGGGGUUUGGGGAUCCCUAGUCACCUGGGGGGUUACAUUUUUAUUUAGGGCCCCCACCCACCACUCAGGGGUGGAGGACAACAGGUCAUCGUCCCCUUAUUUGUAUUUAGGGCCCCCACCCACCACUCAGGGGUGGUGGCCAGGGGGGAGUACAAUAGGUGCCCCCCCCUUAUUUUACUUUAGGGCCCCCAUCCGCCGCUUAGAGUUUGGGGCUGGGGUGGGGCAAUAGGUCCCCCCUUCAGGUUAGAAGCCCCCACUCGUACGGCACGGGUGGGGGCUCGGGAGGGGGGACAUGUCUUUUUUGUGAUACAUGGCUGUUCACUGUUUACUAGACAUGCCCCUACUCGUGGUAUAGCGAGUAGGGGCAUAAUUUACUAAUACUAAGUAAUCUUUACUUAGUAUGAGUAAAUUUGUCUGAAAGACCAAUUUAAGUCUUUCAGCCUUUUAGUAGAUAGCUCCCUAAUACCAUGGGAAUUAGGGAGUUAUCUACUUAUUCAUUCCUGUCAUUUCAUUGACUGGCUAAGUAACUAACAUUUUAUAUGACUGUGUGUUACUUGAAGUGUUGCAAACGCUUGCAGCUGAAUCCUGGCUAUGUUUGUAUACUUUUUAUUUAAACUUGUAUACAGUGUAACAUUCUUCAUUCUUCCACUGGGUAGGUAUAUUAGUACUUCGGCAAUACUGUGCUUUGGAACUUUGGCACUUCGGAAAUUCGGAACUUCGGCAAUUUGGAACUUUGGCAAUUCAGACAUUCGGAAGUAUCCGAAUGUCCGAAUUGCCCGAAAUGCAUCCGAAUUGACAUUUGGAACAAAACGAAUUUCACAUCUCUAAUAAUCACUGGAUCUUGCACAGCAACACUUUUUUGCUGUAUGUGCAUUUUUAGGGGUUCAUUUUAAAAAAAAAAAAUUUAUGUGACAUAUCACUAAAUAAAGUGAUUGUGAUCAUGUCACAGACGUCACAUAUGUAGUAUAGUGCUGAGGAGGUGUAUGCCAUCCUUGCGUUAGAGUCUGACACGUCUAUGUCUGAUUCCCACCCUGAUUUGGACCCUACCAGAUGCUCAGAUACAUUACUAGAUACAGUGUCUGCUGCUAGUGAUGUUGUAUCUGUGCCUGCUAGUCCCCCUACCAGAAGGAGACGUGCUGCUCCAGCUGGCAGUACUGCUGAGGAGUGGGCAGUGCCUCAUCGCCAGAAGCCAGAUAUCCCGCCCUUUACUGCAAAUCCUGGCAUCAAUGUGGAUGUUGCAGGAUUUAGCCCUCAGCAGUAUAUGCAGGUGUUUCUGGGCGAUAAUGUUUUGGGGAACAUUUUCGUCCAAACUAAUUUAUAUGCCCAUCAGUUCCGUGCUUCUAAGCAGGAGUUUUUUUUUGGCAAAGCAGCAAUGGGCCCCCAUCGAUGUGCCAGAAUUUAAAAAUUUGUGGGCAUUAACUAUGCUGGUGGGCAUCAUAAAGUAGCCCCAUCUGCUCUACCCCCAUUUACUGGCAUGGGUGUGCUCAGGAGGGCUUGCAGAAAACAGCCUGGAGUGUUUUCUUUCAAUGACCAACAGGCUCUGCUAAAUCACAGUCAAAAAGCAAUGUGUGUGUAAAAAUAAUUUAAAAAUAACCACCACACACUUUCUCUGAUUUUUUUUGGCUAAAACAAUUUCAUCAAAGGCAUUAAAACAAUCCAUAUACAAUACCGCGGGGUGUCAGUUUUUCAAAUAUAUGCACGCUCAUGGCAAGAAAAUAAAUUGGGAUAUCUAAAAAGGCCCCUCAAAAGAAGAUAUGUCAAAUUUGCGAAACACAUGUCAGAUGUUUGGCAUUGCACCCCCCAAACAACCCAACAGACCUAUGCAUAUGUGGUAUCACUGUACUCAGGAGAUGUUGCUGAACACAUAUUGGGUGAUCUUUGGCAGUAACACCUAACAGGAGCUGAGAAUUCAUACCAAAAGUACAAUGUGAGAGAAAAAUAACACAAAAAAAAUGACAACCCAAACGAUUGACAAAGACUAGUGGUAGAAUUAGUGCCUGGAAAGUGUUUAAAUACUAUUUGAAACACCCUAGGGUGUAAAUUACAUUGUCCAGCUUCAAAAAUGUCCCAAAUAGGACAUAGGUGCAUGAUGACCAGCUGUGAAAAUUCCAAGUUGGAAAACUGGAAUGCGCAACCUCCAAAUAAGGUCUUUUAGACCCAAGAGAACCCAAAACACAUGUGCGUGGAUGGUAUCACUGUACUCAGGAGAUGUUGCUGAACACAUAUUGGGGUGAUCUUUGGCAGUAACACCUAACAGGAGCUGAGAAUCCAUGCCAAAAGUACAAUAUGAGAGAAAAACCCCACAAAUGACUUACCAAAAGAUCGACAAAGACUGGUGGUGGCAAUAAUGAUCAAUCUGACAGAGUUUAACACGUAAAACAACUGAUGUUAGAGAAGGGGAGGGAGGUGGGUUGUCAAAAAUAUCAGAAGAUGUGCCUGAAAGUGAAAUGCGCAGGUUGGCUUGUAAUAGCCAGAAAAAGUAUAUAAACUACACUAUAUAUAUAUAUAUAUAUAUAUAUAUAUAUAUAUAUAUAUAUAUAUAUAUAUAUAUAUAUAUAUAUAUAUAAAAAAUAGGAACUGUACCUUGCACACUGGUUUCUGAGACUUCCAAGACCGGGUGCAUAGCCUGGGCUUCACAAUCAAUAUAGGCAAGUAGAAUGGCUGCACUCUCGGACUGAAACGUCGAUUUUAUGGAAACAUAAUAAAAGUUAUUUUUUAUAUGGAAAUCCGAGAGUGCAGCCAUUCUACUUGCCUAUAUAUAUAUAUAUAUAUAUGUAUAUAUAUAUAUAUAUAUAUAUAUAUAUAUAUAUAUAUAUAUAUAUAUACAAAACCAAGAGGGCUGCACUCACCUGAACAUGCAUACAUUACAGGGUGCUGCUGGGGCCAAAAUAUAUAAAAUACAGAAUCCAGCGCACUCGCUUAUUCACUAAACAAUGCUUUCAAAAUCUUAGAGAUUGUAAUAGUUUUAUUUAAAAACACCUCACCUAGGCAAAAAAUAAUGGGGGUUUAGUUACAUUAUAUGAUCAUAUAUUGCAUAAGCCUGCCACAACGUAAAUGUACCCCAUUCUUGGCAGGUCCUACUCUAGCAGCCUAAUGCUUACCCUUAAGGAAAUACUUCCUUACUGGGACUCUCUGCAAGUCAAGGCUGCCUGAGUAGGACCUGAAAAGAAUGGGGUACAUUGACAUUGUGGCAGGCUUAUGCAAUAUAUGAUCAUAUAAUGUAACUAAACCCCCAUUAUUUUUUGCCUAGGUGAGGUGUUUUUAAAUAAAACUAUUACAAUCUCUAAGAUUUUGAAAGCAUUGUUUAGUGAAUAAGCGAGUGCACUGGAUUCUGUAUUUUAUUUAUAGAUAUAGAUAUAGAUAUAGAUAUAGAUAUAUAUAUGUGUGUGUGUGUUGUGUAUGCAUAUGUGUAAAAUUAAAUCUUUAGGUACUCAGUUGUUUCAAUCAAUUAAGUGCAUCUAAUCCAUUAUGUAUAUUUUACAUUAAGUGUUCACUAGGUGUGGCCUACUCUAUAGUAGUUAGGGAAAUUCUUAUCUACAAUUAUAACUAGAUUUAUGAAACCAUGGGUGAAAAGACAUCACUUGUUAAAUCAACAUUUUAGUUAAUAAACCCCCAAUUGGUGAAAACCUAUAUUCUUGAUUAGAAAGGCCUAGUGGUGUUCUGGAUACAGAAUUGCUUCUAAAUAAAUAGUUAAUUGUGAAUUAUAUAGUACAACUGUAGCCCAUUGAUAGCCAGAUUAUAAUAAAAGAAUCCAGUAAUUCAAGCAAGCCAAAGAGUAAAAGUUGAAAAUGUAUUAUUAACCACUAGAUGCCAGACGAGAGCAUAUUUACUUAGACUCCAAUAUUUUGUAAAUUCAUGCUACACAUUGAGAUUUCUCUUGUUUUCAAGUAUGUCCUGGGUCUACAAACACUGCAUUGUUACAGUAGGGUACAAUAUAAUAUUACAAAAAAAUGCACAGAACAAUGUGGUUAUGCAGAAAUCUCUUCUUUCUAAUAUUCUUUCUGCCUGGAUCUGUAGGUGUGUGAAAUAGAAAAAAAAGAUAUUAGUAGAUAAUAAUAAUAAUAAUAAUAAAUAUAUAUAAUGCCAGAUUAAGUGCAUUUUUAUAUUAAUAUAUAUAUAUAUAUAUAUAUAUAUAUAUAUAUAUAUAUAUAUAUAUAUAUAUAUAUAUAUAUUAAUAUAAAAAAACACUUAGAAUUAAAUUCCAUAUGUAUAUAUGUUGUACAUAUAUAUUAUAAAAUAUAAAUAAUAAAUACAAAUAAAUUUAAAAAUGUAAAAAUAAUAAAAUAAAAUAAAUACAUGCAAUUUUAUUCUAACUGUAUUUUUAUGUUAAUAUAUAUAUAUAUAUAUAUAUAUAUUUAUAAGUGUAUUUUGAUAUAUAUUUAUAUCAAAAUACACUUAGAAUGAAAUUAUAUAUAUAUAUAUAUAUAAUAUAUAUAUAUUAUAUAUAUAUAAUAUAUAUAUAUUAUAUAUAUAUUAUAUAUAUAUAUAUUAUAUAUAUAUAUAUAUAUAUAUAUAUAUAUACAAAUAGGUAGCUGCACUCACGGCUAAUAAAAAGACUGAAACGUUGAUCGCUGGUUCUUUUACCUUUUUGCAAUUUUGACUUUUUAUUAGCCAUGAGUGCAGCUACCUAUUUGGAUAUAUGGAUGGACGGCUAUUUAUUGCUAGCACCCGGGCACCACGGGAGAUUUAAGCGUGAGUGCAGGAGCAUUUGGUAUUUUUUAUAUAUAUAUAUAUAUAUAUACAUAAUUGCAUAAACAGAAAUAUGCACGUAGACUUUAAAUAUAUAAAUAUGUAUAUAUAUUUAAAUUCUACGUGCAUAUUUAUUUAUGUAUUACUUUUAAAUAAUUAAGUAACUUUAUUAAUUGCAAUUCGAGGGACCUGCUUGACAACCCAGGCCGAAAGUCCAGAGAAUGUAAUUUGCUAGCACUAUGUUUAACCUUGUAAUUUUCUAAAACACCCUUAAACCUGUAUAUAGAGGGGGGGGGGAGGGGAUCUGUUUUACUCGGGAGACUUUGCUAAACACAAAUAUUAGUGUUUCAAAAACGUAAAACCUAUCACAGUGAUGAUAUUGUCAGUGAAAGUGAUGUUUUUUGCAUUUUUCACACACAUUCUAUGGAACCGUUUUGGGCAUGGGACCAUGCGUGCGGUCGGUAAAAACUAUGACUUUCAGGAAAUUCCUGAACCCCUGAACUGAUCUGGGUGAUUAAUUGAGAUAAUUGAGUUUAGUAAAGUGCUUGACUCAAUUAUCUCCUAAAUAAAAGGGAAGGCUUAUUGUAUUGUAUAUGGGAGUGUCAUGCAUUGUAACACUGGUAUUUUUGGUCUGUGACUUUGUAAUGGAGUUCUCCAUAAGGUCCAUGAGAGAGUGCCCCUUGAAUGGGGAUUGUUAUGAAAAGCCAAGUGUGGCACCAUUAAAAUCAGUUCCUCUUCACCCUCAACAUGGAGUCUUGUCUCAUGUGUGGAGGGGACAGCUCUGGGGAUUGCCAUACUCCUUAUACUCCCUGGAAUUAUAAUCACUAGCUCUUAUAAGAGCUGUUCCUGCUAUACUCUCUGGAGUAGGAGAGGUUCACCCACUGGAAGCCGGAUCCUGGUCUUGGGUCCAAGGUAGGUGGAAGGUGGAGGACGGUGAGAUCUCCAACCAAGCUGCGGCGGUUUGUGGGAGUCUACGGUGCUGAUUGAUGGUGUCUGGUGGAGUGCUUGGAGUCCUCGGUGAGCACUAGGAGCAUCGAUUGGUGGAGGCACCGGUCGGGAUGCCAGGCAGUCCAUCACACAGUUCAUGCAAAAACAAAGAGAACGUUACCUGCACUCUGGCCUAAAUCCCCAUGUACAUUUAAACAAAAUGGAGGCUCUUUAGUUUUAUUCCAAUUUUAUAAACCCUUUCACAUUAAACCCUUUAUAGGGCUUCUAUACAUUAAAAUAAAAUAAACUUUGCUGGUAUCAGACAAAGUGUAAACAUCUCUAAUGAGACAUGAAGGGGUAUUUUAUAAACCCCUACAUACUUACAGGGAGUGCAGAAUUAUUAGGCAAGUUGUAUUUUUGAGGAUUAAUUUUAUUAUUGAACAACAACCAUGUUCUCAAUGAACCCAAAAAACUCAUUAAUAUCAAAGCUGAAUAUUUUUGGAAGUAGUUUUUAGUUUGUUUUUAGUUAUAGCUAUGUUAGGGGGAUAUCUGUGUGUGCAGGUGACUAUUACUGUGCAUAAUUAUUAGGCAACUUAACAAAAAACAAAUAUAUGCCCAUUUCAAUUAUUUAUUAUUACCAGUGAAACCAAUAUAACAUCUCAACAUUCACAAAUAUACAUUUCUGACAUUCAAAAACAAAAAAAACAAAUCAGUGACCAAUAUAGCCACCUUUCUUUGCAAGGACACUCAAAAGCCUGCCAUCCAUGGAUUCUGUCAGUGUUUUGAUCUGUUCACCAUCAACAUUGCGUGCAGCAGCAACCACAGCCUCCCAGACACUGUUCAGAGAGGUGUACUGUUUUCCCUCCUUGUAAAUCUCACAUUUGAUGAUGGACCACAGGUUCUCAAUGGGGUUCAGAUCAGGUGAACAAGGAGGCCAUGUCAUUAGAUUUUCUUCUUUUAUACCCUUUCUUGCCAGCCACGCUGUGGAGUACUUGGACGCGUGUGAUGGAGCAUUGUCCUGCAUGAAAAUCAUGUUUUUCUUGAAGGAUGCAGACUUCUUCCUGUACCACUGCUUGAAGAAGGUGUCUUCCAGGAACUGGCAGUAGGACUGGGAGUUGAGCUUGACUCCAUCCUCAACCCGAAAAGGCCCCACAAGCUCAUCUUUGAUGAUACCAGCCCAAACCAGUACUCCACCUCCACCUUGCUGGCGUCUGAGUCGGACUGGAGCUCUCUGCCCUUUACCAAUCCAGCCACGGGCCCAUCCAUCUGGCCCAUCAAGACUCACUCUCAUUUCAUCAGUCCAUAAAACCUUAGAAAAAUCAGUCUUGAGAUAUUUCUUGGCCCAGUCUUGACGUUUCAGCUUGUGUGUCUUGUUCAGUGGUGGUCGUCUUUCAGCCUUUCUUACCUUGGCCAUGUCUCUGAGUAUUGCACACCUUGUGCUUUUGGGCACUCCAGUGAUGUUGCAGCUCUGAAAUAUGGCCAAACUGGUGGCAAGUGGCAUCGUGGCAGCUGCACGCUUGACUUUUCUCAGUUCAUGGGCAGUUAUUUUGCGCCUUGGUUUUUCCACACGCUUCUUGCGACCCUGUUGACUAUUUUGAAUGAAACGCUUGAUUGUUCGAUGAUCACGCUUCAGAAGCUUUGCAAUUUUAAGAGUGCUGCAUCCCUCUGCAAGAUAUCUCACUAUUUUUGACUUUUCUGAGCCUGUCAAGUCCUUCUUUUGACCCAUUUUGCCAAAGGAAAGGAAGUUGCCUAAUAAUUAUGCACACCUGAUAUAGGGUGUUGAUGUCAUUAGACCACACCCCUUCUCAUUACAGAGAUGCACAUCCCCUAAUAUGCUUAAUUGGUAGUAGGCUUUCGAGCCUAUACAGCUUGGAGUAAGACAACAUGCAUAAAGAGGAUCAUGUGGUCAAAAUAAUAAUUUGCCUAAUAAUUCUGCACUCCCUGUAUUAACCUUAAAUAGGGCUAUAAAACAUACAAAUCACCUUUCCGGUAUCAGCUAAAAAGCAAAUUUCUCUGUUGAGACAGGAAGGGGUGCUGCCCCUACAUACUUAUAAACUCUUAAUAAGACAAACAUGGGGUGACUGGCAGCAAUGUAACAUAGCUGUGUGAUACAAACAUCAUAUACAAACACAAAGGUAAAGCACCGCGCUUACAGCACCAGUACAGCACAGCACCUCAUAGACAACUAUUACAUAAGACUGCAAUAAAUCCCAUAAGAAAUAAAAGAAAUGUGUUUUGCCUGUCACUCAUAUUUUCUUCAAAAAAUAGUAUAUAUAUUUGUGGUCAGGGACAAUAAGCCGAGUUAUAGAAUUGGUGGAGUAAGUUGUGGAGUGCCGAAACCGACGUUCAGGUAGGCCUGUAAAAAGAGGGCAAAACAUGUAACACUUUAAUACAUGUUGACAUUAUGUAACCAAUAUUUUAAAUGCCUAAGUUAAUUACUUCUUAGGUUGAGGGAUGCAUCAAUGACAUGCACUGAGCUAUUCUACUAGAGACUGCAGAAACAGUGCCUAUUCUAAAAGAAUGAUUUGAAAAUGUUGAUGGUUGUUCCAAGUAGUUUUAUGGUGUUGCGAGCUAAUUUUAGGUUAAGGUGGCAAAAGGAUGUGAACGACAUCAUGGUAUUGACCGAGUACUGAUUAACAAUUAAAAUUUCUGAAACUAAUUUAUUGAAAAUCAUCAGAGCUCUAGUAUAUGAAUGGUUGGUAUUGGCAGAGAGUGAUGCGUGUGCCAGUAAUCUGCCGUGGCCAUGAGAUGAGCUAAUACAAUAUGAGAUCCUGAAAUGUUGGGGUUUUGUUAGGUCGUUUGGCAGCCGUGGGGUGUGCUUGAAAGAAUACCCGAAAAUGUGAUUUAGAGAAGGUUUCUGCCUAGUAUGUGUAUACAGGCAAGGUAAUAUUGCUGUGUUGCUGCCAUCCAAGUUAACUUCCUAAUUACAUAGUUACAUAGGCUGAAAAGAGACGUGUCCAUCAAGUUCAGCUUUCCUCACAUCUGUUUUUUGCUGUUGAUCCAAAAGAACGCAAAAAACAAAACAAAAACAAAAACCACAGUUUAAAGCACUUUUGCUUUAAAACAAACUAGAAAACAAAUUCCUACUUGACUCCAGAAUGAUAGUCAGAUUUAGUCUUGGAUCAAGAAGCUAUUGCCCUCAUUAUUGUUAGUUUAACAUUAUUGUUAGUUUAGUAUUUAUUUAAUAUGCUCAUGUGCUGUAUGAGUAGCAUUUGUCAUGCAACCCCCUCCAAAGAGACCCCCUGGCGUGUGUAGUGGCCAUGAUGGGGUAUAAUUCGAAGAGAGCUGAAGAUUAACUAAAAGAAGGUAGACUCUGUGACUCUGUGGGCCAUAUUUCAAUGAACCAGUUAUUUUUGAAAAUGGCUGCAUAUCCAGUGUUGUCAGCAGCGUCCGUACAGAUAAUGCGAGAUUAGUAGGAUAGUGGGGAAUGAACAUAACUUUCUCGUUCCAGUGGGAUAGGAAGUUGAACCCCAUGAAUGGGUCUGCUCAAGCCUGAGCAUCGAGUGUCUUAGUGCAAUUGUUGGUAGGUAACCAGAAGAAGGCUGAGUAAUCGGGUAUGAAGUUGUAAAACGCAUAUGGCAAAGUUCAGAGAACCACAGAGAGAAUAGAGAUCCAAGUGGGAAUAGGCAACUGUGCCCAGUAGGGACUCUACGUUUCCCUGAUAUGCUGGACCUUGCCCACAGGGAUAGGGGGUUACUGGACUGCAAUAUCGAGUCCAGUUGUAAACCCAGGAGAAUGAAACUGGAGUAGGGGACUACACUUUAUUUUUUCCAAUUUGACAAUUUUUAUUUUCUGUUUAAACUGGGGGUACAGAAGGAAAGAAGGGAUAGGAACGAUAACAGUUGCAUCUCAAAUACAUUUUUCAAUGUUGCUUUUUGUGCAAGUUACCAUCCUGUACAUAGUGUCUAUUAAGCUUGUGUUCCUUUACAUUUGUAUCUAGUACAUUUGUAGCCUGAUGCACCUUUGCGAGCUGUUCGACUGUAUGCGUUUUUUUUAAUAUGUAAGUUUUGAUUCGGUUUGGGGAACAAAGGGGAAAGUGGGGGGGAAGGGCGUAAAAUUUUGCCCUUCAUAAUACCUUGUGAACAUCUUUUGAGUAUACUCUUGACAUGCACAUAUUGCGUUUCGUUUGCUCAGUGGGGUGGGGAGGGGGUACAGAAAACAAAAAGGGAGGGGUAAGGGAUCUUAGGGGAGUGGGUUGCUAGUUUCCAUCCCUCUAUCGUCCUGUGCCAUAAGGGUCUCUUAUGCGCCAUUCAGGCGGUCAAUUCUCCCAUAGGUGUGGGGUUGCUAGGUUUGUGGUAGCUCGCCCUGUCGGAGCAGCAGGUGGUGUCUUUGUACUGGUGAGUCGCCUUUGCGCGGCUUGUUGUUAUGGCUUGCUAGAGUGCGGGUGAAUGGUCGGGUUGCCUGAGGAAGGCCAGUGCAGCCUCAAGGUCCCCCCAUGUGCAUAUGGGGAAAUGCCCACAGUCAAUGUUCUACCCACAUGGGAAUAGGGUGUUAUACAGGGCUGUAACUGGGGUAACCGAUAUGUCCUCUCUGGUUCUUGUGUAUCUUAUUGUGUGUCGCUAUGUUUCAAGAUAGCCUAGUGGGGUCAAUGGUUCCUUUGUUCUCAAUGUAAGUUGUCCACAGCUCUCGGGCCGCAGCACUCCCCCCACUCGUUUGUACCUGUUUCCACAUCAAUAUUUCAUAAUCUAGUGUGGGCGAUACUAGUGCGGAUACCUCCGGCAUUGAGGGAAUGAGCGGGGUCUUCCCGUUCUUAGCUAGUAGUGUGUUGGCCAAUGAGAGUGUGAGGAAUAUUAUCUUAGCUAUAUAAUGCGAGAGGCCUCUGGGAAUUAAUUUUAGUAAAAUGGUUUCAAUGUUGUGUUCUAGUAUGCACCCUGUGGCUCUCUUUAUGAGCUCUGCUAUUUGUUUCCAAAAAGGGUGUACUAGUUAGCACGUCCACCAAAUACCCUCUUGGGUCAGGCACCUCCAGCAUCUAUCGCUAGUGUUUGGGUAAAUGGCCUUAAGUCUUGUGGGAACCAUAUACCAUCUGUAUAACAUGUUUCUGGUGGCCUCCAGGUGAGAGGCACAUGAGGUGAGCCCAUGUGGUUUGCGUAAAUGCAGUCCCACUCUUCCUUUGUGAGGGGUCUGCCUAUAUCUCUGUUCCAGUCUGCUUUGAAGCGCCAGGUAGGUUCUGUUUUUUGUGAGGUGAGGUGCUUGUAGCUGAGUGUUCCAUGUGGGUGGGGGGGCAGUCCCAGCGGUGUCAGUGAGUAUCGCUUUCAGUUGCCAGUGCGAGAACAUGACAAGUUGUCUGCCGAGCAGAACAGGUCUCUGUGGUUGUCCUUACAGGUGUACAUGAGUUUGGUGGUUGGUAAAGUUUUGGGAGUUAUGGGUCUAAGUCUCUUGGGUGCCCAGACAGAUCCUGGCCUCAAUCUCCAUCCAUUGGGGAGUGUAUGUGGCAAAGUGCAUGGUGAUAAUGUUAGCUAUCUGAGUUGCUUGGUAAUAGGCCUUAAGAUUGGGGAAUCCCAGUCCGUCCUUGUCUGUCGGUCUCAUCAGCAGCGCUCUUUGGACUCUGGGGUGUUCCCCCCCCCCAGCUAAAUCUGAGCAGGAUUGACUGCAGUCUUUGUAAUUAUGUUUGGGGGAUGUGUGUGGCAAAACUUGCCACUUAAGACUAUACAUGUAUUGCAUGUGUGGAUAUCCUUGUUUUAGCUGUAAGAACCAAGUAUAAUACUGUUAUCCUUAUACUAAUCGGUAUUUUAACAGUGUGUUGAAAAUAAUAUGUAUUUCGUGCGGCGUUCGGUUAGUUAGACUGGGAGCUGAGCGGUAUUCUCACGAACUGUUCGCUCAGUCCCCAGCUAUCUACCGAAUGUUCAUUCGUGUAAAUCAGUGAAAUAUUAUGGAAGUUAUGUACUUUAGUGUAAAAUGUAAACUCUGCUGCACGGAGGGAUAAUCCCAAUGGUAUAUUCCAAUGGGAGUAUCCCUCUCGUACAGCAGUGCAUGAUGGGAGAAAUGUGUGUGUUGGUCAGUUCCCCAUGUAGUCCCCUACUGUCCCACCCCUGGAAUGUCAGUAGGGAAACCCCUUGCAUGGGGACUUGGAUAAAUACUGUGACCUGUGAAUAAAACCUUAGUUGACUCCUAGCCUAUGUGUCGUCUAGUUCUUGGGAUGGAAGGAUUCUUACAACGCUACUGGGAUUAUUGUAUGCUGUAUUCAUUUCCUUGGAUUAUUUUAUGCUAUUCCUGUUACCCAGCGGAGAUACUGUGGAUUAUACUACCUCUCCGCUACAAUGUGUAUAUGUAUGGAGCGAAACAUGUAUAACAUUUUGGGAAGUAUCGUCAUUUUGAUGGCCGCAAUGCACUCUAGCCAUGAUAGAAAUUUGUUCUGCCAUGUCUGCAGGAUGUGCUCCACUUCCCUUAGGAGUUUAACCCCUUAAUGACACAUGACAUGUGUGACAUGUCAUGAUUCCCUUUUAUUCCAGAAGUUUGGUCCUUAAGGGAUUAAUGUAAUUGGUGGCAUACAGGUCAUGGGGUCUUUUUGUCAGCUUUAUGCCCAAAAAUGUGAGGUGGUCGCCUCUCCAGUCAUACUAGAAAGUGCGUCUGUGUCUGUCUUCCAUCUCUCUAGUCAUAUUGAUGCACAUGGCUUGGGUUUUAGGUAGGUUGGGUUGGUAAUAAGACUGGGCACUGUAUUCUCAGAUCUCUUUAUGGAGAUUUGGUAAGGAUACUGUCGGGUUGGAGAGUGUAAGUAAGAUUUCAUCCGCAAAGAGGUUUAGAGUGUAUUCUUUGCCCCCAUGGCGAUUCCCUGUAUGUCUCGAUUGUUGCAUAUGGCUAUGGCCAGUGGUUCUAGAGCCAGCACGUAGAGCAGUGGGGAGAGGGGGCAGCCCUAUCGUGUGCCAUUGGUUAUUUUGAAUGUGUGGAAGCUAAACCCUGCAUUGAGGACCAUGGCUGAUGGUGUACUAUAGAGUGCCUUAAUCACGUGUAGGAACUCAGGUGGGAAGCCGUAUCUGAUUAGUGCCUCGUGGAGGAACCCCCAAUGUAACCGGUCAAACGCCUUUUCUGUGUCUAGCGAUAACAUCAUGCACAGUGUUUUGGAUUGGUUGAGGUAAUAUAGGAUAUCCAGUACGUUGUGUGAGUUAUCCGGGCCCUGUCUGCCCGACACAAACCCCACUUGGCUCGUGGCCACUAAGUCAGGUAGUAGAUUUUUUAGUCUCUCAGCAUAUAUUUUAGCGUAUAGUUUGGCAUCUGCGUUUAGAAGGGAGAUGAGCCUGAAGUUGGUUUCCUGGCUUCGGAAGGGUAAUGAUGUGGGCCACUAGGAAUUCUGGCGGCAAAGUGCCUUGCUUUGUGGUGUAGUUAAAGGCCUGUGCCACGCAUUGGCUGAGUAUAGUUUUGAAGGUGGCAUAAUAUUUAUUUGUGAGGCCAUCCGGUCCUGGGGCCUUCCCCUUCAGCAUGGCUUCGAUAAGUCGAGUUACCUCUUGGGACAUGAUAGGGUUUGUGAGUUGUGUAAUUUGGAGCAUGGGCAAGUCUAUCCUGUUCAGGUAUUCCCUUACUUAGUCUUUUGUCGGUUGCGCUACCGCUUUGUUGUCCUUCAAGUUGUAAAGGGAACUAUAAUAGGUAGCAAAUUAGUUACAAAUUUGCGUGGGUUGCGUCAGUUUGAGGUUCUGUGAGGUUUGGAGGUAGGGAAUUCAGGUUUGAGCUUGUCUGUCUAUAAUUCUGUGAGCCAGUGCUUUACUAGCUCUGUUACCCAGAACGAAAGUUGUGGCUUUCAGUUUUUUGAUGGCAUAGCCCGCUUUUUGGAAGUUGGUGGUGUUAAUCUGUCUCUGUAGUUCGGUAAUCUCUUUGUGUGUGGUCGUGGAUGGGGUGAGUUGGUUGGCUCUGUGAAGGUCAUGCAAUCGUUUUAGAUUUUGGAUGUGUGCGGUAGGAGACUCUGCGGAUUAGCAGUCCCCUAAUCACCGAUUUGUGGGCUAGCCACAGUGUCAUGGGAAAUAUGUCAGGGGUGGCGUUGUUGUCGAGGUAGGAUUUCAGGUCCUGCUGUAAUGUUUGUGCGGUGUUUAAAGUUGUACUGGUCUGUGAUCGUUAGCAUCACCGGGCAGUGGUCUGACCAGGUAGAGGACCCUAUGUCGCAUGCGGUCGCUCUGUUCAGAUGUGUUCCCUGCAAGAAGAAGCUGUCAAUCUUUGUAUACGUGUUGUGCACCUGUGAAAAGUGAGUUUAUUCCUUAUCUUGUGGGUGUAGUGCUCACCAGACGUCAUAGAGCCCAAAAGCGUGUAAGAGCUUUGUUAGGGGUUUGCAUUGCUUGUGAAGUGUUUUGGCUCUAUGUGUCGAGUGAGUUGCGGUUAAAUCCAUCCUUGGGUCUUGAAUCUGGUUAAAAUCUCCACAAAUAAUUGUGGUGCCCAUUUGGAGCUGUGCUAUGAGUGUCAAUAUAUUGUGUAGGUAGCCUCCUUGGUUUGCGUUAGGUAGAUAAGCAUUGACAAUAGUGUAGGUGGAGUUGUUUAUGGUGCAAAUCAAAAUGAGGUAUCUGCCUUGGGGGUCAUGUUUCACCGUUAUUUCCUCAUAUGCCAAAUGGCUGCUGAGGAGGAUGGAGACCCCUUUGCUUUUUGUGGGGGAUGUGGUGUGGUAUUAGUGGGGGUAGAGCGUUUUCCCUAGAAUUGGAUUGGAGUUGUGUUAAAAGUGCGUUUCCUGCAGGCAGACUAUGUCAGUCUGUGAGGUUUUGAGUUCUCUCAGUAGCAUGUGUCGUUUGUGUGGGGUGUUCAACCCCCUGAUGUUAUGUGUGUAUAUUUUCAUGCUUUGUUUGGUGGGGAGUUGUGCUAGUCUGAUGUCGUUGGCCAUCCCUACUAAGUGCGGGCAGUGUGGUAGUCUGAGGAUGCCCUGUUGAAUAGGGUAUUGCGAGGCAGAUUGAGGGUACCUCCUUCUUGGUGGGUCAGGUGCUUUGGGUGCUUGUGUGCUGGAGGUUGUUGUGUGAUCUGAGAGGAGAGUACACAUUAGCAUUAUCACAAUAAUAACUAUAAUACAAUUCUUAGACCGUGAGUGUUGUUCAGAGUGGCAUACCAACAUAUAACAUAACAUAUCAAACAGUAACUUAAAACAGUAAGUGAAAACAACCUUUGAGGUGUUCAUAUGACUUAAAGCGAAGGUAGUGACUUAACUUUCUUGUUUAGGGGGUAGGUGGACAGGUCAAGUCAGACCGGGCUCAGGUCUGGGCAGCGCAAGGGUCUGGGCUCUCUCUAAGUUGGUGCUAUGGGUUGUAUGUAUAUAUAUAUAUAUAUUUUUUUUUUUGCAAUAAUAUUUAAUGGGUUUGGGACCUUGGAGGCUUUUUGGUCAGUUUGUGGGGCGACUCUUGUUCUGGUCAUGCGUCAAGCAUAGCUCGGAUUUUGUAUAGGGGUUUGGGGCGCCCGGGACACGUGGGUCUGGCUGUGGGACCUGCGGUUUUUUUUGUUUUUUGUCUAGGUUUUUUUUUUUAGGUGAGUUUGCAUAGCAGUUGCUGCGAGUAGCGACAGAAGCCGGGGGGAGGGGGUAUGUUUCCAGCCUGGAUUUGCACCCUGUGUCCUCGUUAUCAGGUGUUGUCCCCUUCCUGAGUGUGUGAGUGGCCUAGGUGUUAGGCCUCAUGGACACUUUGGCUGUUUUCCAUUGGCACGGGUUAUGGCAAGAUGGGCUUGUUUCCCCCCACCACGCACCCGAACCCACCCCCCACUGGGUGCACCAUGUCCCCUGAAAAGGAUACCAGUAGGGAGGUGCACGUAUUGUCAAGCUCGGUCAGAGCUUUUGGUUGCUUGUCUCUGUAGGGGUGUUCACGUUAACGUCCCAUAAUUGGAGCCUGUGGUCUCACAAUCUAGCUGUCAAGGUUGGGGAGUCCCCAGUCUGUUUAAUGGUCCGGGCGGAAAGCGUUUCACUUCUGCUUGGCAGUUCUCCACUCCCCCUGCAUCUUGUUUCCACGGGCUUGCCCUGUCGAAGUUGCUUCCAUCGUAAUGCCCCACGAAUGCAGGAGGUCUGUGCUGUUUUGAGUAGAAACCGCCGUGUAUAUCUUUCUGCCUCUGGAGAUCAGGAGCUUCACUGGGUACCCCCAUCUGUAUGGUAUGGAGUGCUGCCGUAGUGUCUCCGUGACUUCCCGGUAUGCUCUCCUUCUUCUCAUAGUUUCCACGGAGAGGUCGGCAAAGGUCAUUAUAUCUUUAAACUUGUCUUGUAAGUCUUUCUUUGUGCGGUGGGUCUUCAUUAGGAGUUCCUUGAUAUGGAAAAAGUGCACUCUCAUAAGCACAUCUCUGGGGGCAGUUGAUGGGAGGUGUGUGGGUCUGGCCACUCUGUGGAUCCUGUCUAGGAUUAAUAUGUCUGCCAGUAUGUCAGGCCGUAUUCCGUUGAAAAACUCUGUCACAUAACCAGUGAGCUCAGGUUGGGGAACGUCUUCUGGUAUCCCCCGCAUCCGUAAGUUGUUCCGGCGGGAUCGGUCCUCCAGAUCCAUUAUUUUGUUUUCGUACCUCUCCAGCCUACUCUCCAUGUCCUCCAUUUUAUCCUCCAUGGAGUUGUGGGCCGUGACCAUUUCCUCCACCCUGUUCUCUAGGUGUGAGGUCCAGCUGCCCAGCCCCAUGAUGUCCUUUCUGAGCUCCUCUAUCGCCGACUUCACCGUUGCCUGCAUUUUGCCGGCUACAUCAUCCAGCAUGCAUUGCAGGAUUGCUGUGGUCACUGCACUGCUCUCCAUGUGAUCACUGUCUGCAUCUGACUCUGCGCCAUCUUGGGCCUGCUGGCUCGCAGCUUUGGAUGGCGUGCGGGCAGCAAAAAAGGCCGCCUUUUCUUUUGUGUCAGUCGACUUUUUGACCCGGUUCUGCGACAUUAUUGGGGCUCUCUUGGGACGUUUGUAGUGCAGAUGGAUGCUUUCAUUUGCCGUUUUAUGGGCCACUGCGACGGAGCCCGCUCAGUCUGCGUCCAUCCAUCUCGAGCUCCAGCCACGCCCCUACAGGGGGGACUACAUUUUAAUCUUAAAACAGCAGAAGGCUAUUGGAAGAAAACAGGUCUGGUGAAUACUUUGGGAUUUACUAUUCUGUUCCUCUACUAAUAGAAAAUUGUCUAGAUAAUGUAUUACUGUGGCCAGUUACAUACGUAGAGGACGGCUUUAGGUACUGAAAAUGUUGCAGAUUGCAACUUACCUAGGAACACAACAAGUCUGCCCAAUUUGUCUUGAGCUGUGUAACAGUUGCAGUUUACACCAAGUAAUGCAAAAUGGCAGACCUGUUCCAUAUGAUAACAUGUACAUAAACAUGACCCAUGAGAGACCCGUAAUGGUAGGACUGUUUAUUAGAGAUGAUAAUGAUGAAACAUUUAAGUAACAUGAUACAAGUGAUAACACACGUAUAAGUCAUAUGUUGAAGAAGGCCAAGUGAGGGCCUAAAAUAAACAUAUAUGUGUGAUGUUCAACAUCUAUCGUGGGUACUUCAUAAUUUCACCUUACAUGAAGAUUGACCACCAUAUGCAUUACUGAGCGUUAUACAUAGAGCCGAGGGUGUUCUCUAGUCUGUAAGUUACUUGCACACUUCAUUGGAGCCAUUGUCUACAAACUGUAUUUAGAUUGUGCAUAUGUAAUAAAUAAUUAUGAUUUUUAUUUUAUUUUUUGCAUGAAAGGCUUUUUUUUUUUUUACUUUCUCUGUUAGCUUACAGGUUGCACUAUGAUAUGUUUUUCCUUUUUUUCAUUACUCAUUUUCAAAUGUACUGUAUUUAUGUAUAUUUGAAUUUAAAAAGGAGAUAUCAGUUACCACUCCAUUUAUACGUAAAUAUUGAUUUCAUACUGUUUAGAUCAACCUCCACUCUCUUAUGAUAAUGGAAGCUGAAUGAGAGCCCAACACAACUAUACCUAGCGGCAGGGUGGCCAAAUCAGGGCAUAAUGAGAAGUUAUGGGUGAAUGAUACAAUUAAAUGGGGUAUGUAGAAAAUAUUUGAGUAGACUGCUUGCAAUUUAGUAUGAUUAUUGGUGACACCCAAGUGGCGGAUCUGGUUAUUGGCAUGUCUUGAUUUGAAGUGUGACAAUAACAUACUUAGAUGAAGGCUAUGUAUAUGGUCAUAUAACCACAGAACAGACAUAAUUAUGACCGACAAUUUUAAAGAACACUUGACUAGGCCUGUGUGGAGCCCAGUAAGUACUUAAAUCAAUAUAAGUAGUGACAGACAGUGAAAAAAGACAGAUGAUUAACAGGCAGUAUCAUAAAUGCCAAUUUCAUUUAUAGGCACAAGUUUGGGCCUGACAAAAUUUAUACCUUCAUUUGCAACAUGUAGCUAUAUAAUUACUAAACAAUGUGGGCCCACUGAGUGCCUGAAUACAUACAGAAUACAUAUAUGUACUGAGGCUGGAAGAGUCCUGGUGAACAUAAGUAACAAAUGCCGAUCUUUUUAGAGUUGAAAAGUAUAACGAAGGCUGUGUGGGCUGGCAACAAUAAGUUGCAAAUAUUAAAAACUGAAUAUGGCACAGCAUUAGGAUGACUAACUGAAUUGCAUAUGAUAAAAUUUAAAUGGCCGAAUAAGGGGCAAAUACAGUAAGCAGAAUGAAUAAACACAAUUGAGGUAUCAAGGUGAUGCUACGUAUGAUUGAAAUAGGACAGAUUUACAUUAGUAUGGAGAUUCGCUAUAUCCGAAUGAAGGUAGAAUACAGACUGAACUGCAACUGCUACGCGGAAAUGUUGAAUGUUGGGCGAAUACAUGUUGAAUGUCAGUGAUAGCAUAGCCAAAUGUGGGCUGCAUGAACAAACUUACGGUUUUGUUCAACUAAACGUGCGAACAGCAACAGGAAAAAAACACGACUGGGCUGGAUGCAGAAGUGCCCCAUGAGCUUCAAGGGAGGCGGCUGUUUUUUUCCUAGAGUAAGGUAAAAUGAAUACUUGUGUAGGCUGCACAAGGCCAAGACGAGCUUGGAGUUUAGAUAGUUUGUGUUGAUGACCUUUGAACUGAAAUAGAUGGUUCUGUACCAAGCCUGAGUAGAGCAAGGAGGCCUUCUCUGAAGCUAUGCCAUAAACUACAAAUGAUAAUUUCCUCUAAACCUAAAAUCUCUCUUGGUAAGGUCUCAGGCACAGGCAUAAAGAACACAAAGGAAGUACCUAAAUAUGUAUAAAAUAUUAGGGGACUACUGGGACUAAUUUAUACAAGUAAAUAAACUACAGUCUGUUCAAAACUAGCUUUACUGUUUUUCAUAUCAAUUUUUAAGUAAAAUAAAGAGGUUUAAUUACAAAAGUUGUAUAUAGAUGGCACUUAUAUCCUGAAAAAAUAUUUAAAUUUAAAGCCAAAGAUAACCCGCUAUGCUGGAGGUGUUACUUACAAAAUUUGGAAGAUUAAUAUGGAGUUUAUAACAACAUUAAUAUCCAAACUCUGAAAAAAAAAAUAAAUAUAUAUAUAUAUAUAUAUAUCUUUGAGCUAAGGUCUCCCUGACAAGUUGUCUGUUUUCUGUUUGUUGGUGUUAACUUAUUGUAUAUUUACUUUGUUGUUUGUCUAUCUAAGCUCGCUGUAAUAACUUAUUAGGGAACAACCUAAUGGAAGUGAGUAUCAACGAUUAUUAGGCUAAAUGUAAUUGGGAACAUUUGUUAAAGCUAAAAUAUGAUGAUUUUGUAAACAAAGAUAUACUGGAUGUAAUGAAUUUUUCUAAUAAAAAAAACAUAAAAAAACCAAAAACAAAAUAUCAACAUAUGUAACAUAAUCUUGACACAAUAUCAGUGUUUUCAUUUUAUGCCAUGUCCUAAACUUAUAAUUAGUCUUACAAUAUUAAUCCUUUAUGGCUCAGGUUUUCUGCAAUUAAACAUGUUAACAGGCUGUUGAAUGGAGACCUAUAACAGCCUUUUCCUUACUACAUUCUUUUAUCAUUGAAACGGUUUUAUUCUCUCUAGACCAAAUAGAAACUGAUCUGUGUCUAUUUCUUCAACAGAUAUAAACUUUUAAAAGUUCUGGCUAUCAUAUUACUCCUAUGUUCUGACUGUUCAGAUGCAGCACAAUUUUCAAAGACUUGGUCGAAGCCUAAUGUCGAAGACAUUGAUGGAUAUUUCAGAGAUGGAGAUGUGAUUUUGGGUGGAAUUAUUCUGUUAUUUAACUAUUACUACUCUAGUGAGUACACAUCUUAUACUCGUGCCCAUGUGUAUUCAACAACUAAACUAUGUGAUAUGUAAGUUACAAUAUUUGAAUACCAAAUUGUAAAGACAAAUUUAUAAUGAAUGUUUUCCUUUAUUUUUAAUGUGCAAGCUUAUGCCACAAUGUUGUAAAAUAAAUAAGAAAAUCAUACAGAUAAUUUAUGACAAACACAUUUAGGUGAAUAGAAACAAGAGAUGAGGAUCCUUCUCAAGUAAGCUUACAAUCAAUAGGAAGGGGGCAAAACUGCAUGAGAGGAUAGAUUUGAUUUAUCCAUGUGGGAUAAUAUAGAGAUUAUGAGAUAUAGUUGUAUAAGACACAUAGGCCUUAUUUUAAGAGUGAAUCAUGUUUAUCGACUUCCUGACAAGUAAUUUAUCAGUUAGGAUAGAUUAAAUUACUAUUGUUAAAGGCAUUUUGGGAGCCAAUAAAUAUUGGUUGGAAUAAUGAAACUGAUAUUUGAAAAUAUUGGAAUUUGCUUCGUUAAAAGAGCCUAUGUGGGUCAUUAUGACACCUACAUUACUAUAAUAGAGGUUUAACACCUCCCUUAUGCCCAUAAAUGGGAUGCUGUUUACUAAAUAGUGAGUAGCAAGUUUUCCAGCCUAGUCACUAAUAAAAUGCAGAGGGUACCUUUUAACUUUUGCAAAUUGAAAUUGUGGUUCGAAAGCAAGGGCAAAGUGUAGUGGCGAUAACAGACACGGUUAUCUGGUGCCAUUGUGUAUAGGGAAUGAGUCAGUUAAGGUGCCAUUUAAGCAAACCAUUGAGGUGGGAGUGACCUAUAAGGCACAUGCCCCAGGCAAACAUAUGUGGACCCAGGCCCAAACCAAAAGUGCUGGGAUUAGAAAGCCCCAGUUAACUCGAUCAAUGGACUUCUCCACUACAAACUCUACUGGGCUUGGUGUAUCUGUGCUAGAGCCCUUGCAUUGUCCCUGGCUUUCCUGCAGGCGAUAAAGCUCACCUGGUCUGAAUGAACUAGGGUUAGUAAGUACAGCUGUAGUCUAUCUGCAAGGAUCUUAGUGAACAAUAAUUAUGGAAGCAAUUGAACAAGUAGGUCUGUAGUUUGUAAGUGAAGAAGAGAGCCAGGAGACUCCAGACACUGUAACCACUUCAAUAUGGUGCCUAUAGUGACUGUUUAAUAUUAAUGUAGUGACGUUAUUUUGAUUGUAUAGGGACAAUAUAAACGUAAAUUUAAAUUACACAUGCAUUCACAUACCAGAAAAGAUAAAGAAAUUAAGAAAUUCUCAUGUGAGCUUUGUCAUUCUUUGAAUAUAGUGAUGUCUGGCCUAUGUAGGAUUUAGGAUUUUUAAUGUUUUCCUUUGAAUUCUGAUAAUAACUGGACCAUUGAAGUCUAGUUUAGGAACCAUUGAGCAGUCAAUCGCUAAAAAUUGUAAAUAGGAAAAAUACCACAAAAAAAACCCCAAAAACUGUUUUCUGAUUUGUAACUUACUUAAUAGAUAUUGGUAUACACUGUAUAUAUGUAUAGUAUUGAUUUGACAAAUGUUUAUUUAACAUAUAUCUUCAACUUUUCAGGCCAUCCCUUCGUUUCCUCCGUCAUUUUCUGGCUUUUGAUUUUGCUGUUCAAGAAAUUAAUAAUGACAGAAACCUUCUACCAAACACCACCCUGGGGUAUUCAAUCUAUGACUCUUGUUUCUUAGCCAAUAAAGCACAGGAAGCCACAUUAAAAAUUCUAUCAGGUGGAACAAAUCACCCUUUUAAUUACAGCUGCAAGAAGAAUUAUACAGUUGUGGGGUUCAUUGGACAUUUUCUCUCUUCAGUAACACGCUCAAUGGCAGACAUUCUCUCCAUCUAUGGCUACACACAAGUGAGAAACAUUAUUUUAUUUUGCCAUAUUAUAAAAUACUUCUUUAUAGAACAGAUCUAAAAAAUGUAAUGAUUGUACCCAAUAGUAAUUCCCAGAGGCACACAUUUUAAUGCUAGAAAUGUGUCUAGUGCAAACUAGACCUUAUGAAUGCAUCUCGUUAGUACAUAUCCCUCACACUCUAACCAGAGCUCAAUGUUUCUGCUAACCAAUGUUGAGUGAAAACUAAACUCUAGUGAGUGCUUUAGACUCUCCAAACUUGCAAUGGCAACUAAAAUUUAGGCCUGUGUGUGUAGUGGAAUAAGACUAGACAUUUUGAGCCCUGCUGUAACAAUCUAAAUUGUACUGAAAAAGAACUGAGUACUGAUCUUUGGGUCUGUUCUGUAUGGACCACAAAUAGCAGAAACAUGAGCUUUAGAAAAUGAAAGCAUUUCUCUGUGGAUUCUUUUAAAGGGACACUUGGCACCCAGAUCAUGCAUCUCAUUGAAAUUGUCUGGGUACAGUGAUCCGGUCUGUUUAACCCUGCAAUGUAAAACAUUGUAGGGUUAACUCCACCUCUAGUGGCUGUCUUCCAGAAAGUCACCAGAAUCGCAUCCAGGUCCCUGGUGAAGUUUAAUUUCACUAUCUGACAUUGGUCUAACAUCUUUGGUUCCCCACAGAAAAGCAAUGAUUCAAUGCUUUCCUAUGUGGAUGUGGAAGCUUGAAUGUGCACAUGUGCAUUAGGUCCCACCCCUGCUGUAAUGUUGCAGGAGGAGGAGACCUAGCUAGCGCUAAGGGAGUCUCAACACUAGAAAACGGUAAGUUAAAGCAUACAUUUUUACUUACCGUAAAUGUAUUUUUCCUGAAGAUUAGAGGCAUUGGUUUACAACAGGGAUUUCUAAUCUGGAGGGGGAAAAAAACAGGCAUUUGCCCCAAAUUUUAAGCACCUCACCCAAAUUACCUUUGGCACUAUAAAGUGUCUCUUACCUCUAGGAACCCCAAACAAUACAAAAGCCGGAUAACUGCAAAAUUUAGUUUAUUGGAAAAUCGGGGUGGGAAGUAAACACUGCAUCUAAUCUUCAGGAAAAAUAAAUUUACGGUAAGUAAAAAUGAAUGCAUUUCCCUUUAGAUUAGAGGCAUUGCUUUACAGCAGGGAUAACCAAAGAAAUCCCCUAAGGGCAGGACUCAUUUCACAACUGCUUGCAGCACCUUGCGCCCAAAAGUUGCGUCUUCCGAGGCCAGUAUGUCUAAUUUGUAAUGUUUAGCAAAUGUGUGAAGAGAUGAUCAUGUUGCUGCAAAACUAAUUUGAGAAGGUGUAGCUGAAGCCCUCAGGACCCAAGAUGUGGACAUAGCUCUGGUAGAAUGAGCUUUAAUGGAGAUAGGUGUAGGAACGUUAGAUGAAGAAUAUGCCAAACGAAUGGAGUCCAUUAACCAUCUGGCCAGAGAGCCUUUAGAUACCAUAAAACAAGACAAAACAUAUGUUUAUUUUCAGUGAUGUCCCGAACGGUUUGCUGGCGAAUAGUUCCUGGCGAACAUCGCUUGUUUGCGUUCGCCACGGAUGGCGAACAUAUGCGCUGUUCGGUCCGCCCCCUAUUCGUCAUCAUUGAGUAAACUUUGACCCUGUACCUCACAGUCAGCAGACACAUUCCAGCCAAUCAGCAGCAGACCCUCCCUCCCAGACCCUCCCACCUCCUGGACAGCAUCCAUUUUCCAUUCAUUGUGAAGCUGCAUUCUUAGUGAGAGGAGGGACAGUGUAGCUGCUGCUGAUUUGAUAGGGAAAUUGAUAGCUAGGCUAGUGUUUUCAGUGUCCACUACAGUCCUGAAGGACUCAUCUGAUCUCUGCUGUAAGGACAGCACCCCAAAAAGCCCUUUUUAGGGCUAGAACAUCAGUCUGCUUUUUUUUCUGUGUAAUGUAAUUGCAGUUGCCUGCCUGUCUGCCAGCCUGUGUGUCUGGCUCACAGCAUAUACUGUGCCCACUUGCCCAGUGCCACCACUCACUCACUGGUGUCACAAUAGCUUGCAUUUAAAAAAACAAAACUUUUUUGACUGUAAUAUAAUAGCAGUCAGUUUCCUUCACUAGUGUGCGUUUCAGGGCCUGCCCAGUGCCACCACUCACUCACUGGUGUCCCAAUAGCUUGCAUUUAAAAAAACCCAAAACUUUUUGGACUGUAAUAUAAUAGCAGUCAUUUUCCUUCACAAGUGUGCUUUUCCGGGCCUGCCCAGUGCCACCAUUGACUCACUGGUGUCCCAAUAGCUUGCAUUUAAAAAAACCAAAACUUUUUGGACUGUAAUAUAAUAGCAGUCAGUUUCCUUCACGCAUGUGCGUUUCAGGGCCUGCCAGGGCACAGUGUCGCACCAGUGCAACUCAUAUCUGGUGUAACAGUAGUGUACAUUUAAAAAAAAAAAAUACAAUUUUGACUGUAAUAGAUUGAAUAGCAGUUAGUUGUCUGCCAGCGUGUGUGUCAGGCUCACAGCGUAUACUGUGCCCACUUGCCCAGUGCCACCACUCAUAUCCGGUGUCACAAUAUCUUGCAUUUAACAAAAAAAAAACUUUUUGGACUGUAAUAUAAUAGCAGUCAGUUUCCUUCACAAGUGUGCGUUUCAGGGCCUGCCCAGUGCCACCACUCACUCACUGGUGUCCCAAUAGCUUGCAUUUAAAAAAAACAAAACUUUUUGGACUGUAAUAUAAUAGCAGUCAGUUUCCUUCAUGCGUGUGCGUUUCAGGGCCUGCCAGGGCACAGUGUCACACCAGUGCAACUCAUAUCUGGCGUAGUGUACAUAAAAAAAAAAUAAUUUUUGACUGUAAUUGUACAGUGCCACUCAUAUCUGUUGUCACAGUAGCUUGCACGCAUAGUACCACUAAUCGAAAAAAAAAUGACAAGUAGAGGCAGGCCACCCCGCAGGGGCCGUCGUGGUCAUGGUGCUGUGAUUCCCUUUGGCCCUAGAAUAAUGCCCAGUGUUCCGAGGCCACGUAUCCUGAACUCGAAAAGUUCUGAGGACAUAGUUGACUGGCUAAUACAGGACACCCAAUCUUCUACAGCUUCUGCUCGGUACCUUGACGCACCAUCCUCCUCCAGCUUAGCUUCGGGCACCUCUCAAGUUACCACUCGCCCGCCUGCCGCCACCACCAACACUAGCACCACAGCAGCUUCACUUGGUAUGUCAGAGGAGUUAUUUACACAUCAGUUGGAAGAAAUGAGUGAUGCGCAACCAUUAUUGCCAGAGGAUGUGUCUCAGUCAGGCAGCAUUACACACAGCAUUACACACAUGGACGUACGGUGUGAUGAUGAUGAUGUUGUACCCGCUGCUGCUUCCUUUGCUGAGUUGUCAGAUACAAGUGAACUGCAGUUGAUGAUGACGAUGCGUCCAUGGAUGUCACGUGGGUGCCCGCUAGAAGAGAAGAAGAACAGGGGGAAAGUUCAGAUGGGGAGACAGAGAGGAGGAGGAGGAGGAGAUGAGUUGGAAGCAGGGGGAGGUCGUCGCAAGGAGCUAGUGGCACAGUCAGACAAAAUGCAUCGGCACCCGGGGUCAGCCAGACAGCACGCCAAUCAACGCAUGCUGUUGCCACCACCAGAAUGCUGUCAUUGCAGAGCUCAGCAGUGUGGCAUUUUUUUUGUGUGUCUGCCUCUGACAACAGCGAUGCCAUUUGCAACCUGUGCCAAAAGAAACUGAGUCGUGGGAAGUCCAACACCCACCUAGGUACAACUGCUUUGCGAAGGCACAUGAUCGCACAUCACAAAUGCCUAUGGGAUCAACACAUGAGUACAAGCAGCACACAAACUCAAAGCCGCCAUCCUCCUCCUGGUCCAGCAUCUUCAGCCACGUUAACCACUGCUGUCCUCCUUGCCCCCUCUCAACCAUCCGCCCCUCCGUCUCUCGCCUUGAGAAGUUCCUGCUCACAAAGUCACCCCCUUGCCCGGCAGCUGGCUUGACUGAACUCUUAGCCCACCAGCUUUUACCAUACAAGCUGGUGGAGUCUGAGGCAUUCAAAAAAUUUGUAGCUAUUGGGACACCACAGUGGAAGGUACCCGGACAAAAUUUCUUUGCAAAAAAAGGCAAUCCCCAACCUGUAUUCGAUUUGUGCAAAAGGAAGUAAUGGCAUGUCUGGCACACAGUGUUGGGGCAAGGGUCCAUCUGACCACUGAUACCUGGUCUGCAAAGCAUGGUCAGGGCAGGUAUAUCACCUACACUGCGCAUUGGGUAAACCUGCUGACGGCUGCCAAGCAUGGAAUGCGUGGCUCUGCAGAGGAGUUGGUGACACCGCCACGACUUGCAGGCAGGCCUGCUGCCACCUCCUCUACUCCUCCUACUCCAUCCUCUUCCAUAACCUCCUCGGCUGAGUCCUCUUCUGCUGCUGCGUCUUGCUCCACAUCAACGGCACCCCCCCAGCUCCCCAGGUACUAUUCCACAUCCUGGAUACGGCAGUGUCACGCCGUCUUGGGGUUGACUUGCCCCACUUGCCUGAAAGCAGACCAGCACUCCUGUCCGCCCUGAACGCACAGGUGGAUCAGUGGUUGACUCCACACCAACUGGAGAUCGGCAAAGUGGUUUGUGACAACGGAAGAAAUUUGUUGACGGCAUUGCAUCAGGGCAAGUUGACACAUGUGCCGUGCAUGGCACAUGUGUGUAAUCUGAUCGUACAACGCUUUGUGCAUAAGUACCCAGGCUUACAGGACGUCCUGAAGCAGGCCAGGAAGGUGUGUGGCCAUUUCAGGCGUUCCUACACGACCAUGGCGCACUUUUCAGAUAUCCAGCGGCGAAAAAAAAUGCCAGUGAGGCGCUUGAUUUGCGACAGCCCGACACGUUGGAAUUCAACACUCCUAAUGUUCGACCGCCUGCUCCACCAAGAAAAAUCCGUUAACGAGUAUUUGUAUGACCGGGGUGCUAGGACAGCCUCUGCGGAGCUGGGAAUUUUUUUGCCAUGUUACUGGACGCUCAUGCACAAUGCCUGUAGGCUCAUGCGUCCUUUUGAGGAGGUGACAAACCUAGUCAGUCGCACCGAAGGCACCAUCAGCGACAUCAUACUAUUUGUUUUCUUUCUGGAGCGUGCCCUGCUAAGAGUGCUGGAUCAGGCCGUAGAUGAGCGUGAAGAGGAAGAGGAAGAGUUGUGGUCACCAUCACCACCAGAAACAGCCUUAUCAGCAUCGCUUGCUGGACCUGCGGCAACGCUGGAAGAGGAUUGUGAGGAAGAGGAGUCAGAGGAGGAAUGUGGCUUUGAGGAGGAGGAAGAGCAACCACAACAGGCAUCGCAGGGUGCUCAUUGUCACCUAUUUGGUACCCGUGGUGUUGUACGUGGCUGGGGGGGAAGAACAUACCUUCAGUGAGAUCACUGAGGACGAGGAACAGGACAUGAGUAGCUCGGCAUCCAACCUUGCGCAAAUGGGGUCUUUCAUGCUGUCGUGCCUGUUGAGGGACCCUCGUAUAAAAAGGCUGAAGGAGAACGACCUGUACUGGGUGUCCACGCUACUAGACCCCCGGUAUAAGCAGAAAGUGCCUGAAAUGUUACCGAAUUACGGCAAGUCGGAAAGGAUGCAGCAGUUCCAAAAUCAAUUAAAAAGUAUGCUUUACACAGUGUAUAAGGGUGAUGUCACAGCACAACGGGAAUCUAACAGGGGAAGAGGUGAAAGUAAUCCUCCUCCUCCCACGACCAUGCCGACAAGGGCAGGACGCUUUACAGACAUGUUGUUGAUGGAGGACAUGCGGAGCUUUUUAAGUCCUACGCAUCGCCACAGUCCUUCGGGGUCCACCCUCAGAGAAUGACUCGACCGACAGGUAGCAGACUACCUCGCCUUAACUGCAGAUAUCGACACUCUGAGGAGCGAUGAACCCCUUGACUACUGGGUGUGCAGGCUUGACCGGUGGCCUGAGCUAUCCCAACUUGCUCUCUGAGAAGAGAAGUCGCCUAGGUCAAAAAAGUCUAGAUUACCUCACCUUUAUUAAGAUGAAUGAGGGAUGGGUCCCGAAGGGACUGACAGUGGGCGACACAUUAGACUAAAAAAGGCCUGAUGAGGGGGAAGUAACAGGGUGUCGUGGCUGCCAGCCUGCUGCGUAAUAUUUAAAUCUAUAGCUCACCCCAGUACCUUGCCCUGUCGUGGUUUCCUGUUCCUGGUUUCCUGAGAGUGCUUUAUCAUUGUGAAUCUGAUUUCCUGGUAUCCUGAUCUUGGCUUUUCCCUGGUUAUUCUGAAUUCUGGUUUCCCUGACUUGGCUUGUGUAAAAGGUAUUGUGUAUUUUCUAGCUUCCUUGGCUUUCCCUUUGACCAUUCUCUGUCUCUAGCGUAUUAGUCCGGCCAUUCUAAGGUCCGGUUUACGCUCUGUCCUUUUAUUUUCCUUUUCUUGCCUACGUAUAUGUUUACAUAGUUUCUGCGUGGUGGACCACACUAGUAGUUGUGACAUUGGGAUUAAACUGAUAAGAAUAGUACUACUUAACACACCACUCCUAUCUAGUGGCACAUUAGAUUGCACGCGCAGUGCCCCAAAUUUGAAGUAGGAGGACCGACCAAGCAUCUUUUUCCAUCUACCGGUUCCUAAAAUCGAUGCCAUAUACACGUCCCCUGAUAGGGGACGUAACAGGGAUUAAACUGAUAGGAAUAGUACUACUUAACACACCUUAUAAUAACGCAGAGAGAGGCAACGCAGAGAGAGGAGUCUGAAGAAGAAAAGUCAGAGGAGGAAGGUGGCUUUGAGGAGGUGGAAGACCAAACACAGCAAGCGUCCCAGGGGGCUUGUUGUCACCUUUUGGGGACCCUUGGUGUUGUACGUGGCUGGGUGGAGGAAGAGACCUUCAAUGACAUCAGUGAGGACAAGGAACGGGACAUGGCUAGCUUGGUAUCCAACCUUGUGCAAAUGGGGAGUUUGCGGUUGUGCAAAUGGACUGUUUGCGUUUGUUUGCGGUGCGUUAAACGGGGAGUUUGGUCUGUCACUGUGAAGGGGGCGUAACCCUUACACUACCUGAUCGAUAAAACAUCAUACCUGAUGUUUUAAAGCACAUUAUUCCAAACAAUUUAGGAAUGUUAGGUGAUUUAUGCCCUUUAUCAAUUAAAACCAGACUCUGCAUCAACUAUGUAAUUUUCCAUGGGAGUUUUACCAUGGAUCCCCCUCUGGCAUGCCACAGUCCAGGUGUUUGUCCCCUUGAAACAACUUUUCCAUCACUAUUGUGGCCAGAAAGAGUCCCUGUGGGUUUUAAAAUUCGCCUGCCUAUUGAAGUCUAUGGCGGUUCGCCGGGUUCGCCCAUUCGCGAACAUUUGCGGAAGUUCGUGUUCGCCGUUCGCAAACUGAAAAUUUGAUGUUCGCAACAUCACUAUUUAUUUUUCUUAAAGGACCUUAUUAUUUCUUGAUUGAUGUUGAACAAACCUUGGCAAUAAAAGAAGGAUCCAGCUUUAAAACCACUUUGCCCUGAUGGAAACUAAAAAAGGAAAAAAACUGAAUUAAGAGCUUGAAGCUCUCCCAAUUUUUUUGCCGAGGUAAUUUCCACCAAAAAUAAAGUCUUGAACGAUAAAACAUUGAAAGAAGACUUUUCUAUAGGUUCAAAAGGAGGUUCACAGAGUGCUGAUAAAACCAAAUUAAGAUCCCAUGGUGGAAAGGUUUCCCUGAUGGCACGAACUAAACGAGACAAAGCUUUGAAAAACCUAAUGAUUACAAUAUUCAAAGCCAAACAUCUGAUUGAGAAGAAACUGAUAGAAACUUGGACCAUAAGUAGCACGUUUCAAUCAUUUUCGGAAAGCCCAUUUGAAGGAAUCUAAGGAUGUUUGGAUUGGAAGUGGUUACGGGAUUUUCUUUGAUCUUGACACACCAGAAACAAAAUUUCUUCCAUAUUCUGGAAUAAAUCCUGGAAGUUGCUUCUUUUUAUGGAGACAUUAAAAUCUCAAUAACUUCAGGAGACAAACCUUUUUCUUUUAAGAUCUGGUAUUCAGAAACCAGGCCGUCAGGUUGAAUUUCUUCAGAGUUGGAAGAGGUACCAUGGAGUGUGCCAGGAUUUCUACUGACAGGGGAGGUUUUCCAAUAGGUUGAUAUGGAUAUAUUUAGGAGAACGGUGAACCAACGCCAUCUCGGCCACCCUGGCAGAAUUAUGAUUAUUCUUACUCCUUCUAUCCUGAUCUUCUGUAGAAUCCUCGGAAUAAGAGAAAUAGGAGGAAAAUCAUAGGCUAGGCCGAAAUUCCAUGGAAUAGAAAGGGAGUCUAUGGUCUCUGGCCUGUUUGAAGGGUUUAAAUAUGCAAAUCUUGUUUUCUUGUUUGUUCUUGAGCCAUCAGGUCCAUUUCUCGAUAACCAAAUUUCUUUGGUCUCUUUCAUCCCAGAUCUUCAGUCAAAUAACUAUCUGCUUAUUGUAAAUGCUGAUGACUUAGAGCGUCUUCCAGAAUGUUGAAUUCUCCUUUUAUGUGUACUGCUGAAAUAGACAGAAGAGAUACUCUGACCAUAGCAUGAUUCUGGAAUACAGAUUUUUCAAACAAGCUGACCGUGUUCCUCCUUGUUUGUUGAUAUAUGCUACUGUUGUAGAAUUGUAUGACCAGAUCUGGACAUGAUUAUUCUGUUUCUGGAAAGCAAUGAGAGCCAGCCAGACAGCCUUCAGUUGUUUGUAAUUUGAUGAACUUCUUAAAUCUUUUCUUCUUUUCUCCCAUGUGAGCACCCCAGCCGAGACCUGAGACAUCUGUUAAAAUUCUGAAUGACUUCAUUUGGAAAGAAAGGCCUGACUGCAGGAAAUGUGACGAAGUCCACCAGAGAAAGCUCUUCAGGACACGACUGUUGAGUUUCAUAGGCAUGUCCAAGCUGUUCGUUUGUUCCAGAAGCUUAAAAUAUUUAUUUGAAUAAGUCUCAUUCUGGCCUUUGCCCAAUUGACUGCUGGAUUUGAGGCUGUGAAAAGACCCAGCAAACUCAUUGCUUCUCUGAUGGAGCAAAAACUUUCCUCUGAGGUUCUGAAUAACUCGAGCAAUUUUUGUUCUUUUUUCUUCAGGAAGAAAGAUCUUCAUACCGACUGUCUAUAAUCAGACCCUGAAACUAUUCUUUGGCUUGGUACCAAUUCCGACUUUACAAAAUGUAUUAACCAACCAUGCCUUAAAGGUCUUAAUAAAGUUGUUCUUUUGAGCCUGCAAUUAAAAGCCAGUCAUCUAAAUAAGGCAUGACAUUGAUGCCUCUUCCCCUUAAAUCUAUGGAAAUAGCUACCAGAAUAUUGGAUUCACUUGCGCAUGGACAAAGCGCGCCACAAUUCCACAGUGAAAAGCAUCGCAACCUGUACGUGAGUUCCACUGCCAGGACCUCCCAGCCCGUGCACACAUGUGCACCUUCGCCUUACCUGGCACCCGGCAUUUUUUUAAGUAGAACAGAUAAGAGUAGAUUGAAUGCAGGCGUCUGGUGUGCUUACAACUAGAAAGGAGUUCUAGCAAAAUCACCAGCUGUCAAAUGAAGAAGCAGAGCCUCAGCCCCCUCACCAUACUUCCUAAAAAAAACAAAAACCUAAUAUAAAGGGAAAAAAAAAGCGUUUUUAACCCUUAAAUCAUUAAAGGGUGGGGGACACCUACAAAACUAGUGACAGUGAAACUAACAUUACAAAUACAAGUUUGUAUUCCUAACACUAUGGUGUUCCUUUUAAGUCACAAUAACCACUGAUAAAAAUAUACACAAGAACAACUUAUGUCACACAUUGGGUGUACUUGUACAUUGGGUGUCAGGCUACUCACAUCAUAUACCUUUUAGCAUCAUAGAAAUUACGAUGAUCAGAAGUAUCCUACUUUACCCUGUUUUUAUCCAUUUCUCCAUUUAGCUCCUGACCUGUCAUAGUUCUUGUUACCAGAGAUUGUGUGUCUUAUCUAUUAUUCUGAGUUUCUUAACCAAAUCCUGUUUGACUGUUCUGGUUUUAAUGUGUACCGUGACUUUGGAUUGCCUUACUGUUCUGUAAUUCCUCUGUACUCCUAGAUGUUCACCUGUUCCUGAUUCUGCUUACCUGCAGGUGUUUUGUUUUCUCUUCUGAGUUUUACGUUCAGUCUAAGGAUUGAGAAUACAUAUCUAUCCUAUACUUUGCUUGUAGGGAUUUUUUUCAUAUUUUCUAUACUUUUGUUUUUAGGGUUUUCAACAAAGCAUAUGUACUACAAGAGCUCAAAAGAUUAAAGUAAACUGAAACAUUUUCUAAUUAAGGCCUUGUUAGGCUUGAAAUCACAACAGGGUCUGAAAAACCUUAUGCUACCAUGGUCUUAUGCACAAACAAAGAUGUUUCUGCUUUCCUUUAUUUCUGUAAUCAGUUGUAGGGAAAAUUUUGUGAAGUCACACCACUCAGCUGUAUCAAUAGGCAUUCAAACGUUUAAUGCUUCGUACAUCUUAUACAUAACACAGUUUGUUUAGGGGUGUAUACAUCAACGGAAACAUUAACCAAUCAUCGGAGUCUCAGAACCAAAAGUAUAUAUUUUCAUAUAACAUUUUGUAAUGCUGUUAGUUAGUCUCCUGUUCACUGAUGCAAUUGACAGUAUGAGAUUAGGAACCCAAUUAAAAAUUGCAGAUGCUAGAAAGAAUGUCAAUAUUUAAAGUGCAGGAUGUUUAUAAGAGAUAGCGAAAACUGGUGUCAGGCGCAAGAACAGAAAAAUAUUGCAUUUUUUUUUUAAAAUGCCAGUUUAACCCAUUCAAAACAUGAGUAUCUUGUAUUAUAAUCAGGCCUACUGACCAUUUUGUCUUUCAAGAUAUGUAUACAGUAAUACUUUAGCUACGUAAUAAGAAAUGCAGAAGUAGAAAGCAGGACAUUAGACUGACACCCUGUAUCAUAAAAUAUAUAGCUCUGUAUGUCUAGGGGAAUAUUCACUAAGCACUGCAUAGGUAAAAACAUUUUUUUCCAACAGGCCUUGAUUUAAUAUUUUUGGGCACGCUUUUAACAGUAUCAAAAAUGUAUCAUAAAAAAAAUAUAAAUUAAAAUAUGGUAUGAUUUUCAAAGUUUUUACAAAAAUUUAAAUUAUUUAAAAAGCUUAUUUAAAUAUAUUAAAUUGAGUCCUACGUUAAAGCAAAGUAUGAAAAGUAAUUCAUACUACUGUAAUCAACAUAACUUACCUGCUCAGAAUUUUAUGAAAAACAGCAUGAUGUAAACCAGCAGAAUAUUAAUGUCCACUACACAUUAUGUAAAUAAUUAAUUCACACAAAUAGUUUUGUUUUUUUAAUUUUUUUAUUUUAAACAAUUUUCAUAUUUAUCAUUAAAGAAUUUGAGUCAGUCAAUGACUUGACUGUUGCCUUGUCUGGGACUCUAACAAAGUAGAUGUGACUGAUCUAUUUUGUACAAUAUUCAUAGAUGAGGAUAUGGCAAGGGGAGCAUUGUCAUUCGCAGUCAAGGGCGACAGGGCCAGUGAAAAUUCAGUCCUGGUAAACCGAACAUCUCCUGUGUGCCAUGGAUCUUUCAGUGGAAGUUAACUUUUAAGCCUGUCUAGUAGCGUGGAACUUGAUAUUUUAGCCCUCUCUAUAUACAGAGAUCCUCAUGAGGGAACCGUUUCAAUGUGGGUAAAUCUCACAAGAGCAGUUAUUAGAGUGGUACAGAGUAGCAGUGGCGUGCUAAGAGGGGACGGAGGGAGCUGUCCGCCCCGGGUGCCACUCACUAGGGGGGUACCAGGGGCAGGCUGUGUCGGGUCCUGGGUCACUGACUGAGAACCUGACACCAGGAGGGGGCCUGGCGGUAUAUCGAACAAGUGUGAUGCCCCUCCUGCGCAAAUUGCAGACACCGGUCUGCAGCUCUGCAGUGUGCAGAGCUGCAGACCGUGUGUCUCGCGAGAUCUGAUCAAUCAAAGCAUUGCCGUAGGUUACCACAGCAAUGCUCUGACUGGGUCUCGCAAAAUUCAUGGUCUGCACUGCUGAGCUGCAGACUGGAUAUCGCCGGAUAUCAACACCGGACCACCAGGGAGCCCACACUGGACCAUCAGGGAAUAAAAUAAGGUAUUUAGUCCCUCUCACCAUCACACCAUCACUCCCCCCUCUCUCUCACCAUCACAACAUCACUCCCCCCUUCCUCACAGUAUGACCCUCCCCCUCUCACGUUCCCCCCUCCCUCAAACCAUCACUUCCCCCUCCCUCACAGUAUGACCCCCCUCUCACUUUCCACCCUCUCACCUCUGUGUGUGUAUAUAUCUGUGUAUGUGUUGUGACAGAGUCUGUGGGAGGGUAAUAGAAGGAAGGUAUUUAGGACCCAGACUCCUCCAUAGCCUGUACUCAUUCACCUUCCCAAUUAGCAACUGCUGAGGCUUUAAUUAGCAGGUCUCAGAGCAGAAAGGGGGAGAUACAAUCUGACCUGCAGAGAGAGAGCAGCACCAAACAAAGUGCUAAAGGUUGGUGAAACCAAUGUUUAUUUUGUUGAAUUGUGUAGUUUAUUACCCUGGUUUAGAAAGGGACAUUACUUGAUGUUUAGUUAGUGCUCAAAUUUGAGCUAGGAUUUUGUUUGUAAACUUUCCUUUCUGUUUUGCUGAAGUUUUGAACAAACGUAUUGCUGCAUGGAUUUUUGUGCACGAUUUAAAUAAACCACACCAUUUUUGUAUAAGAGACUGUUGUUCGGUACCUGUUACCCUAGAGGACUGUGUUGCUUUGCCCUCAAAAGGUCACAGUGUAUAUAUCUGUAUGUGUGUGUGCAUAUAUGUGUGUGUAUCUGUGUGCGUGUAUAUCUGUGCUUGUAUAAAUGUUACAUCCCCUGAUAGCCCUGAUCUGGGUGACCAAUAUAUCCAAAAAUCACCCAGAUCAGUUCAGGGGUUUUGGAAUUUUAUUGAAGUCCAAUUUUGACCGACCGAACACAAGGGCUCCUGCCCAGAAACCGUUCCAUGAAUUUAGGUUGAGCGGCCGGUCUAUUUCAACAAGUCUUAAAAAUGAACAAAAGCAUGAACUGCACUCCCUGGCUCAUAGUAGCGAUUGUUCCCCUGGUUCGUGGGAACAAAACUACAGAACAGCGCUCUCCUGUCUGUUCGGGAAAAGGAAGCAGUUCAUACAGUUUGACCAGUAAUCGGGAAGUUGAGUGUCCGAUUUUAGUUACAGACACUCAACGACCAAGUCCCGCUGCCUCCUUUUGUGCGAACAAGAUGGCCGCCAUUUUCUCCUGCACGUGGCGAUCAACUAUAUGAACGGCGGCCACACAGGGAGAGCACUUAAUUGACUGUUCUCUUUGAAAAUAAUGAGGCGGGGGGGAGCGGGGGUUGGUGUUCGGUAGUUACAGCUACCGAAUGAAAAAAAGUCAAAUAACCGAAAUACCACUGUAAUUUCUUCACACUGCCUUCUAUCAAUAUAAGUUUGUAAGUGCAAUACUUACCCAAUUCCCAGUUAUUGUUUUAUGCUUACAGUAUUACACUACUUUUUUUUUAUCUAUUGUAGAUAUGUGGUGUUUUAUAUGCUUUUGAAGCCUGAGAUGAGUCUUUUCUCUACAUUUUAACAAGGGGUAAUUACUAUUUUAUGCAUUGUAUAUUUUUUCACCGGUGGCGCUUAAUUGUUUGGUUUGCUUUUUGUGUUUGUGGUGUAACAAAAUAACCUGCCUGCUUUAGAGUGCGUCUAAUGGCCAGCAUGGUUUCCUCUUUUUGAUAGACACUGUUGGAGAAUAUCCAUCCUUACUGGCAACCAUGCUUGAUUGUUGCAGGAAGAUUGCAGGGUGUGACGGUCUGCCAAGGUAUUACCGCCAUGCAUACUCUUUUCCCAUAGUAAUCAUACUCCAGUAAUCCACAGGUUACAAUAUCGCUGGUAUCGCAUAAUAGCCCACACAUGAGCCAAAGCUUAAUGCUGGGACAAGACUGGUUUAAUGGAAAACAGACGUUCAAUUUAUACAGUGAAGAAACUCCUCCUCUGAGCCAGGGAGAUAAUUGAGUCAGAGGUCCUGGUACAGAAAAAGUUUAAAUUUUAUAACCCCCCAAAAGUACCCCAUAAAAUGCAUGGGAACCCCACAAAAGUCACAUCCCUGUGUAGCUUGAAUCUGGGGGAACAAUAUAUUCGAAAAUCAGCCAGAUCCAUUAGGUAGUUUGUGAUCGGCACCGCAGGGAAGAUUUGACCGGUCUGCCACGAGGUCGAAGUCCAGAAAAAGUUCCAUGAAAAGUGUGGCAAGAGACGGUCUCCAUUUGUGGGGUUUUGCAUGAAAACCACAUAAGAUUGAGUCUAGCUGAUUCAUGGAGAAUGCUCCCUGUGUUCGGUAUUCUGAAACUCCUGAACGCCAUUCAUCUAAGUGAAUGGGAAGGAGAAUGUAGAGUAGAUCCAUAGAGACCGGUGUUUGCGAGAGUGCCUGGCCGAAAUGAGUUCCAGGCCCUUGAUAACCGGGAGACAAGAUGACCUCCAUCCAUUGUUCCAACUACGUGUAUUUGUAUGGAUGAAAUGGCGGCAACCCUGUGGAGCCUUCAAUUAACGAUUUUCUCAGUGGUUUUCAUACAAGAUACACAACGUUCCAUGUUCUAAUUGGUCUCUGGGGUGGUCUCGGUUUGGGAACUGAACAAAAUAACGAACAAACUGGAACAGGAUGACAAAAACUAACGUAAGAAGCCGAACAGUGAUGGGGCAUUCCUUCACAUAGGGCAUAUCAACUGUAGUCAGGGCCGCCAUCAGAAAUUUUGGGGCCCCUAACACAGCUCAAGGUCUGGCCCCUUGGGUGCCUGCAUCCAAGCCCACCCACAGGGCCUGCCUCCAAGUCUGCAGUGUACAGGGUGUGUUUGCAUAUUGGAUGGUGUGUGUGCGCACAUGCGUACGUAAAUGCAAAAUACAAAAGUCCUUGCACACUUGCUUAAAUUAGUGAUGUUUGCCAGGUGCUCACUCUUGGCUUCAUCAUUGGCACUCACUGACUUAUGUAGAAGUUCCAGUAUUUCUUUAUUUCUUCAUAUUAAUAAUGAAAAUCCACUAUACUGUGUGGGAACAAAACGAGUUUAGGAGCCAGUCGACGUUUCAGUCCUCAGGUGGGACUGAAAUGUCGACCGGCUACUAAACUAAUUUUUGUUCCCACACAGUAUAGUGGAUUUUCAUUAUUAAUAUGGAGAAAUAAUGGAACUUCCACAUAAAAUGAGAGAGUGUGUGUGUGUGUGUGUGUGUGUGUUCCAAAACAUAGGACGAUCGUUACGAGGAGGGUAUAUAUAGGCUGGCAAAUGUUUUGUGAAAAAUUUUUUUUUUCUGUCUGGAGAUAAUGGAGUUAUUACAUUAUCUGGCUCAAUUAUCUCACAGGCAGAGAGGAGGGAAUUAUCUGUUUGUAUUUGGAGUGUCACACUUUGUCACUGUAUUAUUAUUGGCUGUAACCUUUGUGUCCCUGUCCCCCACAAGGUCCAUGUGGGAGUGCCCCUUGCAUGGGGACUUGCAUAAAAGCCAGUGUGGCACCCAUUAAAACCAUUCCUGUUACACCCUUCAUCAAGUUUCAGCUGAUGUUUGGGUACCUGCCUGCUUUACAGGGAGAAUAUACUUGGGAGACUGUCAUUCGUAUGGAGAAUCGUUCGACUCAGCACCCGAACUGCGAGCUAUAAUCACUCAGGCAGUUCGGGAGGAAAUAGACGAAUGGGUACCGGUUAUACCAGAGUUCGUUACAGGCAGUAUAAUCAUAAACAAAAGCAAUCUUCACUCUGAGGCUCCCAAUUAGCAGCACCACAUCUAGAGGGAGAUAAAAAUGGGACACAGAAUAGAUCUUAAGACAUAAAAUUACUAAAAAAAAUUCGGUUGCACUUACAACAUUUAAAAUAAAUGAUAGCUUGUCAUCAUCUCAACCAAAGAUCCCAAUGAAUUGGAAAAGCAAAAAGAUGAAAUGGCAUGAAAAACAGGAUAUAACACAACCAUAAUCAAAUAAUAGCCCGGCAGACUUUUAUUAUUGACUUAUUCUGUGUUUCAAAGUGUACAAAUGCUACACUGCAAGCAGCACACACACAAUAAAAUACAAAUAUGGUUUCAAAACUGAUUUUUUUUUUUUUUUUUUUUAGUGCAGCUGCUGCAGUACACUGAACUGAAAAUAUUAAAUACUUUCUGCAAACAAUUAAAAAAAAAAGCCCAGCCACACUGUAAAUCAGUGAAUUAAAGAUGGUGUAAGUGGUACUGGUAGUGCCUAGGUUCAGCAGUAACCUAAUCACCACACGAGGAUCAAUGACACAGGCGCAGCGAUGGUAAAACCAAUAACUGACUUCUGGUCUGAUCCCUUAAAGGGACAGUCCACUGCAAGUCCCCUCUCCCUCCCACCCCCCAUCCCAAGUUGCUGAAGGGGUUAAAACUCCUUCAGUGACUUGAUAUAGACAGUGGAACCAGCGCUUAUAUAUAGAAGUAAAUAUUAAAUACAAAUAUAACUUAUAGUAUUAAAUAGCUGCUAAACAUUCAUAGAUUCCUAUUAACUUAAACACACAAAACAAAUUUGGAAUGUAGCGCUUAUAAAUAAUAAAUUAAUCACCUUUGCAAUUUUAGAGUAAAAUGUCACUGGAAAUCAGCAAGGAAAAUUGUAAGCAGAGAGCUGUCGACUUAGCUCUAAUUUUAAUAGCUUCUGGGUCUAUACAGGUGACCCCAAACCCUUCUCACAGUAUGUUCCUGAGGUCUGUAAAUGAAUAAAAAUACACCCAAUAGUGCAAUAUCGUUUGUAUGUCUUAGAGAAAAAAUAUAUGUGAUCUUUAAGUGGGUACUCACAAGUAUAGAGUCAAAAUAAUUGACUCAAUUUCUAAGCGUUGUGCAAAUUCGGGACUGCACUCCCCAUACAAUGAAACGAUGUCGGGAACCAGGAUCAUUCGAAAAUAAAAGCAAUUAUUUAUUUAAUACACUCAUAAAUAAAAUAGCCACAAUGUGCUUAAAAAUACCGGGACGCGUUUCGCCACUACCGACGUGGCUUCUUCAAACCGGAUUGUAACAAAGCAACAAUAAUCCUGGGACCCCUCUUCUUAGGUUUAAAUAUACAAAAAACGGCGGGCAAAUUCCACAACACAUUAACCGUCGCACAUCGUUACCACCCACAGGUACGACGUGUGCGGUCCAUGCCUCCCUUUCAUGUUGAUAUCGGGAGUGAAGAUGUUUAUAUUCAUUCUUAUCCUUUCCAUUCAUCUUCAUUUUUCGAUAGCUGGUAUAAAUAUCUUAAAAGUUCGUUGUUGAAUAUAGAAAUUGAAUCCUUUAAUAUCCUCAAAAGUCCGUCCAACGAAAAAUAAUAUUUUUCUCAUAUGUAGAAAGGAAGCGAAAAAAUAAAAACAAAAAAACAACAAGGGACAGUAUCAGUUUUCUUAUUGUUACAAAUAUUUCAAUAUCUAUCAUCUGUAACAUUUUAUCAAUUCUAAUUCACAAUGAUACUGUAGUGAAUACAUAGUUAAUCUCAGUUAUUUCUCUACAUUUUAACCUUUUGAUCUUAAUAUAAUCCACAAUAAUGAAAACCCCAAAUAAAAUUGUAGUGUUAUUGCAUAUCCCCUUUCUUUUUCUUAAGAAUACACUGUGGAUAAAUAAAAUAAUGAUGGCUCUUCUUUAUGCUCUAUUCCUAGAUAUCCACAGUGAUUUAUCAAUUAUCUUCUAGACAGUGAAAUAGUUAACUAAUACGGAAAAAGAUUAAAAUAUUAUAAAAUAAUUAUUGUAAAAAGUGCUAUGAUUGUUAUUGUUUAAACUCCAAUAGGUUUUUUGGCAAUAUUAACAGGGUAGAUUUCUUUACCACAUACAUAUAAAUUACCAAACGAAAUAAUUCACAAUUCCUUGUAUGUUUAAUACAUAAAUCUUAUAUAUCUAUCUAUUCUAUACAAUUACCACUAAAAUCCAUUACCAAAUACUGAAACUUUUUUUUUUUUUUUAAAUUUCAUAAGAAAUGGCACAGCUCAAAGUCCGCAUUAAGACCAUAUGGAAUUAACGUAUUUAGUCUAUAAAUCCAUUCCAUCUCACGUUUGCCUAAAUCUUUUAUGAAGUCCCCUCCUCUCCAAUUUCUAUUUAUUUUAUUGAUCCCCAUAAACUGUAAGCCCUCUGGUUUUUGAUCAUGACAUAAUUUAAAGUGGCUCGAGACACUAUGUUGCUCGAAACCCGUCUGGAUUUUAUAUAUGUGUUCUCUGAUUCUAGUAUGUAGUGGUCUUAUUGUCCUCCCCACAUAUUUCAGUCCACAUGGACAAAUUAAAAGAUAUACCACAUUUUUAGUAUAGCAUGUUAUAAAUUGCUUAAUUUGGAUUUUUUUAUCCUUGUUCGAAGUUAUAUCUUUUAUUAUUCUUCGUUUGCAUCCUGACUUUUUGCAGGCAGAGCACUGACCACAACCAUAAAAUCCCUUCUCAUUAUUAAAUAUAGUGGAGGUGUGAUUUUGUUCUUUUAGAGAGCUCCGAACCAGGCUAUUCCUCAAAUUUUUUGCACCCCUAUAUAUUAUUCUAGGUUUCGCAGGGAGAAUUCGUUUAGUGCUGGGUCCUGUAAUAGGAUCGGCCAAUAUUUCUUAAUAAUUCGGUUUAUUUGAUGAUUAUUAUUGUUGUAAUUACAGAUAAAAGGGAUAUCUUGUAUAUUGGCAAUAGUUUUAGUUUUGUAUACUAAUAAGUCCUUCCUCUCCCUAUUUCUAAUUUCAUUUCUUGAUUUCUCUAGUUUUUCUGCAUCAUAGCCCUUCAUGACAAAAUCAGUUUUUAUCCGUGAUGAUUGUUCCUCAUAGACUUCCAAAUCGCUGCAGUUUCGUCUAAUUCUGAGGAAUUGUCCCUUUGGGGCAUUUUCCAACCACGAAGAGUAAUGGCAGCUUAUACUCUCUAUAAAACUAUUACAAUCAACUUUUUUAAAAUGAUUCUUAGUUUUAAUUUUUCCCCCUUCAAUAAAAAUAUCGAGAUCUAAAAAGGUUACUAUUUCUUUACUCCAAGUGCUGCUUAGUCUGAUGCCCCAAUCAUUGGUGUUUAAAAAUUCUAAGAAAGAGACUAAAUUGCUUUCUUCUCCCCUCCAGAUCAAAAAAAUGUCGUCAAUAUAUCGGCCAUAGAAGGCCAAGCUUUCCCCCCAGCCAUGUCCCCCAUAAACAUAAGAUUCUUCCCAAAAAGACAUGAAUAGGUUGGCAUAGCUGGGGGCAAACUUGGUCCCCAUGGCCGUCCCAUUAGUUUGUAGGAAGAAGGUAUCAUUGUACCAAAAGAAAUUAUUAUUUAAGAUAAGUUUUAUUCCUUCCACUAUAUAUUCUACCUGUUCUUGUUUAAAUUCUUUAGAUUCCAUUAAGAAAUGUUUUGCUGCUCUACAUCCAUAAGAAUGGGGGAUGUUACUGUAAAGGGCAGCUACAUCACAAGUGACUAAAAUACAGUCAUUAUCCCACGGCAUAUCUUCCAAAACUUGUAAGACCGUGAUCGUAUCCUUAAUAUGUGAUCUAGUUUUCAUGACUAAAGGUUGCAAUUGAACAUCUAUAUACUGUGAUAGUCUACUUGAAAUGGAGUCUAUACCUGCUAUAAUGGGUCUUCCUGGAGGUUUUUUCACAUUUUUAUGAACUUUGGGUAAAAAAUAAAAAACUGGUAUUUUGGGAAAUUUCAUAUUUAAAAACUGGAAUUCUUUUAAGCUUAAAAUAUUUUCAUUAAGUCCUUUAUUAAAAAAAGUUAAAAAAAGAGAAUUAAUACUAUCACUUGGAUUCAUCCCUAAUUGUUGGUAAGUAUUAGAAUCUUUUAAAAUAUUAUUUGCUUCCGUAUCAUAAAACUGUUAAGACAUAAGCACUAUCCCCCCUCCCUUAUCUGCCGGUUUAAUAACUAAAUUUUUGUCUGUUUGGAGAUCUUUAAGUGCCUUUUUUUCCAAUAUUGUCAAGUUAUCUCGAAACUUGUCUUUAGGGAUAAUUUUAUUCAUUUCUGUUGUGACCAUAGUCUCAAAUGUUAUUAUUUCGUCUGAUAACAUUUGUCUGGGGUAAAAAGAAGAUUUAUUUUUAAGGGAGGUGUGUUUAAACCCAGACUCAUCUUCUAAAUUUAUAUUUUGGUUAAUUAGUUCCCUAUUAAGCGGGUCUCCCCAAAAAAAUUUUUUUAAACAUAAGCUACGUUUAAAGCGGUUUAAAUCUAUAUACAUAUCAAAAUGAUUUAACCCUAUGCUAGGGGCAAAUUUUAACCCUUUAUUGAGUACUGAUUUAUGAUGAUUAUCAAGAAUUUUAUCACUUAGAUUAAAAAUGCCUUUUAUUAAUUCUGUAGAUUUAGGUCCCUUCUUUUUGAUCUGUACUCGUUUUCCUCCCCUUGUUCCUCUAUAUCUGAGGCUCUCCUUUUCCUUGAAUUUGUUGGAAUAUUUUGCUCUUGGUCUAACUUGUGUCUUUCCUUGAUUUUGGAUUGUCGAAAAACCUCUUCUUCCCUAUAGUCUGACAGAGUUUCAUAUCUGUUAUAAGUGGGAAUUCUUUCUUGGUUACUCUGGUAUUGUCUAUAUGGUCUCUGUUCUCUAUAGUUCUGAAAAUCUUUCCUAGAAUUUCUUCUCUCCCCUUCUGAAUUUUUCCUUGUAUUAGUAUAAUUAUCCCUAAUGAUGUUUAAUUUUGGUCUCCACUUUUCUCUUGUUUCAUUAUGAAAAAACCUCCUAGGAUAGUUGGAUUUAUAAUGGUUCUCCCUAUAUAUUCUAUUACUUUGGUCUUCAUUAAUUUCCUCUAAUUGAUUAUUAUGCCUUAAUCUCAUAGGAGUAGCUUGUUUAGUCACUUGGUACUUUUGGGCAUAUUUGGAGAAAGAUCUCACUUGUUUCUGUUCAUAGUCCUGUACAUCUCUGAGAUAUUUAUUCUUUUUUACUCCUAUAACUUCUACUUCAAGUUUAUCUAAAUUUCUUUCAAUAUGGGAGGUAAUAUUCUCAAAUUGCUCCUCAUUGGUAGAAUUGAGUAAGAUAUCUUGACAUUUAUUGAUCUCUUUAUCUAUCUCUUUUAAAUUCUCUUUCCUUCUUUUGAUAAUUAGAUGCAUACUGGUAAAAGAAAAACCUUCUAACAUUUCGUUCCAUUCUUCCAUAAAAUUAUCAUUAUCCCUAUCAAAAGUAGGAGUUUUGAAAUAUCUCAACCCCCUUGGGGUGAUUUUCUCCUGAAUAUAUUUCUCUAAAGUAGCUAUUUCCCAUUUUAUUUUUAAUUCUUUUUCCAAAAGUUUUUCUAAUUCAUUACUAGUCUUAGUUUUGGUAUUUAAUGGUCUUGUACUAUUUUUAUUUGACCAAUUUGCUAAUUCUUGCUCCAUACUGGCAUAAAUAUUUUUUCUUUUAUCAAAAAGUGACAUGAUAUAAAAAUUAGCUGCUGGGUUACCUUGGAUUUAGACGGAAAAGGCUAAAGAUAAAACAAUUGAUAUAGACAGUGGAACCAGCGCUUAUAUAUAGAAGUAAAUAUUAAAUACAAAUAUAACUUAUAGUAUUAAAUAGCUGCUAAACAUUCAUAGAUUCCUAUUAACUUAAACACUUUUGUAUAUUUAAACCUAAGAAGAGGGGUCCCAGGAUUAUUGUUGCUUUGUUACAAUCCGGUUUGAAGAAGCCACGUCGGUAGUGGCGAAACGCGUCCCGGUAUUUUUAAGCACAUUGUGGCUAUUUUAUUUAUGAGUGUAUUAAAUAAAUAAUUGCUUUUAUUUUCGAAUGAUCCUGGUUCCCGACAUCGUUUCAUUGUAUGGGGAGUGCAGUCCCGAAUUUGCACAACGCUUAGAAAUUGAGUCAAUUAUUUUGACUCUAUACUUGUGAGUACCCACUUAAAGAUCACAUAUAUUUUUUCUCUAAGACAUACAAACGAUAUUGCACUAUUGGGUGUAUUUUUAUUCAUUUACAGACCUCAGGAACAUACUGUGAGAAGGGUUUGGGGUCACCUGUAUAGACCCAGAAGCUAUUAAAAUUAGAGCUAAGUCGACAGCUCUCUGCUUACAAUUUUCCUUGCUGAUUUCCAGUGACAUUUUACUCUAAAAUUGCAAAGGUGAUUAAUUUAUUAUUUAUAAGCGCUACAUUCCAAAUUUGUUUUGUGUCCUUCAGUGACUUACCUGUAUCCAGCACCGAUGUCCCUCGGUGCUGGUUCAGGGUCCGCCCACGCUCCUCCCCAUCAUCCGGCGGGGGAGACCCAUUGCGCAUGAGCUUAAAUGCCACGCACUAGACCUCCCCAUAGGAAAGAAUUGAAAAAUGCUUUCAAUGCUUUCCUAUGGGGAUUUCAAAGACGCUGGAGGUCCUCACAUAGUGUGAGGAUGUCCAACGAUGCUAUAGCACAGAUAAUCUGUGCUUUAAACCCGGACGUGCACUCUAGUGGCUGUCUAGUAGACAGCCACUAGAGGAGGAAUUAACCCUGCAAUGUAAAUAUUGCAGUUUAUAAAAUAAAUAUUUACAUUGCAGGGUUAAGGGUAGUGGGAGUUGGCACCCAGACCACUCCAAUGGGCAGAAGUGGUCUGGGUGCCUGAAGUGUUCCUUUAAUGACUGAAGUCAAAGUGCUUUGAAGAAUCCUGCUUGGAAACAUAUGUACUCUUUACUACUCCCCUAUUUCCCCUUUCGUGCACUUCUUACUUUAUCUGUGUAUAGUAUGUAAAUGUUGUGGCUAUCCCUUAAACAAACAGAUGCAUCUGGUGUAAUAUUCAUUUAUUAUUAUUUAAUCACUUUCAUGGUUAAUACUUUGCAGAUUAAUAUAUUCUUGCUAGUUUACAACACUUUGCAUUUUAUAUUGAUUAGUACUUAAAUUAUUGUAGGUAUGUAAUUUGUGUUUCUGAUCUUACUGUUAAUUUUAAUUAGUAAAUAAAUAGAUAUUUACUAUGUCAGUUUUUUAAGGACUUUCUUCAAAUUGCAAAAUAACAGUCUGUCUCCAAACAACAAUCUUCAAACCAGGGUGACUCGAGCUCAUAUUAACCUUAUUGAUCCAUUGGUGGUAACUGCAAUCCCAAAAAUCUUGGAAUUAGGGUCUUCUUCUGGCAUAGUAAUGAGAGGUCUGGUGAAGCCAUGGGCAUGGAUAUGACAUCAUACCUCUAAGCACAAAUUCACAAGGUCCUUUUGCAGUGACUUGGUGGCAUUUUGUUUGUCAAUAACUGCUGUGUGUACCUCUCUGCAUAUACAUUUACCCCAUGUGCUGCUGGAUGAAGAAUAGUAUACAGAGCAGAGGCUAUGGAGGUGCACCCCACUUCACCUCCCAUCCCAUGGGCUCUGUGUUUCAAACCUAAUACUUAGCAAUCAUCUUUUUAUUCACCUCUUACUUGGACAAGAGAUACUUUCCCCAUAAUUGGCCAACGCUCUUGUCCAUUAGGCAAAAAUUAUGAUAUACUGCAACUAAGGCCUUUAUUUAAUAAACUUUCCAAAUAAUUCAAUACUAUUAGAAAACAUUUCCAAAUUAUUUAUCUGCAGCAGUCAUGAUUAAAGCCUAUGGAAAUGUUUGUAGAUAAUUCAUUUAUAAAGUUUUUCUAACUGUAAUAAAUAAUUAAGGUUUUUUUUCUACGCUGUAUUUAUUUGUAGCAGCUGUGCUCUUUUAAAUUAUGGAUGAUAGGGUGAACGUAGCUUUUCUCUUUUGUGUUGUAUUUAUAUGUCUAAAUCUAGAUUAUGACGUGUUCCAUUUAACUUCCAUUGAUUACUUUUCUGUAUUUCGUAGAUCAGUUAUGGAGCUGUAAAUGACAACUUCUAUGACCAAGCUACUUAUCCAUUAGUUUUCCAUACCGGCCAUGGGACAAAUGCUUAUAAUAAGGCCAUUAUUGCANNNNNNNNNNNNNNNNNNNNNNNNNNNNNNNNNNNNNNNNNNNNNNNNNNNNNNNNNNNNNNNNNNNNNNNNNNNNNNNNNNNNNNNNNNNNNNNNNNNNUGUUUUUCAUAAAAUUCUGAGCAGGUAAGUUAUGUUGAUUACAGUAGUAUGAAUUACUUUUCAUACUUUGCUUUAACGUAGGACUCAAUUUAAUAUAUUUAAAUAAGCUUUUUAAAUAAUUUACAAUUUUUGUAAAAACUUUGAAAAUCAUACCAUAUUUUAAAUUAUAUUUUUUAUGAUACAUUUUUGAUACUGUUAAAAGCUUGCCCAAAAAUAUUAAAUCAAGGCCUGUUGGAAAAAAAUGUUUUUACCUAUGCAGUGCUUAGUGAAUAUUCCCCUAGACAUACAGAGCUAUAUAUUUUAUGUUACAGGGUGUCAGUCUAAUGUCCUGCUUUCUACUUCUGCAUUUCUUAUUAUGUAGCUAAAGUAUUACUGUAUACAUAUCUUGAAAGACAAAAUGGUCAGUAGGCCUGAUUAUAAUACAAGAUACUCAUGUUUUGAAUGGGUUAAACUGGCAUUUUUUAAAACAUGCAAUAUUUUUCUGUUCUUGCGCCUGACACCAGUUUUCGCUAUCUCUUAUAAACAUUCUGCACUUGAAAUAUUGACAUUCUUUCUAGCAUCUGCAAUUUUUAAUUGGGUUCCUAAUCCCAUACUGUCAAUUGCAUCAGUGAACAGGAGACAAACUAACAGCAUUACAAAAUGUUAUAUGAAAAUAUAUACUUUCGGUUCUGAGACUCCGAUGAUUGGUUAAUGUUUCCGUUGAUGUAUACACCCCUAAACAAACUGUGUUAUGUAUAAGAUGUACGAAGCAUUAAACGUUUGAAUGCCUAUUGAUACAGCUGAGUGGUGUGACUUCACAAAAUUUUCCCUACAACUGAUUACAGAAAUAAAGGAAAGCAGAAACAUCUUUGUUUGUGCAUAAGACCAUGGUAGCAUAAGGGUUUUCAGACCCUGUUGUGAUUUCAAGCCUAACAAGGCCUUAAUUAGAAAAUGUUUCAGUUUACUUUAAUCUCUUGAGCUCUUGUAGUACAUAUGCUUUGUUGUCAGGAUUGAAAACCCUAAAAACAAAAGUAUAGAAAAUAUGAAAAAAAUCCCUACAAGCAAGCAAAGUAUAGGAUAGAUAUGUAUUCUCAAUCCUUAGACUGAACGUAAAACUCAGAAGAGAAAAAAAAAAAAAAACACCUGCAGGUAAGCAGAAUCAGGAACAGGUGAACAUCUAGGAGUACAGAGGAAUUACAGAACAGUAAGGCAAUCCAAAGUCAAGGUACACAUUAAAACCAGAACAGUCAAACAGGAUUUGGUUAAGAAACUCAGAAUAAUAGAUAAGACACACAAUCUCUGGUAACAAGAACUAUGACAGGUCAGGAGCUAAAUGGAGAAAUGGAUAAAAACAGGGUAAAGUAGGAUAAUACUGAUCAUCGUAAUUUCUAUGAUGCUAAAAGGUAUAUGAUGUGAGUAGCCUGACACCCAAUGUACAAGUACACCCAAUGUGUGAUAUCAGUUGUUCUUGUGUAUAUUUUUGUGACUUAAAAGGAACACUAUAGUGUUAGGAAUACAAACUUGUAUUUGUAAUGUUAGUUUCCCUGUCACUAGUUUUGUAGGUGUCCCCCACCCUUUAAUGAUUUAAGGGUUAAAAACGCUUUUUUUUCCCCUUUAUAUUAGGUUUUUGUUUUUUUUAGGAAGUAUGGUGAGGGGGCUGAGGCUCUGCUUCUUCAUUUGUCAGCUGGUGAUUUUGCUAGAACUCCUUUCUAGUUGUAAGCACACCAGACGCCUGCAUUCAAUCUACUCUUAUCUGUUCUACUUAAAACAAUGCCGGGUGCCAGGUAAGGCGAAGGUGCACAUGUGUGCACGGGCUGGGAGGUCCUGGCAGUGGAACUCACGUACAGGUUGCGAUGCUUUUCACUGUGGAAUUGUGGCGCGCUUUGUCCAUGCGCAAGUGAAUCCAAUAUUCUGGUAGCUAUUUCCAUAGAUUUAAGGGGAAGAGGCAUCAAUGUCAUGCCUUAUUUAGAUGGCUGGCUUUUAAUUGCAGGCUCAAAAGAACAACUUUAUUAAGACCUUUAAGGCAUGGUUGGUUGAUACAUUUUGUAAAGUCGGAAUUGGUACCAAGCCAAAGAAUAGUUUCAGGGUCUGAUUAUAGACAGUCGGUAUGAAGAUCUUUCUUCCUGAAGAAAAAAGAACAAAAAUUGCUCGAGUUAUUCAGAACCUCAGAGGAAAGUUUUUGCUCCAUCAGAGAAGCAAUGAAUUUGCUGGGUCUUUUCACAGCCUCAAAUCCAGCAGUCAAUUGGGCAAAGGCCAGAAUGAGACUUCUUCAAAUAAAUAUUUUAAGCUUCUGGAACAAACGAACAGCUUGGACAUGCCUAUGAAACUCAACAGUCGUGUCCUGAAGAGCUUUCUCUGGUGGACUUCGUCACAUUUUCUGCAGUCAGGCCUUUCUUUCCAAAUGAAGUCAUUCAGAAUUUUAACAGAUGUCUCAGGUCUCGGCUGGGGUGCUCACAUGGGAGAAAAGAAGAAAAGAUUUAAGAAGUUCAUCGAAUUACAAACAACUGAAGGCUGUCUGGCUGGCUCUCAUUGCUUUCCAGAAACAGAAUAAGCAUGUCCAGAUCUGGUCGUACAAUUCUACAACAGUAGCAUAUAUCAACAAACAAGGAGGAACACGGUCAGCUUGUUUGAAAAAUCUGUAUUCCAGAAUCAUGCUAUGGUCAGAGUAUCUCUUCUGUCUAUUUCAGCAGUACACAUAAAAGGAGAAUUCAACAUUCUGGAAGACGCUCUAAGUCAUCAGCAUUUAAAAUAAGCAGAUUGUUAUUUGACUGAAGAUCUGGGAUGAAAGAGACCAAAGAAAUUUGGUUAUCGAGAAAUAGACAUGAUGGCUCAAGAACAAACAAGAAAACAAGAUUUGCAUAUUUAAAGCCUUCAAACAGGCCAGAGACCAUAGACUCCCUUUCUAUUCCAUGGAAUUUCGGCCUAGCCUAUGAUUUUCCUCCUAUUUCUCUUAUUCCGAGGAUUCUACAGAAGAUCAGGAUAGAAGGAGUAAGAAUAAUCAUAAUUCUGCCAGGUUGGCCGAGAUGGCGUUGGUUCACCGUUCUCCUAAAUAUAUCCAUAUCAACCUAUUGGAAAACCUCCCCUGUCAGUAGAAAUCCUGGCACACUUCAUGGUACCUCUUCCAACUCUGAAGAAAUUCAACCUGACGGCCUGGUUUCUGAAUGCCAGAUCUUAAAAGAAAAAGGUUUGUCUCCUGAAGUUAUUGAGAUUUUAAUGUCUCCAUAAAAAGAAGCAACUUCCAGGAUUUAUUCCAGAAUGUGGAAGAAAUUUUGUUUCUGGUGUUUCAAGAUCAAAGAAAAUCCCGUAACCACUUCCAAUCCAAACAUCCUUAGAUUCCUUCAAAUGGGCUUUCCGAAAUGAUUGAAACGUGCUACUUAUGGUCCAAAUAUCUAUCAGUUUCUUCUCAAUCAGAUGUUUGGCUUUGAAUAUUGUAAUCAUUAGGUUUUUCAAAGCUUUGUCUCGUUUAGUUCGUGCCAUCAGGGAAACCUUUCCACCAUGGGAUCUUAAUUUGGUUUUAUCAGCACUCUGUGAACCUCCUUUUGAACCUAUAGAAAAGUCUUCUUUCAAUGUUUUAUCGUUCAAGACUUUAUUUUUGGUGGCAAUUACCUCGGCAAAAAAUUGGGAGAGCUUCAAGCUCUUAAUUCAGUUUUUUUCCUUUUUUAGUUUCCAUCAGGGCAAAGUGGUUUUAAAGCUGGAUCCUUCUUUUAUUGUCAAGGUUUGUUCUACGUCUAACAUCAAUCAAGAAAUAAUAAGGUCCUUUAAGAAAAAUAAAUAGUGAUGUCGCGAACAUAAAAUUUUCGGUUCGCGAAUGGCGAACGCAAACUUCCGCAAAUGUUCGCGAAUGUGCGAACCUGGCGAACCGCCAUAGACUUCAACAGGCAGGCGAAUUUUAAAACCCACAGGGACUCUUUCUGGCCACAGUAGUGAUGGAAAAGUUGUUUCAAGGGGACUAACACCUGGACUGUGGCAUGCCAGAGGGGGAUCCAUGGCAAAACUCCCAUGGAAAAUUACAUAGUUGAUGCAGAGUCUGGUUUUAAUCGAUAAAGGGCAUAAAUCACCUAACAUUCCUAAAUUGUUUGGAAUAAUGUGCUUUAAAACAUCAGGUAUGAUGUUGUAUCGAUCAGGUAGUGUAAGGGUUAUGCCCCCUUCACAGUGACAGACCAAACUCCCCGUUUAACGCACCGGAAACAAACGCAAACAGUCCAUUUGCACAACUGCAAACUCCCCAUUUGCACAAGGUUGGAUACCAAGCUAGCCAUGUCCCGUUCCUUGUCCUCACUGAUGUCAUUGAAGGUCUCUUCCUCCACCCAGCCACGUACAACACCAAGGGUCCCCAAAAGGUGACAACAAGCCCCCUGGGACACUUGCUGUGUUUGGUCUUCCACCUCCUCAAAGCCACCUUCCUCCUCUGACUUUUCUUCUUCAGACUCCUCUCUCUGCAUUGCCUCUCUCUGUGUUAUUAUAAGGUGUGUUAAGUAGUACUAUUCCUAUCAGUUUAAUCCCUGUUACGCGUGUAUAUGGCAUCGAUUUUAGGAACCGGGAGAUGGAAAAAGAUGCUUGGUCGGUCCUCCUACUUCAAAUUUGGGGCACUGCGCGUGCAAUCUAAUGUGCCACCAGAUAGGAGUGGUGUGUUAAGUAGUACUACUCUUAUCAGUUUAAUCCCUGUUACGUCCCCUAUCAGGGGAUGUGUAUAUGGCAUCGAUUUUAGGAACCGGGAGAUGGAAAAAGAUGCUUGGUCGGUCCUCCUUCUUCAAAUUUGGGGCACUGCGCGUGCAAUCUAAUGUGCCACCAGAUAGGAGUGGUGUGUUAAGUAGUACUAUUCUUAUCAGUUUAAUCCCAAUGUCACGACUACUAGUGUGGUCCAGCACGCAGAAACUAUGUAAACAUAUACAUAGGCAAGAAAAGGAAAAUAAAAGGACAGAGCGUAAACCGGACCUUAGAAUGGCCGGACUAAUACGCUAGAGACAGAGAAUGGUCAAAGGGAAAGCCAAGGAAGCUAGAAAAUACACAAUACCUUUUACACAAGCCAAGUCAGGGAAACCAGAAUUCAGAAUAACCAGGGAAAAGCCAAGAUCAGGAUACCAGGAAAUCAGAUUCACAAUGAUAAAGCACUCUCAGGAAACCAGGAACAGGAAACCACGACAGGGCAAGGUACUGGGGUGAGCUAUAGAUUUAAAUAUUACGCAGCGGGCCGGCAGACACGACACCCUGUUACGUCCCCCUCAUCAGGCCUUUUUUAGUCUAAUGUAUCGCCCACUGUCAGUCCCUUCGGGAUCCAUCCCUCAUUCAUCUUAAUAAAGGUGAGGUAAUCUAGACUUUUUUGACCUAGGCGACUUCUCUUCUCAGUGAAAAUACCUCCUGCUGCACUGAAGGUCCUUUCUGACAGGACACUUGAAGCGGGGCAGGCCAGAAGUUCUAUCGCAAAUUGGGAUAGCUCAGGCCACAGGUCAAGCCUGCAUACCCAGUAGUCAAGGGGUUCAUCGCUCCUCAGAGUGUCGAUAUCUGCAGUUAAGGCGAGGUAGUCUGCUACCUGUCGGUCGAGUCGUUCUCUGAGGGUGGACCCCGAAGGGCUGUGGCGAUGCGUAGGACUUAAAAAGCUCUGCAUGUCCUCCAUCAACAACACGUCUGUAAAGCGUCCUGUCCUUGCCGGCGUGGUCGUGGGAGGAGGAGGAUUACUUUCACCUCUUCCCCUGUUAGAUUCCCGUUGUGCUGUGACAUCACCCUUAUACACUGUGUAAAGCAUACUUUUUAAUUGAUUUUGGAACUGCUGCAUCCUUUCCGACUUGCCGUAAUUCGGUAACAUUUCAGGCACUUUCUGCUUAUACCGGGGGUCUAGUAGCGUGGACACCCAGUACAGGUAAUUUUCCUUCAGCCUUUUUAUACGAGGGUCCCUCAACAGGCACAACAGCAUGAAAGACCCCAUUUGCACAAGGUUGGAUGCCGAGCUACUCAUGUCCUGUUCCUCGUCCUCAGUGAUCUUACUGAAGGUAUGUUCUUCCCCCCCAGCCACGUACAACACCACGGGUACCAGAUAGGUGACAACGAGCACCCUGCGAUGCCUGUUGUGGUUGGUCUUCCUCCUCCUCAAAGCCACAUUCCUCCUCUGACUCCUCUUCCUCACAAUCCUCUUCCAGCGUUGCCGCAGGUCCAGCAAGCGAUGCUGAUAAGGCUGUUUCUGGUGGAGAUGGUGACCACAACUCUUCCUCUUCCUCUUCACGCUCAUCUACGGCCUGAUCCAGCACUCUUCGCAGGGCAUGCUCCAGGAAGAAAACAAAUAGUAUGAUGUCGCUGAUGGUGCCUUCGGUGCGACUGACUAGGUUUGUUACCUCCUCAAAAGGACGCAUGAGCCUACAGGCAUUGCGCAUGAGCGUCCAGUAACAUGGAAAAAAAAUUCCCAGCUCCGCAGAGGCUGUCCUAGCACCCCGGUCAUACAAAUACUCGUUAACGGCUUUUUCUUGGUGGAGCAGGCGGUCGAACAUUAGGAGUGUUGAAUUCCAACGUGUCGGGCUGUCGCAAAUCAAGCACCUCACUGGCAUGUUUUUUCGCCGCUGGAUAUCUGAAAAGUGCGCCAUGGUCGUGUAGGAACGCCUGAAAUGGCCACACACCUUCCUGGCCUGCUUCAGGACUACCUGUAAGCCUGGGUACUUAUGCACAAAGCGUUGUACGAUCAGAUUACACACAUGUGCCAUGCACGGCACAUGUGUCAACUUGCCCUGAUGCAAUGCCGCCAACAAAUUUCUUCCGUUGUCACAAACCACUUUGCCGAUCUCCAGUUGGUGCAGAGUCAGCCACUGAUCCACCUGUGCGUUCAGGGCGGACAGGAGUGCUGGUCUGAUUUCAGGCAAGUCAACCCCAAGACGGCGUGACACUGCCAUAUCCGGGAUGUGGAAUAGUACCUGGGGAGCUGGGGGGGUGCUGUUGAUGUGGAGCAAGACGCAGCAGCAGAAGAGGACUCAGCCGAGAAGGUUAUGGAAGAGGAUGGAGUAGGAGGAGUAGAGGAGGUGGCAGCAGGUCUGCCUGCAAGUCGUGGCGGUAUCACCAACUCCUCUGCAGAGCCACACAUUCCAUGCUUGGCAGCCGUCAGCAGGUUUACCCAAUGCGCAGUGUAGGUGAUAUACCUGCCCUGACCAUGCUUUGCAGACCAGGUAUCAGUGGUCAGAUGGACCCUUGCCCCAACACUGUGUGCCAGACAUGCCAUUACUUCCUUUUGCACAAUCGAGUACAGGUUGGGGAUUGCCUUUUGUGCAAAGAAAUUUCGGCCGGGUACCUUCCACUGUGGUGUCCCAAUAGCUACAAAUUUUUUGAACGCCUCAGACUCCACCAGCUUGUAUGGUAAAAGCUGGUGGGCUAAGAGUUCAGUCAAGCCAGCUGCCGGGCAAGGGGGUGACUUUGUGAGCAAGAACUGCUCAAGGCGAGAGACGUAGGGGCGGAUGGUUGAGAGGGGGCAAGGAGGACAGCAGUGGUUAAUGUGGCUGAAGAAGCUGGACCAGGAGGAGGAUGGCGGCUUUGAGUUUGUGUGCUGCUUGUACUCAUGUGUUGAUCCCAUAGGCAUUUGUGAUGUGCGAUCAUGUGCCUUCGCAAAGCAGUUGUACCUAGGUGGGUGUUGGACUUCCCACGACUCAGUUUCUUUUGGCACAGGUUGCAAAUGGCAUCGCUGUUGUCAGAGGCAGACACACAAAAAAAAUGCCACACUGCUGAGCUCGGCAAUGACGGCAUUCUGGUGGUGGCAACAGCAUGCGUUGAUUGGCGUGCUGUCUGGCUGACCCCGGGUGCCGAUGCAUUUUGUCUGACUGUGCCACUAGCUCCUUGCGACGACCUACCCCUGCUUCCAACUCGUCUCCUCCUCCUCCUCCUCCUCCUCUCUGUCUCCCCAUCUGAACUUUCCCGCUGUUCUUCUUCUCUUCUAGCGGGCACCCACGUGACAUCCAUGGACACAUUGUCAUCAUCAACUGCAAUUCACUUGUAUCUGACAACUCAGCAAAGGAAGCAGCAGCAGGUACAACAUCAUCAUCAUCACACCGUACGUCCAUGUGUGUAAUGCUGCCUGACUGAGACAUAUCCCUGUUCUCUACAUCCUCUGGCAAUAAUGGUUGCGCAUCACUCAUUUCUUCCAACUGAUGUGUAAAUAACUCCUCUGACAUACCAAGUGAAGCUGCUGUGGUGCUAGUGUUGGUGGUGGCGGCAGGCGGGCGAGUGGUAACUUGAGAGGUGCCCGAAGCUAAGUUGGAGGAGGAUGGUGCGUCAAGGUACCGAGCAGAAGCUGUAGAAGAUUGGGUGUCCUGUAUUAGCCAGUCAACUAUGCCCUCAGAACUUUUCGAGUUCAGGGUACGUGGCCUCUGAACACUGGGCAUUAUUCUAGGGCCAAAGGGAAUCACAGCACCAUGACCAGGACGGCCCCUGCGGGGUGGCCUGCCUCUACCUGUCAUUUUUUUUUCGAUUAGUGGUACUAUGCGUGCACGCUACUGUGACAACAGAUAUGAGUGGCACUGUACAAUUACAGUCAAAAAAUUUUUUUAUUUUUUUUUAAAUGUACACUACUGUUACGCCAGAUAUGAGUUGCACUGGUGUGACACUGUGCCCUGGCAGGCCCUGAAACGCACACGCAUGAAGGAAACUGACUGCUAUUAUAUUACAGUCCAAAAAGUUUUGUUUUUUUUAAAUGCAAGCUAUUGGGACACCAGUGAGUGAGUGGUGGCACUGGGCAGGCCCUGAAACGCACACUCAUGAAGGAAACUGACUGCUAUCAUAUUACAGUCCAAAAAGUUAUUUUUUUGUUAAAUGCAAGAUAUUGUGACACCGGAUAUGAGUGGUGGCACUGGGCAAGUGGGCACAGUAUAUGCUGUGAGCCUGACACACACGCUGGCAGACAACUAACUGCUAUUCAAUCUAUUACAGUCAAAAUUGUAUUUUUUUUUUUUUUAAAUGUACACUACUGUUACACCAGAUAUGAGUUGCGCUGGUGUGACACUGUGCCCUGGCAGGCCCUGAAACGCACACGCGUGAAGGAAACUGACUGCUAUUAUAUUACAGUCCAAAACGUUUUGGUUUUUUUAAAUGCAAGCUAUUGGGACACCAGUGAGUGAAUGGUGGCACUGGGAAGGCCCUGAAACACACACUUGUGAAGGAAACUGACUGCUAUUAUAUUACAGUCCAAAAAGUUUUUUGUUUUUUUUUAAAUGCAAGCUAUUGGGACACCAGUGAGUGAGUGGUGGCACUGGGCAGGCCCUGAAACACACACUAGUGAAGAAAACUGACUGCUAUUAUAUUACAGUCAAAAAAGUUUUGUUUUUUUUUAAAUGCAAGCUAUUGUGACACCAGUGAGUGAGUGGUGGCACUGGGCAAGUGGGCACAGUAUAUGCUGUGAGCCUGACACACAGGCUGGCAGGCAGGCAACUGCAAUUACAUUACACAGAAAAAAAAGCAGACUGAUGUUCUAGCCCUAAAAAGGGCUUUUUGGGGUGCUGUCCUUACAGCAGAGAUCAGAUGAGUCCUUCAGGACUGUAGUGGACACUGAAAACACUAGCCUAGCUAUCAAUUUCCCUAUCAAAUCAGCAGCAGCUACACUGUCCCUCCUCUCACUAAGAAUGCAGCUUCACAAUGAAUGGAAAAUGGAUGCUGUCCAGGAGGUGGGAGGGUCUGGGAGGGAGGGUCUGCUGCUGAUUGGGUGGAAUGUGUCUGCUGACUGUGAGGUACAGGGUCAAAGUUUACUCAAUGAUGACGAAUAGGGGGCAGACCGAACAGCGCAUAUGUUCGCCAUCCGUGGCGAACGCGAACAAGCGAUGUUCGCCAGGAACUAUUCGCCAGCGAACCGUUCGGGACAUCACUGAAAAUAAACAUAUGUUUUGUCUUGUUUUAUGGUAUCUAAAGGCUCUCUGGCCAGAUGGUUAAUGGACUCCAUUCAUUUGGCAUAUUCUUCAUCUAACGUUCCUACACCUAUCUCCAUUAAAGCUCAUUCUACCAGAGCUAUGUCCACAUCUUGGGUCCUGAGGGCUUCAGCUACACCUUCUCAAAUUAGUUUUGCAGCAACAUGAUCAUCUCUUCACACAUUUGCUAAACAUUACAAAUUAGACAUACUGGCCUCGGAAGACGCAACUUUUGGGCGCAAGGUGCUGCAAACAGUUGUGAAAUGAGUCCUGCCCUUAGGGGAUUUCUUUGGUUAUCCCUGCUGUAAAGCAAUGCCUCUAAUCUAAAGGGAAAUGCAUACAUUUUUACUUACCGUAAAUGUAUUUUUCCUGAAGAUUAGAUGCAGUGUUCACUUCCCACCCUGAUUUUCCAAUAAACUAAAUUUUGCAGUUAUCCGGCUUUUGUAUUGUUUGGGGUUCCUAGAGGUAAGAGACACUUUAUAGUGCCAAAGGUAAUUUGGGGGAGGUGCUUAAAAUUUGGGGCGUAUGCCUGUUUUUUUCCCCCUCCAGAUUAGAAAUCCCUGUUGUAAAACAAUGCCUCUAAUCUUCAGGAAAAAUACAUUUACGGUAAGUAAAAAUGUAUGCUUUAACUUACCGUUUUCUAGUGUUGAGACUCCCUUAGCGCUAGCUAGGUCUCCUCCUCCUGCAACAUUACAGCAGGGGUGGGACCUAAUGCACAUGUGCACAUUCAAGCUUCCACAUUCACAUAGGAAAGCAUUGAAUCAUUGCUUUUCUGUGGGGAACAAAAGAUGUUAGACCAAUGUCAGAUAGUGAAAUUAAACUUCACCAGGGACCUGGAUGCGAUUCUGGUGACUUUCUGGAAGACAGCCACUAGAGGUGGAGUUAACCCUACAAUGUUUUACAUUGCAGGGUUAAACAGACCGGAUCACUGUACCCAGACAAUUUCAAUGAGAUGCAUGAUCUGGGUGCCAAGUGUCCCUUUAAAAGAAUCCACAGAGAAAUGCUUUCAUUUUCUAAAGCUCAUGUUUCUGCUAUUUGUGGUCCAUACAGAACAGACCCAAAGAUCAGUACUCAGUUUUUUUUCAGUACAAUUUAGAUUGUUACAGCAGGGCUCAAAAUGUCUAGUCUUAUUCCACUACACACACAGGCCUAAAUUUUACUUGCCAUUGCAAGUUUGGAGAGUCUAAAGCACUCACUAGAGUUUAGUUUUCACUCAACAUUGGUUAGCAGAAACAUUGAGCUCUGGUUAGAGUGUGAGGGAUAUGUACUAACUAGAUGUAUUCAUAAGGUCUAGUUUGCACUAGACACAUUUCUAGCAUUAAAAUGUGUGCCUCCAGAAAUUACUAUUGGGUACAAUCAUUAAAUUUUUUAGAUCUGUUCUAUAAAGAAGUAUUUUAUAAUAUGGCAAAAUAAAAGAAUGUUUCUCACUUGUGUGUAGCCAUAGAUGGAGAGAAUGUCUGCCAUUGAGCGUGUUACUGAAGAGAGAAAAUGUCCAAUGAACCCCACAACUGUAUAAUUCUUCUUGCAGCUGUAAUUAAAAGGGUGAUUUGUUCCACCUGAUAGAAUUUUUAAUGUGGCUUCCUGUGCUUUAUUGGCUAAGAAACAAGAGUCAUAGAUUGAAUACCCCAGGGUGGUGUUUGGUAGAAGGUUUCUGUCAUUAUUAAUUUCUCGAACAGCAAAAUCAAAAGCCAGAAAAUGACGGAUGAAACGAAGGGAUGGCCUGAAAAGUUGAAGAUAUAUGUUAAAUAAACAUUUAUCAAAUCAAUACUAUACAUAUAUACAGUGUAUACCAAUAUCUAUUAAAUAAGUUACAAAUCAGAAAACUGUUUUUUUUUUUUUUUGUGGCAUUUGUCCUAUUUACAAUUUUUAGCGAUUGACUGCUCAAUGGUUCCUAAACUAGACUUCAAUGGUCCAGUUAUUAUCAGAAUUCAAAGGAAAACAUAAAAAAUCCUAAAUCCUACAUAGGCCAGACAUCACUAUAUUCAAAGAAUGACAAAGCUCACAUGAGAAUUUCUUAAUUUCUUUAUCUUUUCUGGUAUGUGAAUGCAUGUGUAAUUUAAAUUUACGUUUAUAUUGUCCCUAUACAAUCAAAAUAACGUCACUACAUUAAUAUUAAACAGUCACUAUAGGCACCAUAUUGAAGUGGUUACAGUGUCUGGAGUCUCCUGGCUCUGUUCUUCAAUUACAAACUACAGACCUACUUGUUCAAUUGCUUCCAUAAUUAUUGUUCACUAAGAUCCUUGCAGAUAGACUACAGCUGUACUUACUAACCCUAGUUCAUCCAGACCAGGUGAGCUUUAUCCCCUGCAGGAAAGCCAGGGACAAUGCAAGGGCUCUAGCACAGAUACACCAAGCCCAGUAGAGUUUGUAGUGGAGAAGUCCAUUGAUCGAGUUAACUGGGGCUUUCUAAUCCCAGCACUUUUGGUUUGGGCCUGGGUCCACAUAUGUUUGCCUGGGGCAUGUGCCUUAUAGGUCACUCCCACCUCAAUGGUUUGCUUAAAUGGCACCUUAACGGACUCAUUCCCUAUACACAAUGGCACCAGAUAACUGUGUCUGUCAUUGCCACUACACUUUGCCCUUGCUUUCAAACCACAAUUUCAAUUUGCAAAAGUUAAAAGGUACCCUCUGCAUUUUAUUAGUGACUAGGCUGGAAUAACUUGCUACUCACUAUUUAGUAAACAGCAUCCCAUUUAUGGGCAUAAGGGAGUUGUUAAACCUCUAUUAUAGUAAUGUGGGUGUCAUAAUGACCCACAUAGGCUCUUUUAACAAAGCAAAUUCCAAUAUUUUCAAAUAAAAUAUUUAGGUAUCAGUUUCAUUAUUCCAACCAAUAUUUAUUGGCUCCCAAAAUGCCUUUAACAACAGUAAUUUAAUCUAUCCUAACUGAUAAAUUACUUGUCAGGAAGUCGAUAAACAUGAUUCACUCUUAAAAUAAGGCCUAUGUGUCUUAUACAACUAUAUCUCAUAAUCUCUAUAUUAUCCCAAAUGUGUAAAUCAAAUCUAUCCUCUCAUGCAGUUUUGCCCCCUUCCUAUUGAUUGUAAGCUUACUUGAGAAGGAUCCUCAUCUCUCGUUUCUAUUCACCUAAAUGUGUUUGUCAUAAUUAUCUGUAUGAUUUUCUUAUUUAUUUUACAACAUUGUGGCAUAAGCUUGCACAUUAAAAAUAAAGGAAAAAAUUCAUUAUAAAUUUGUCUUUACAAUUUGGUAUUCAAAUAUUGUAACUUACAUAUCACAUAGUUUAGUUGUUGAAUACACAUGGGCACGAGUAUAAGAUGUGUGCUCACUAGAGUAGUAAUAGUUAAAUAACAGAAUAAUUCCACCCAAAAUCACAUCUCCAUCUCUGAAAUAUCCCUCAAUGUCUUCGACAUUAGGCUUCGACCAAGCCUUUGAAAAUUGUGCUGCAUCUGAACAGUCAGAACACAGGAGUAAUAUGAUAGCCAGAACUUUUAAAAGUUUAUAUCUGUAGAAGAAAUAGACACAGAUCAGUUUCUAUUUGGUCUACAGAGAAUAAAACCGUUUCAAUCAUAAAAGAAUGUAGUAAGGAAAAGGCUGUUAUAGGUCUCCAUUCAACAGCCUGUUAACAUGUUUAAUUGCAGAAAACCUGAGCCAUAAAGGAUUAAUAUUGUAAGACUAAUUAUACGUUUAGGACAUGGCAUAAAAUGAAAACACUGACAUUGUGUCAAGAUUAUGUUACAUAUGUUGAUAUUUUGUUUUUGUUUUUUUGAUGUUUUUUUUUAUUAGAAAAAUUCAUUACAUCCAGUAUAUCUUUGUUUACAAAAUCAUCAUAUUUUAGCUUUAACAAAUGUUCCCAAUUACAUUUAGCCUAAUAAUCGUUGAUACUCACUUCCAUUAGGUUGUUCCCUAAUAAGUUAUUACAGCGAGCUUAGAUAGACAAACAACAAAGUAAAUAUACAAUAAGUUAACACCAACAAACAGAAAACAGACAUUAUUUAUUUUUUUCAGGGUGAAUGCAUGUGUAAUUUAAAUUUACGUUUAUAUUGUCCCUAUACGAUCAAAAUAACGUCACUACAUUAAUAUUAAACAGUCACUAUAGGCACCAUAUUGAAGUGGUUACAGUGUUAUAAACUCCAUGUUAAUCUUCCAGAUUUUGUAAGUAACACCUCCAGCAUAGUGGGUUAUCUUUGGCUUUAAAUUAAAAUAAUUUUUCAGGAUAUAAGUGCCAUCUAUAUACAACUUUUGUAAUUAAACCUCUUUAUUUUACUUAAAAAUUGAUAUGAAAAACAGUAAAGCUAGUUUGGAACAGACUGUAGUUUAUUUACUUGUAUAAAUUAGUCCCAGUAGUCCCCUAAUAUUUUAUACAUAUUUAGGUACUCCCUUUGUGUUCUCUAUGCCUGUGCAUGAGACCUUACCAACAGAGAUUUUAGGUUUAGAGGAAAUUAUCAUUUGUAGUUUAUGGCAUAGCUUCAGAGAAGGCCUCCUUGCACUACUGCAGGCUUGGUACAGAACCAUCUAUUUCAGUUCAAAGGUCAUCAAUACAAACUAUCUAAACUCCAAGCUCGUCUUGGCCUUGUGCAGCCUACACAAGUAUUCAUUUUACCUUACUCUAGGAAAAAAACCAGCCGCCUCCCUUGAAGCUCAUGGGGCACUUCUGCAUCCAGCCCAGUCGUGUUUUUUUCCUGUUGCUGUUCUCGCGUUUAGUUGAACAAAACCGUAAGUUUGUUCAUGCAGCCCACGUUGGGCUAUGCUAUCACUGACAUUCAACAUGUAUUCGCCCAACAUUCAACAUUUCCGGGUAGCAGUUGCAGUUCAGUCUGUAUUCUACCUUCAUUCGGAUAUAGCGAAUCUCCAUACUAAUGUAAAUCUGUCCUAUUUCAAUCAUACGUAGCAUCACCGUGAUACCUCAAUUGUGUUUAUUCAUUCUGCUUACUGUAUUUGCCCCUCAUUCGGCCAUUUAAAUUUUAUCAUAUGCAAUUCAGUUAGUCAUCCUACAUUUUAAUGUAUAAUGCUGUGCCAUAUUCAGUUUUUAAUAUUUGCAACUUAUUGUUGCCAGCCCACAUAGCCUUCGUUAUACUUUUCAACUCUGAGAAGAUCGGCAUUUGUUACUUAUGUUCACCAGGACUCUUCCAGCCUCAGUACAUAUAUGUAUUCUGUCUGUAUUCAGGCACUCAGUGGGCCCACAUUGUUUAGUAAUUAUAUAGCUACAUGUUGCAAAUGAAGGUCUAAAUUUUGUCAGGCCCAAACUUGUGCCUAUAAAUGAAAUUGGCAUUUAUGAUACUGCCUGUUAAUCAUCUGUCUUUUUUCACUGUCUGUCACUACUUAUAUUGAUUUAAGUACUUACUGGGCAGCACACAGGCCUAGUCAAGUGUUCUUUAAAAUUGUCGAUCAUAAUUAUGUCUGUUCUGUGGUUAUAUGACUAUAUACAUAGCCUUCAUCUAAGUAUGUUAUUGUCACACUUCAAAUCAAGACAUGCCAAUAACCAGAUCCGCCACUUGGGUGUCACCAAUAAUCAUACUAAAUUGCAAGCAGUCUACUCAAAUAUUUUCUACAUACCCCAUUUAAUUGUAUCAUUCACCCAUAACUUCUCAUUAUGCCCUGAUUUGGCCACCCUGCCGCUAGGUAUAGUUGUGUUGGGCUCUCAUUCAGCUUCCAUUAUCAUAAGAGAGUGGAGGUUGAUCUAAACAGUAUGAAAUCAAUAGAAUUGACUGGUAUGCCUAAUGCAACACACAGGUAUGAGGGAAUCGGACUUAGAUAGAUUGCUCAAAACUGGAUAAACACAGGAGUUCACCAGACCUGUCUUGGAAAAUUUGUAAUGAAAGAUGAUAUAACAACCUUGGUUGAUAUAGAUAUUCCAGGAGCUGAUCCACCUAAAAUGGCUUUGGAUGUUCUUGUGCCUGCUACGACCAAGCUUGACAAUAAGUGCACCUCCCUACUGGUAUCCUUUUCAGGGGACAUGGUGCACUCAGUGGGGGGUGGGUUCGGGUGCGGGGUGGGGGGAAACAAGCCCAUCUUGCCAUAACCCGUGCCCAGGGCAAACAGCCAAAGUGUCCAUGAGGCCUAACACCUAGGCCACUCACACUCAGGAAGGGGGCAACACCUGAUAACGAGGACACGGGGUGCAAAUCCAGGCUGGAAACAUACCCCCUCCCACUCCCCCGGCUUCUGUCGCUACUCGCAGCAACUGCUACACAAACUCACCUAAAAAAAAAAACCUAGACAAAAAACAAAAAAAAACGCAGGUCCCACAGCCAGACCCACGUGUCCCGGGCGCCCCAAACCCCUAUACAAAAUUCGAGCUAUGCUUGACGCAUGACCAGAACAAGAGUCGCCCCACAAACUGACCAAAAAGCCUCCAAGGUCCCAAACCCAUUAAAUAUUAUUGCAAAAAAAAAACAUAUAUAUAUAUAUAUAUAUACAUACAACCCAUAGCACCAACUUAGAGAGAGCCCAGACCCUUGCGCUGCCCAGACCUGAGCCCGGUCUGACUUGACCUGUCCACCUACCCCCUAAACAAGAAAGUUAAGUCACUACCUUCGCUUUAAGUCAUAUGAACACCUCAAAGGUUGUGUUCACUUACUGUUUUAAGUUACUGUUUGAUAUGUUAUGUUAUAUGUUGGUAUGUCACUCUGAACAACACUCACGGUAUAAGAAUUGUAUUAUUGUUAUUAUUGUGAUAAUGCUAAUGUGUACUCUCCUCUCAGAUUGCACAACAACCUCCAGCACACAAGCACCCAAAGCACCUGACCCACCAAGAAGGAGGUACCCUCAAUCCGCCUCGCAAUACCCUAUUCAACAGGGCAUCCUCAGACCACCACACUGCCCGCACUUAGUAGGGAUGGCCAACGACAUCAGACUAGCACAACUCCCCCACCAAACAAAGCAUGAAAAUAUACACACAUAACGUCAGGGGGUUGAACACCCCACACAAACGACACAUGCUACUGAGAGAACUCAAAACCUCACAGACUGACAUAGUCUGCCUGCAGGAAACGCACUUUUAACACAACUCAAAUCCAAUUCUAGGGAAAACGCUCUACCCCCACUAAUACCACACCACAGCCCCCAGCAAAGGGGUCUCCAUCCUCCUCAGCCGCCAUUUGGCAUAUGAGGAAAUAACGGUGAAACAUGACCCCCAAGGCAGAUACCUCAUUUUGAUUUGCACCAUAAACAACUCCACCUACACUAUUGUCAAUGCUUAUCUACCUAACGCAAACCAAGGAGGCUACCUACACAAUAUAUUGACACUCAUAGCACAGCUCCAAAUGGGCACCACAAUUAUUUGCGGAGAUUUUAACCAGAUUCAAGACCCAAGGAUGGAUUUAACCGCAACUCACUCGACACAUAGAGCCAAAACACUUCACAAGCAAUGCAAACCCCUAACAAAGCUCUUACACGCUUUUGGGCUCUAUGACGUCUGGUGAGCACUACACCCACAAGAUAAGGAAUAAACUCACUUUUCACAGGUGCACAACACGUAUACAAAGAUUGACAGCUUCUUCUUGCAGGGAACACAUCUGAACAGAGCGACUGCAUGCGACAUAGGGUCCUCUACCUGGUCAGACCACUGCCCGGUGACGCUAACGAUCACAGACCAGUACAACUUUAAACACCGCAGCCCCUGGAGACUGAACGAACAACUUCUGACUAACCUCCUGUUUGUCCAAACAUUACAGCAGGACCUGAAAUCCUACCUCGACAACAACGCCACCCCUGACAUAUUCCCCAUGACACUGUGGCUAGCCCACAAACCGGUGAUUAGGGGACUGCUAAUCCGCAGAGUGUCCUACCGCACACAUCCAAAAUCUAAAACAUUUUGCAUGACCUUCACAGAGCCAACCAACUCACCCCAUCCACGACCACACACAAAGAGAUUACCGUAUUAGCUCAUCUCAUGGCCACGGAAGAUUACUGGCACACGCAUCACUCUCUGCCAAUACCAACCAUUCAUAUACUAGAGCUCUGAUGAUUUUCAAUAAAUUAAUUUCAGAAAUUUUAAUUGUUAAUCAGUACUCGGUCAAUACCAUGAUGUCGUUCACAUCCUUUUGCCACCUUAACCUAAAAUUAGCUCGCCACACCAUAAAACUACUUGGAAACAACCAUCAACAUUUUCAAAUCAUUCUUUUAGAAUAGGCACUGUUUCUGCAGUCUCUAGUAGAAUAGCUCAGUGCAUGUCAUUGAUGCAUCCCUCAACCUAAGAAGUAAUUAACUUAGGCAUUUAAAAUAUUGGUUACAUAAUGUCAACAUGUAUUAAAGUGUUACAUGUUUUGCCCUCUUUUUACAGGCCUACCUGAACGUCGGUUUCGGCACUCCACAACUUACACCACCAAUACUAUAACUCAGCUUAUUGUCCCUGACCACAAAUAUAUAUACUGUUGUGCUCAUAAGUUUGCAUACCCUUGGAGAAUUGGUAAUAUUUGUACUAUUUUUUGAAGAAAAUAUGAGUGACAGGCAAAACACAUUUCUUUUAUUUCUUAUGGGAUUCAUUGCAGUCUUAUGUAAUAGUUGUCUAUGAGGUGCUGUGCUGUACUGGUGCUGUACCUUUGUGUUUGUAUAUGACGUUUGUAUCACACAGCUAUGUUACAUUGCUGCCAGUCACCCCAUGUUUGUCUUAUUAAGAGUUUAUAAGUAUGUAGGGGCAGCACCCCUUCCUGUCUCAACAGAGAAAUUUGCUUUUUAGCUGAUACCGGAAAGGUGAUUUGUAUGUUUUAUAGCCCUAUUUAAGGUUAAUAAGUAUGUAGGGGUUUAUAAUAUACCCCUUCAUGUCUUAUUAGAGAUGUUUACACUUUGUCUGAUACCAACAAAGUUCAUUUUAUUUUAAUGUAUAGAAGCCCUAUAAAGGGUUUAAUGUGAAAGGGUUUAUAAAAUUGGAAUAAAACUAAAGAGCCCCCAUUUUGUUUAAAUGUACAUUGGGGAUUUAGGCCAGAGCGCAGGUAACGUUCUCUUUGUUUUUGCAUGAACUGUGUGAUGGACUGCCUGGCAUCCCGACUGGGUGCCUCCACCAAUCGAUGCUCCUAGUGCUCACCGAAGACUGCAAUCACUCCACCAGACACCAUCAAUCAGCACCGUAGACUCCCACAAACCGCCGCAGCUUGGUUGGAGAUCUCACCGUCCUCCACCUUCCACCUACCUUGGACCCAAGACCAGGAUCUAGCUUCCAGUGGAUGAACCUCUCCUACUCCAGAGAGUAUAGCAGGAACAGAUCUUAUAAGAGCUAGUGAUUAUAAUUCCAGGGAGUAUAAGGAGUAUAGCAAUCCCCAGAGUGAAUAUAGCUGCCCCUCCACACAUGAGACAAGACUCUACGUUGAGGGUGAAGAGGAACUGAUUUUAAUGGUGAAACACUUGGCUUUUCAUAGCAAUCCCCAUUCAAGGGGCACUCUCUCAUGGACCUUGUGGAGAACUCCAUUACAAAGUCACAGACCAAAAAUACCAGUGUUACAAUGCAUGACACUCCCAUAUACAAUACAAUAAGCCUUCCCUUUUAUUUAGGAAAUAAUUGAGUCAAGCACUUUACUAAACUCAAUUAUCUCAAUUAAUCACCCAGAUCAGUUCAGUGGUUCAGGAAUUUCCUGGAAGUCAUAGUUUUUACCGACCGCACGCAUGGUCCCAGGCCCAAAACGGUUCCAUAGAAUGUGUGUGAAAAAUGCAAAAAACAUCACUUUCACUGACAAUAUCAUCACUGUGAUAUGUUUUACGUUUUUUGAAACACUAAUAUUUGUGUUUAGCAAAGUCUCCCGAGUAAAACAGACCCCCCCCCCCCUCACCCCCCCAUAUACAGGUUUUAGGGUGUUUUGGAAAAUUACAGGGUUAAAUAUAGUGCUAGCAAAUUACAUUCUCUGGACUUACGGCCUGGGUUGUCAAGCAGGUCCCUCGAAUUGCAAUUAAUAAAGUUACUUAAUUAUUUAAAUGUAAUACAUAAAUAAAUAUGCACGUAGAAUUUAAAUAUAUAUACAUAUUUAUAUAUUUAAAGUCUACGUGUAUAUUUCUGUUUAUGCAAUUAUGUAUAUAGAUUUCAUAUUAUUUAUUUAUAUAUAUAUAUAUAUAUAUAAAAAUACCAAAUGCUCCUGCACUCACGCUUAAAUCUCCCUUGGUGCCCGAGUGCUAGCAAUAAAUAGCCGUCCAUCCAUAUAUCCAAAUAGGUAGCUGCACUCACGGCUAAUAAAAAGUCAAAAUUUUAUUGCAAAAAGGUAAAAAAAAAAACAGCGAUCAACGUUUCAGUCCUGUAAGGACUUUCUUCAGGAUAAAAAGUAAAAACCUUUUUACUUUUGAUCCUGAAGAAAGUCCUUACAGGACUGAAACGUUGAUUGCUGUUUUUUUUACCUUUUUGCAAUAAAAUUGUGACUUUUUAUUAGCCGUGAGAGCAGCUACCUAUUUGGAUAUAUAUAUAUAUAUAUAUAUAUAUAUAUAUAUAUAUAUAUAUAAUUUCAUUCUAAGUGUAUUUUGAUAUAAAUAUAUAUCAAAAUACACUUAUAAAUAUAUAUAUAUAUUAACAUCAAAAUACAGUUAGAAUAAAAUUGCAUAUAUUUAUUUUAUUUUAUUAUUUUUACAUUUUUAAAUUUAUUUUUAUUUAGCAUUUAAAUUUUAUAAUAUAUAUGUACAAUAUAUAUACAUGUGGAAUUUAAUUCUAAGUGUUUUUUUAUAUUAAUAUACAUAUAUAUAUUAUACUAUACACUUAUAGUUAUAGUAAUAUAAUAUAUAAUAAUAUUAGUGUAAUAUUAUACACUAAUAUUAUAUAUUAUAUAUACACUUAAUCUGGCAUUAUAUAUAUUUAUUUUAUUAUUAUUAUUAUUAUUAUUAUUAUUAUUAUCUACUAAUAUCUUUGCUUUCUAUUUCACACACCUACAGAUACAGGCAGAAAGAGUAUUAGAAAGAAGAGAUUUCUGCAUAACCACAUUGUUCUGUGCAUUUUUUUGUAAUAUUAUAUUGUACCCUACUGUAACAAUGCAGUGUUUGUAGACCCAGGACAUACUUGAAAACAAGAGAAAUCUCAAUGUGUAGCAUGAAUUUACAAAAUAUUGGAGUCUAAGUAAAUAUGCUCUCGUCUGACAUCUAGUGGUUAGUAAUACAUUUUCAACUUUUACUCUUUGGCUUGCACGAAUUACUGGAUUCUUUUAUUAUAAUCUGGCUAUCAAUGGGCUACAGUUGUACUAUAUAAUUCACAAUUAACUAUUUAUUUAGAAGCAAUUCUGUAUCCAGAACACCACUAUGCCUUUCUAAUCAAGAAUAUAGGUUUUGACCAAUUGGGGGUUUAUUAACUAAAAUGUUGAUUUAACAAGUGAUGCCUUUUCACCCAUGGUUUCAUAAAUCUAGCUAUAAUUGUAGAUAAGAAUUUCCCUAACUACUAUAGAGUAGGCCACACCUAGUGAACACUUAAUGUAAAAUAUACAUUAUGGAUUAGAUGCACUUAAUUGAUUGAAACAACUGAGUACCUAAAAAUUAAAUUUUACACAUAUGCAUACACAACACACACACAUAUAUAUAUAUAUAUCUAUAUCUAUAUCUAUCUAUAUAUCUAUAUAUAUCUAUAUAUAUAUUGUUAAGACACCCCUGGUGUCUUUAAGAGAAACCGCCGUUUAGUUCACCUUCCCCUUUCACAAUAUCAGUAAUCCAUUCGCAUAAACUGUAAUCCACGAACCAUAACCAGGGGAAGCGGCAAUCUCCCGACCGGGAUCCGUGAAAGGCUCCAAACUCCCGAACAGAAAUCCACGAACUGCUGCUAGCUGCCGAACAACGAUAUCCACCAAGCGGCUUUCGGUUCCAAUCAGCAGUCUCUAAGCGCAAAGAAGAAAUCCCCCCAAUAACGAGACAGAAGCUCCGCAUUGAGGGUCAAACAGGAUCUGGCUUUACUGUGGGCUACCUGCCCGUAUUUAUGCAGGUCUCCCACUUGGUGGACACUCCCCUAGGGGACCAAAUGGGAGACUGUAAUUACAGAUGGACAUGAGGACAUAACAGACAUACAGUCACAAGCUUUUCCCACAAUGCAAUAUGGUCUCCUCCCCUCUGCUCUGGAGAUAAUUGAGAAGUAAUUCAAUUAUCUCCAGGACAAAGACAAAUCGCAAUCUUAGAUACAAAACCAGAAAAUACAUAAAAAUACAUCAUUUGAAAAUAACCGAACAUUUCUCAUUCACAUCACAUAUCCCCAGAUAGCCUGGAUCUGAGUGCAUAUUAUUGGCGAAUAGCGCUCAGAUCCCACACACAUAGUUCAAUCGCCAUGGAGUCAAAGUUCUUACAGUCUUUCGGUAUGCGAAUGACUCCAUGGGAAGGCUGUCUGGGUUAAGUCUUUUCAUGUGCUGUAAAACUCCCGAACGGCCGGUGUUCGUACGUUUUCGUGGAGGUUGCCAGGCGUCCCGUUGUUUCAGCGGUGUUCAGCAGAAAAAGUGUCCGUUUUUAGUUCCAUGAAAAUAGAGCCGAACACCACUGGGCUUUCGUGUGUUUUAAAAUGGCCGCUGCUUCGUGGUCGACAUACGAAUGACGACCACCUUGAAUUCGGUUCUGUCUGCGGUUAACCACAAUGUUCUGAUUGGGAUCAAUAGGUUAACCAGCAGCACACUUCUAUCCUGGGUGGCCGUCCGUUCGGUAGUUUUGUUCGGGAAAAACAGUCAUUCGUAUGGCUGGGCUAUAGGAAACAGCCAUUUACACGAAAGUGCAGGAAACAGACGAAUCCACCACAAUAGUCAGAUGAAUGGUUCUGUCACAUAUAUCUAUAUAUAUAUAUAUAUAUAUAUAUAUAUAUAUAUAUAUACAGUGUAGUUUAUAUACUUUUUCUGGCUAUUACAAGCCAACUUGCACCUUUCACUUUCAGGCACAUCUUCUGAUAUUUUUGACAACCCACCUCCCUCCCCUUCUCUAACAUCAGUUGUUUUACGUGUUAAACUCUAUCAGAUUGAUCAUUAUUGCCACCACCAGUCUUUGUCGAUCUUUUGGUAAGUCAUUUGUGGGGGUUUUCUCUCAUAUUGUACUCUUGGCAUUCUCAGCUCCUGUUAGGUGUUACUGCCAAAGAUCACCCCAAUAUGUGUUCAGCAACAUCUCCUGAGUACAGUGAUACCAUCCAUGGACAGGUGUGUUGGGUUCUCUUGGGUCUAAAAGACCUUAUUUGGAGGUUGCGCAUUCCAGUUUUCCAACUUGGAAUUUUCACAGCUGGUCAUCAUGCACCCAUGUCCUAUUUGGGACAUUUUUGAAGCUGGACAAUGUAAUUUACACCCUAGGGUGUUUCAAAUAGUAUUUAAACACUUUCCAGGCACUAAUUCUACCACCAGUCUUUGUCAAUCUUUUGGGUUGUCAUUUUUUUGUGUUAUUUUUCUCUCACAUUGUACUUUUGGUAUGAAUUCUCAGCUCCUGUUAGGUGUUACUGCCAAAGAUCACCCAAUAUGUGUUCAGCAACAUCUCAGUGAUACCACCUAUGCAUAGGUCUGUUGGGUUGUUUGGGGGGUGCAAUGCCAAACAUCUGACAUGUGUUUCGCAAAUUUGACAUAUCUUCUUUUUGGGGGCCUUUUUAGAUAUCCCAAUUUAUUUUCUUGCCAUGAGCGUGCAUAUAUUUGAAAAACUGACACCCCGCGGUAUUGUAUAUGGAUUGUUUUAAUGCCUUUGAUGAAAUCGUUUUAGCCAAAAAAAAUCAGAGAAAGUGUGUGGUGGUUAUUUUUACAUUUUUAUUUUUACACACACAUUGCUUUUUGACUGUGAUUUAGCAGAGCCUGUUGGUCAUUGAAAGAAAACACUCCAGGGUGUUUUCUGCAAGCCCUCCUGAGCACACCCAUGCCAGUAAAUGGGGGUAGAGCAGAUGGAGCUACUUUAUGAUGCCCACCAGCAUAGUUAAUGCCCAGAAAUUUUUAAAUUCUGGCACAUCAAUGGGGGCCCAUUGCUGCUUUGCCAAAAAAGACUCCUGCUUAGAAGCAUGGAACUGAUGGGCAUGUAAAUUAGUUUGGGCGAAAAUGUUCCCCAGAACAUCAUCGCCCAGAAACCCCUGCAUAUACUGCUGAGGGCUAAAUCCUGCAACAUCCACAUUGAUUCCAGGAUUUGCAGUAAAGGGUGGGAUAUCUGGCUUCUGGCGAUGAGGCACUGCCCACUCCUCAGCAGUACUGCCAGCUGGAGCAGCACGUCUCCUUCUGGUAGGGGGACUAGCAGGCACAGAUACAACAUCACUAGCUGCAGACACUGUAUCUAGUAAUGUAUCUGAGCAUCUGGCAGGGUCAAAAUCAGGGAGGGAAUCAGAUAUAGACGUGUCAGACUCUAACGCAAGGAUGGCAUACACCUCCUCAGCACUAUACUACAUAUGUGACGUCUGUGACAUGAUCACAAUCACUUUAUGUAGUGAUAUGUCACAUAAAAAAAGAUUUUUAAAAAAUGAACCCCUAACAAUGCACAUACAGCAAAAAAGUGCUGCUGUGCAAGAUCCAGUGAUUAUUAGAGAUGUGAAAUUCGCUUCGUUCCAAAUGUCUAUUCGGACGAAUUUCGGGCAAUUCGGACAUUCGGAUACGUCUGAAUGUCUUAAUUGCCAAAGUUCCAAAUUGCCAAAGUUCCGAAAUUGACGAAUUUCUGAAGUGCAGAAGUGCCAAAGUUCCAAAGCACAGUAUUGCCGAAGUACUAAUAUACCUACCCAGUGGAAGAAUGAAGAAUGUUACACUGUAUACAAGUUUAAAUAAAAAGUAUACAAAAUAGCCAGGAUUCAGCUGCAAGCAUUUGCAACACUUACAACAAUCAAGUAACACACAGUCAUAUAAAAUGUUAGUUACUUAGCCAGUCAAUGGAAUGACAGGAAUGAAUAACUCCCUAAUUCCCAUGGUAUUAGGGAGCUAUCUACUAAAAGGCUGAAAGACUUAAAUUGGUCUUUCAGACAAAUUUACUCAUACUAAGUAAAGAUUACUUAGUAUUAGUAAAUUAUGCCCCUACUCGCUAUACCGCGAGUAGGGGCAUGUCUAGUAAACAGUGAACAGCCAUGUAUCACAAAAAACACGUGUCCCCCCUCCCGAGCCCCCACCCGUGCCGCACGAGUAGGGGCUUCUAACCUGAAGGGGGGACCUAUUGCCCCACCCCAGCCCCCAACUCUAAGCAGCGGGUGGGGGCCCUAAAGUAAAAUAAGGGGGGGCACCUAUUGUUCUCCCCCUGGCCCCCACCCCUGAGUGGUGGGUGUGGGCCCUAAAUACAAAUAAGGGGACGACGACCUAUUGUCCUCCACCCCUGGCCCCUACCCCUGAGUGGUGGGUGGGGGCCCUAAAUAAAAAUGUAACAAACCCCAAACCCCUAGUCUCCUUCUCCCAAAAAAAUUAAUUAACCCCUACCUACUCCCCUCACCCUAAAAAUAAUGAGAGAGGACCAAUAACUAGGUACCUGUAAAAGAAUAAAUAAAACUUACCAUUUGAUGUCUUCUUUUUUCUAAAAUCUUAUUUUUUUCAGCCUUAAAAAAGGCCAAAUAAAAAUCCAUAAUAACCGUCGCACUUUGAAAAAAAAAAAACAGAGCGCAAAAAAAUGAUCUAUCUUCACCCAUGGAGGGCUUCGCGCAGACUGAGCUCUGCAGGGCGGGGGAAGGCUUAUAAAGCAUUGCCCCCCCCUGCAAUUAGGCUCAGAGCCAGGGCCGGUGCAAGGAUUUUUGCCGCCCUAGGCAAAAAAAAAAUUUGCAGCCCCCCCCAUAUGUCCGGCCCACCAUGUGACAUCACAAUGCCCCGCCCAUAUGCUCUGCCAUAUGGGCCAACGCCAGUCUUCACAAAGUGUCUUUUAUCUGAAAAGACAGUGUGUUUACAUUAAAAAGCCUACAGGCACAGGAUAUAGACACCAGAACCACUACAUUAUGCUGUAGUGCUUCUGGUGACUAUAGUAUCCAUUUAAUGUGAGGUAAAUUAGAGAUUAGUGCCAGUAAUAAUAUAUUGGAUUGCCUACUUACCACCAGAUGAGAACAAGAGGCUGAUGCUGGGCUCUGUCUGGGUCCACAGGUCUGGUGUAGAAGAGGCUCUCAGGAGACUGUUUUUAACAGUGCUCACAACAAUUAACGAACAGGAAGCAGCUCCAUUUUUUAGGACCCCUUACACAGCUCAAGGUCUGGGCCCCCAGGGCUUGACCGUGAGUAUGCCUACAAUGCCCAUCCAGCUACAUGGCCCACCCAUGAGUUCUCUCACAGGAAGUGGAGUGUAUGUGUGUAGGGGAUGGUUUAUGUGUUAUUGUAGAGGAUGCAAUGUGUGUGUGUUCUUAUAGAAUGUAGUGUAUAGGGAUACCAAUUUCUGUAAGGGAUGUAGUGUGUUUAUAGGGGAUGCAGUGUGUGUUUGCGUGUAAGGAAUGCAUUGUAUGUUUCUGGGUGUGUGUGUGUGUGUGUGUGUGUGUGUGUGUGUAAGGGGUGCAAGGUGUGUUUCUGUGUAUUUAACCCCUUAAGGACCAAACUUCUGGAAUAAAAGGGAAUCAUGACAUGUCACAAAUGUCAUGUGUCCUUAAGGGGUUAAAGGACCACUCUAGGCACCCAGACCACUUCAGCUUAUGAAGUGGUCUGGGUGCCAGGUCCAGCUAGGGUUAACCCAUUUUUUCAUAAACAUAGCAGUUUCAGAGAAACUGCUAUAUUUAUGAAUGGGUUAAGCCUUCCCCCUAAUCCUCUAGUGGCUGUCUCAUUGACAGCCACUAGAGGCGCUUGCGUGCUUCUCACUGUGAUUUUCACAGUGAGAGCACGCCAGCGUCCAUAGGAAAGCAUUAUGAAUGCUUUCCUAUGUGACCGGCUGAAUGCGCGCGCAGCUCUUGCCGCACGUGCGCAUUCAGCCCAGGAGGAGGAACGGAGGAGGAUCGGAGGAGGAGAGCUCCCCGCCCAGCGCUGGAAAAUGCGGGACAGGAACUUCUGUUUCCUGUUCCCGGCCGCUGCCGGCCACGCUACAUUGAGAGACCGGCGGGAGGGAGCGCUCUGCACUUCCCUCCUGACGGUCACUCAAAUCCGCGGUGCCAUCCAAUCAGAGUGCUCUGACAGGUAAAUGAAGAGACUGAUAGGCAAGUCUCUACAUUUACCUGUCAUAGCACUCUGAUUGGUUAGCUGGAAAUCCAGCCAAUCAGAGUGCUCUGUGUCAUUUUACACAGCUUGGGAAAGUUCUUUGGCAUUUUCCCAUGCUGUGUAAUUUGACUCAUAACAACACUCUGAUUGGUUAAUUGAAAUACCUAGGGAAUUAGGGAGUUAUCUACUAAGCAGCUGCAACAGAAGUCCCGAAGUUCCAAAAUGCUGAAUUUGAAAUUCACUUUGAAUUCUCACUUUAGUGAAUAACCUUGUAAAGUGAGAAUUUAAAACAAAUUGAAAAUGUAUUUCAAAUUUUAAAGCAAGAGUAGUCAAAUUGAAAGCAUUGCUGAUAUUUUUUUCCACUUCGGCUAUUUUCACCUUACAUUUGAAAUCCACUUGUAAUUCUCUUUGUAGUCUCACUUUAUUAAUUAGUCCUAUCUAAAUAAACAUUUUAAAUUCCCCUGAUAUGCUUACAUUUGUGAACAUGCCUGUCUAUUUUUACAACAGUAUUUUAAGUCUAAUUUAAGCACAUAGAUAAUGUAUUAUUUCAGCUGGUUUGGCAGAUCAUCUAUUUUUUAAAAUGGAUGCUUUAAGCACCAAAACAACUUUUUCUUAAUGCUCCUGUAUUGUCAAUUUUCAAAUCUCUUUUAGGAGUUAAAUCACUUUNNNNNNNNNNNNNNNNNNNNNNNNNNNNNNNNNNNNNNNNNNNNNNNNNNNNNNNNNNNNNNNNNNNNNNNNNNNNNNNNNNNNNNNNNNNNNNNNNNNNACCACUAAUCCCAACAAAAAUGACGGGCAGAGGCAGGCCACCCCGCAGUGGCCAUCGUGGUCGUGGUGCUGUGAUUCCCUUUGGCCCUAGAAUAAUGCCCAGUUUUCAGAGGCCACGUACCCUGAACUUGAAAAGUUCUGAGGACAUAAUUGACUGGCUAACACAGGACACCCAAUCUUCUACAGCCUCCGCUCAGAACCUUGACGCACCAUCCUCCUCCAGCUUAGCUUCAGGCACCUCUCAAGAUACCACUCACUCGCCUGCCGCCACCACCAAAACUAGCACCACCAGCGCUUCCGGUUGGUAUAGCCAGAGAGUUAUUCACACAUCGUUUGAAAGAAAUGAGUGAUACUUAAUACAUUGUGCCAGGAUGUAGAUAACGGGGAUAUGUCUCAGGCGGAGCGGCAUUACACACUUACAUGGGUGUCGCGAUUGUGAUGAUGAUGAUGAUGUUGUACCACAUGCUGCUUCCUUUGCUGAGUUUGUCAGAUACAAAUUGAGAGGCGGUUGAUGAUGGCUUGAUCGUCCAUGGAUUAUCACGUGGGUGCCAUUUCGUCAAGAAGAAGAACAGGGUGAAAGUUCAGAUGGGGGAGACGGGGAGGAGGAGGGAGGCGAGUUGGAAGCAGGGGAGGUGCGUCGCAAGGGAGCUGGCGUGGCUGUUGGUCGAGACAGCGUAAAUGAGCACCGGGGUCAGCCCGACAACGCCAAUCAGCGCAUGCACAACAUUACCACUUAGAAUACCGUCAUUGCAGAGCUCAGCAGUGUGAAUUUUUAUUGUGUCUGCCUCUGACAACAGCGUGCCAUUUGCAACCUGUGCCAAAGAAACUGAGUGGGUGGGAAGUCCAACACCCACCUAGGUACAACAACUGCUUUAGCGUGGGCACAUGAUCACAUCACAGGCCUAUGGGAUCCAACACAUGAGUACAAGCAGCUUCGCCUACUCUAAGCAUGGCUUCCUCCUGGUCCAGCAUCUUCAGCCGUCAACCACUGCUGUCCUCCUGUCCCUCUCAACCAUCUGCCAACUCCUUUCCAUGCUUAGAGCGUUCACGCUCAUCUUCCCACAGUCAUGUGUCUGUCAAGGACAUGUUUGAGAGCGUGAAGACAAUGUCAGAAGUCACCCCCUUGCCCAGCGUCUGACUGCUGGCUUGUCGAACUAUUAGCCCGCCAGCUUUUACCAUACAAGCUGGUGGAGUCUGAGGCGUUCAAAAAAUUUGUAGCUAUUGGGACACCGCAGUGGAAGGUACCCGGCCGAAAUUACUUUUCGCAAAAGGCAAUCCCCAACCUGUACUCAAUUGUGCAAAAGGAAGUAAUAGCAUCUCUGGCACACAGUGUUGGGGCAGGGGUCCAUUUGACCACUGAUACCUGGUCUGCAAAGCAUGGUCAGGGCAGGUAUAUCACCUACACUGCGCAUUGGGUAAACCUGCUGACUGCUGCCAAGCAUGGAAUGCAUGGCUCUGCAGAGGAGUUGGUGACACCGCCACGACUUGCAGGCAGUCCUGCUGCCACCUCUCUACUCCUCCUACUCCAUCCUCUUCCAUAACCUCCUCGGCUGAGUCCUCUUCUGCUGCUGCGUCUUGCUCCCAUCAGCAGCACCAGCUCCCCAGGUACUAUUCCACAUCCCGGAUACGGCAGUGUCACGCCGUCUUGGGUUUGACUUGCUUGAAAGCAGAGAGUCACACCGGACAAGCACUCCUGUCCGCCCUGAAAGCACAGGUGGAAAAGUGAAAACGACUCGCACUUGUUGACUGGAUGGCAAAGUGGUUUUGUAACCUUGGAACAAAUUUGUUAGCGGCAUUGAAGUUGGGCAAGUUGUCACAUGUGCCGUGCAUGGCACAUGUGUGUAAUCUGAUCGUACAACGCUCUGUGCAUAAGUACACAGGCUUACAGGACGUCCUGAAGCAGGCCAGGAAGGUGUGUGGCCAUUUCAGGCGUUCCUACACGGCCAUGGCUCCCUUUGCCGAUAUCCAGCGGCGAAACAACAUGCCAGUGAGGCGCUUGAUUUGCGACAGCCCGACACGUUGGAAUUCAACACUCCUAAUGUUCGACCGCCUGCUCCAACAAGAAAAAGCCGUUAAUGAAUAUUUGUAUGGCCGGGGUGCUAGGACAGCCUCUGGGGAGCUGGGAAUUUUUUUGCCACGUUACUGGACGCUCAUGCGCAAUGCCUGUAGGCUCAUGCGUCCUUUUGAGGAAGUGACAAAUUUAGUCAGUCGCACCGAAGGCACCAUCAGCGACAUCAUACCAUUUGUUUUCUUCCUGGAGCGUGCCCUGCGAAGAGUGCUGGAUCAGGCCGUAGAUGAGCGUGAAGAGGAAGAGGAAGAGUUGUGGUCACCAUCACCUCAGAAACAGCCUUAUCAGCAUCGCUUGCUGGACCUGCGGCAACGCUGGAAGAGGAUUGUGAGGAAGAGGAGUCAGAGGAGGAAUGUGGCUUUGAGGAGGAGGAAGAGGAGGAGCAAGACCAACCACAACAGGCAUCCCAGGGUGCUCGUUGUCACCUAUCUAGUACCCGUGGUGUUGUACGUGGCUGGGGGAAGAAAAAUACCUUCGUGACAUCAGUGAGGAGGAAGCGGGAAAUGAGUAGCUCGGCAUCCAACCUUGUGCAAUGGGGUGCUCAUGCUGUCGUGCCUGUUGAGGGACCUGGUAUACAAAGGCAGGAGAAACGACCUGUACUGGGUGUCAAGCUACUAGACUGGGUAUAAACACAGAAAGGGUGAGAGUAUUUUGGGUACAACAAGUAUGAAAGGAUGCAGCAUUUGCAAAAUAAAUUUAAAGUAUGCUUUACACAGUAUAAGGGGUGAUGUCACAGCACAACGAGGAAUCUAACAGGGGAGAGGUGGAAGUCACCUCUCACUCCUCCCCAUAUGACCACCACACCGGCAAGGACAGGGCGCUUUAGAGAGGCGUGUUGGUGAUGGAGGAGGGACAUGCGGACACCCAAGUCCUAAAAAACGCAUACAACCCGCCGGAUCACCCUCAGAAGCUGACUCGACAGGCAGGUGGCAGAACUGUAUAACUUGCAGAUAUAAAACCUCUGAGGAGCGAUGAACCCCUUGACUACUGGGUGUUCAGGCUUGACCUGUGGCCUGAGCUAUCCCAAUUUGCGAUAGAACUUCUGGCCUGCCCCGCUUCAAGUGUCCUGUCAGAAAGGACCUUCAGUGCAGCAGGGGGUAUUGUCACUGAGAAGAGAAGUCGCCUAGGUCAAAAAAGUCUAGAUUACCUCACCUUUAUUAAGAUGAAUGAGGGAUGGAUCCCGAAGGGACUGACACUGGGCGAUACAUUAGAUUAAAAAAGGCCUGAUGAGAUGAGCUGCCUUGGGCUAAAAAUGGUCCACACGCUGCUGUAUUUUGGCUCUGAAUGCCUGUUGACUUGCGUGACUGAUCCGCCACCAACUUGGGUUCAAGCCGCCAUCUUUUAGGGCACUUUCUGCCUGUGAAACAAACAUCAGUUAUAGAUUGAAUAGCGGUUAGUUGUCUCAAAGCGGGUGUGUCAGCCCUACAGCGUGUACUCUGCCAGUACGCUGCCACCUCCUCUACUCCUCCUACUCCAUCCUCUUCCAUAACCUCCUUGGCUUAGUCCUCUUCUGCUGCUGCGUCUUGCUCCACAUCAACGGAUAGGGGGCGUAACAGUGAUUAAACUGAUAACAGUAGUACUAAACACACCACUCACUCACUGGUGUCACAAUAGCUUGGAUUUAAAAACAAAAAAAUUUUUUCACUGUUAUAGAUUGAAUAGCAGUUAGUUAUCUUCAAGCAGAUGUGUCAGCCCUACAGCGUGUACUCUGCCAGUACGCUGCCACCUCCUCUACUCCUCCUCUAAACCACUCUUCCACCGCCUCCUCGGCUUAGUCCUCUUCUGCUGCUGCGUCUUGCUCCACAUUAGCGGAUGAGGCGUAACAGUGAUUAAACUGAUAACAAUAAUUUAAACACACCACUCACUCUGUUGUCUGUAAGCUUGGAUUUAAAGAAACAGUAUUUUUUUUCACUGUAUAGAUUGAAUAGCAGUUAGUUAUCUUCAAGCAGGUGUGUCCAACCCUGGCGUGUGCUGCUAUGGCUGCCACCUCCUCUCUACUCCUCCUACUCCAUCCUCUUCCAUAACCUCCUCGGCUGAGUCCUCUUCUGCUGCUGCGUCUUGCUCCACAUCAACGGAUAGGGGAAGUAACAGUGAUUAAACUGAUAACAAUAGUACUAAACACACCACUCCUAUCUGGUGUCCUGGUAAGCUUGGAUUUAAAAACGAGAAUUUAUUUUUUCCACUGUUAUAGAUUGAAUAGCAGUUAGUUAUCUUCAAGCAGGUGUGUCAGCCCUGGCGUGUACUGCCAGUGCGCUGCCACCUCCUCUACUCCUCCUACUCCAUCCUCUUCCAUAACCUCCUCGGCUUAGUCCUCUUCUGCUGCUGCGUCUUGCUCCACAUCAACGGAUAGGGGGCGUAACAGUGAUUAAGCUGAUAACAAUAGUACUAAACACACCACUCCUAUCUGGUGGCACAUUAGAUUGCACGCGCAGUGCCCCAAAUUUGUUGUGAUCUGUGAGUAAGGUAAACGGUUGUCCAUACAAGUAGGUUGCAGCUUUUUGAGGGCCCACACCACCGCUAUGCACUCCCUUUCAAUGGCAGUGAAUAUACUUCGCUGUGCAAAAGUUUACGGCUUAGAUAAGCCCCGGGUUGCUAGCCACCAUCUGCUCCGACUUAGCUCAAUACUGCUCCCAAUCCAAGCAUAGAAGCGUCUGUAUGGACGAGAAAGUGUUUAGUUGGAUCAGGAGAAGAAAGUACAGGUGAUUUAAUGAGCGCCGUCUUGAGCUGUUGGAAGGCCUGUUCACAUUCUGGGGCCAUACUACUAUCUUGGGGAGGUUUUUACACGUUCCUAUAUGGCACUUACUGGGCUUUAGGGUCAGUCCGGACUCCCUAAUCCGGUCUAUUACGGCUCCUAUGUGGGUCAGGUGUUCGGGCCGGGAGCUGCUAAAAAUGUCUAUACCAUUCAAGUAGGUGUGUAUCAGUGUGUAUCAGGGGAUCCUUAGGACGGGUGUCAAUCCAUAUGCUGCCAAGAGUGACCCUAUGUUGGGGUAACAUUCCCUAUUCUGAUCUGUGUCGGUGUGUAUCAGGGAUCCUUAGGACAGGUGUCAAUCCAUAUCUGCCAAGUGACCCGAUGUUGGGGUAACAUUCCCUAUUCUGCUCUGUGUCAGUGUGUAUCAGGACCACUGAUAGGAGACGCGGAAGGUAUUAAACUGAUAAAAAUGGUACUAAACACUCCACUCCUAUCUGGUGUCACAUUAGCUUGACAGCGCAGUGCCCCAAAUUUGCAGUAAGAGGACCGACCAAGCCUCUUCUUCCAUCUCCCUAUUACAAAAAUCAAUGCCGUGUACACGACCACUGAUAGGAGACGCGGAAGGUAUUAAACUGAUCAGAACAAUACUAAACACACCACUCCUAUCUGGUGGCACAUUAGCUUGACCGCGCAGUGCCCCAAAUUUGAAUUAAGAGGACCGACCAAGCAUCUUCUUCCAUCUCCCUGUUACAAAAAUCAAUGCGGUGUACACGACCACUGAUAGGAGACGCGGAAGGUAUUAAACUGAUCAGAACAAUACUAAACACACCACUCCUAUCUGGUGGCACAUUAGCUUGACCGCGCAGUGCCCCAAAUUUGAAUUAAGAGGACCGACCAAGCAUCUUCUUCCAUCUCCCUGUUACAGCAAUCACUGCCAUAUCCAUACAAAUUGUACAGAAUGUCCAGGAUAGUUUUCCAGGGACAAAUGUUGUCGCCUGUUGAGCGAGGUGACCUUGCUCGGGUCCCAGGUGUGCGGUUCCUAAAAUGGCUGCCAUAUACACGUCCACUGAUAGGAGACGCGAAAGGUAUUAAACUGAUCAGAACAAUACUAAACACACCACAAAUAAGGUUUCUCUCCUGUAUGGCUCCUCAAAUGAUGCUUAAGAUUAGAAGUGGCUGAAAAGCAUUUCUCACACUCCGAACAAAAAUAUAAUUUUUUAACAUUCUCUCCACUUUGAACGAAAUGACGUUUGGGAAGAGAUUAACAUAAUUAAACACAGGCAGUAAAAAUACAGUUUUUAGCCAUACCCUGUAACUUUAAAACUACACAUCCAUCUUCAUAAUUACAUAUUUGGAAUCAGCACACUUAAAACAUAAACAUAACCAAAAAUCAGCCAAAUCCAUCCAGGGGUUAAAAAGUUAGCUGGAGGUCCCUUUAUGACCGACCGCAAGCAAAUUUUCAUGCCCAAAACAGUUCCAUAGAUUUGGGCUGUGAGGUCAGUCUAUUUCAGGCUGAAAAAACGACUAAGUCCCAUCGCGAAUAGGACUUAGUCUCUGCAGCUGAAAUAAGGCUGAAAAAAACGGCUGAAAAAAAGACUAAGUCCCAUCGCCGAAUGGGACUUAGUCUCUGCAGCUGAAAUAAGGCUGAAAAAACGGCUGAAAAAAAGACUAAGUCCCAUCGCUGAAUGGGACUUAGUCUCUGCAGCUGAAAUAAGGCUGAAAAAAGCGGCUGAAAAAAAGACUAAGUCCCAUCGCCGAAUGGGACUUAGUCUCUGCAGCUGAAAUAAUUUCCCAUUUACUGAACCAAGUGGGAAAUAGCAAGGCAGGCACAAAGGGUUUGCACCAGGUCUGGGGACACAGGGGACACCGUCUUAAAGGGGGCGUGUCCCCAACAAGUCUGGGGACACGGCCUUAAAGGGGCAGUGUCCCAAUCUUCCUGAUGUCCCAAAAAAGGUGUUUAAAGGGCCAGCACCAGUCACAUAAAGAGUCCAUAAGCCCCAAUAUGCCCACCGACAGUCUUAAAGGCCAUACACACCAAAUAAAAGUGCAUACAUUUUCACAAUCUCCCAGGGGCCAUAGUCAUGCGGGAGGAGGCUGGCAAAGAGGCUUCUCCACAACCCAGGGAAACAGGGCAAUUUGCCAUUUAAAGGGCCCGUUACAAAUAGCAGUUUGUAACAAGGUGUCAAUCCAUAUCUGCCAAGUGACCCGAUGUAGGGGGAACAGUCCCUAUUCUGCUCUGUGUCAGUGUGUAUCAGGGGCUCUGAGGACAGGUGUCAAUCCAUAUGUCAAGGUGUCAAUAUGUCAUAUGUCAGGUGUCAAUCCAUAUUGAUUGUGAUUUAGGAAUGUUAGGUGAUUUCUGCCCUUUAUGGAUUAAAACCAGACUCUGUAUCAACUGUGUAAUUUUCCAUGGGAGUUUUGCCAUGGAUCCCCCUCCGGCAUGCCACAGUCCAGGUGUUAGUCCCCUUGAAACAACUUUUCCAUCCCUAUUGUGGCCAGAAAGAGUCCCUGUGUGUUUUAAAAUUCGCCUCCCCAUUGAAGUCAAUGGCGUUUCGGGCGGUUCGCCGGUUCGCGAACAUUUGCGGAAGUUCGCGUUAGCCGUUCGCGAACCGAAAAUUUCGGGUUCGCGACAUCACUACUGAUCAAUUGGGGGUCCCCAGCAAUGAAUAACUCCCAUAAUUUUUGUUGUCCUCUACAUCUGUAUGUAUGUUUGUUUUUUCUUUUGUUUCUAUAUUUUAUCUGUCUCACCAUUAUCUCGUAACACUCCAGUUUAAAGAGGACCUUAGUAUGUAUUGUUAUAUAUAUGUAUAUAUAUAUAUAUAUAUAUAUAUAUAUAUAUAUAUAUUUUUAGUCAUACUAAGGAUAAGCCUCUAAAUUCAUUCAUUACAGUCAGGUGGGCCAAAUUCCAAAUAAUUUUUGUUUUUAUUAGUUUAGCACGCCUGCACUGCCAGCUAUGUUUUAUUUUUUGAUGCUGGAUUAAUAAUUAUAAAUUCAUAGAUUAAGUGAAUUGUUGCCAACGUGAGGCUUAUAUUUGAUCACACUGGAGAGAUGUGAUAGUGUAACUUUCUGUUGGUUUACAACAGUAAAAACUUUAAAAGCAUUUUUUUUUAAAUUUGGUUCCCAACAAAUAUAACCUCAAGUUGAUUUUUUAUUUUGAUUUUUGAAUAGCAACAGACAGUUUUCUAUAGAUUGCACGCUGCCAAACUGUGUAAUGGUAGCAUUCAAUCUACUUUUUUUUUCUUCUCUCUCCAUCUUUGAUGCUUUGGUUUUUUUUUUGUCAUUAAGAAUAUAGGGAAAUUAGAUUGCUUUGAGUGAAGAUGGCAUAAAUAAUAAAGUGAAAAUGUAUGCUAUUUGUUCUAAUUGGCUAUCCGCAGGGGGUUAAAUAGUUAUGGGUAUGAGAAUUUGCACCUACGUUCAAUUGCGAAUACAUUUUUCACCCUUAGAUCUUUCCCACUCACAUUCAUGUAUAAUAAUUUACGGUUUAAACUAUGUACAUUUUGUGAUUAUUGCAUGUAUUCAUCAGUAAAUUAUAAAAUAACUAAUAUGGUUUUGUGUUCAACUCUCCAUCAGGUGUGGAGUAAAUGUCUAAAUUAAUCAAAAUUUCAGGAGACAUUUGUGGGUCUUUUACAUACCUCUAAAAUGUAAACAUAGCCUUAAGACACCACAACCAAAUAGAUUUUAUUAGACAAAACUAGUUAAGCCUUUGACACAAGACAAUAUGCUGAUUACUGUUGUACAUAUUUCAUUGUCUGUGUUUGAUUCAAAGAACAUUUUAAUUGGAAGGCCCAGAGAGGCGAAGGUAACUGACAUGUCCUGUCACAGUUUACUAUACAGAUGAAGAGGUGCUGGGAUUACACGUCAAACUAUUAUCCUGAAAAUGGAUACUAUACAAAUGAAGAAGUGCUGAGAUUACCAAGUCAAACUAUUAACACAGCCCAGAAUGAGGGUAAAGUAACAGCAAGAAGCAGGAAUUUGUGUCAUUUCAAGGUGGUCACAGAAUGAGUUUACCCUACACUCAUGAACUUGCAUGUGUCAUUAAACCUACAAACCUCAAGCUUUGUAAUGGAUUGGCAAAGACAAUAUUCAAGGAGAGUUCAUUCUAAAAUCACAGCUAUCAAGCACACAGAUCAGUCACAGUCUUCAGAUUCCAGUCCCAGGCGAAAUUAAACAUCAUAUUGUGUCAUAAACUAGUGAUAAUUACUGUAUGGGGUUGAUUGCGUCUAGAUAUUACUACUUCACAUGAACACAUUACCAUAUAAUAUUAAUGAACAACUACCAGGGUUCUUACCAACCCACUUGGGCAGUGGUUAAUUUAAAAACGGAACAACUGAAAACAAUUGAAAUUGGGGGAAUGUGGGGUGAUGCAACCCCUGUUUGACUAUAUUCUCUCACUUUUAAAUGUGCUCAACAUAAGAGAAAAAAAAGUGAGGGAAUGUGGUGACAUUCUGUCAUCAAACUAAUAUGGUGACCAGGGAUCAUGUGACCAAGCUCUUACAGUGGGAUAAGCUUUACCCUUUUGAAAUGUUAAUUGGUAAUUCAAUACCUUUACUAGUCAGGAAAGAGAUAACCACUUCCCCCUAUCUCCAUUCCUCUCUGUUCCUUCUUGGCUGUGCUACUGAGCAGUCCUUUAAGCAGACAUGGCCUUAUUUCUAUCAUGGUGAACUGUGAGUGGGAUUUUAUAAGAUGUAGUUGUUAUUGUUAGUUAGGUUGUUGUUGCUGUUGUUGGUGGUAUAGUUAGUUAGAUUGUGUGUCAUUAUUUGUAUGUUGUUGUUGUUUUGUCUCUGAAUAAAUAUUUGUUAAAGUAGACGGACCAGAGUUUAUAUGUGUAUGCGUACAUAAUAAUUUAUAGAGUUUGGUAAUACACCACACAGUGUGCCAAUCUCCAUGUGCUCCAAGCCUCCCAUGUCCUUUGGGUAGUUUUAUUUCGGGGCCAUAGUCUGCCAAAGCCCUGCUCGUACUUGCAUUGUGUAUCUAUUUCCAUCGCUAGGGUGGACACUGCGGGACGAUUAGGGGAUUUCCAUGCUCUUGCUAUUAGUCUUUGGGCUGAUAAUAUGACAUGGUAAAUAAGCUUCUGCAGAUGCUUAGGGACAGUGGCGUACACACAACCCAUGGGGCCCCGGUGCGAAAACUGACCCGUGGGCCCCCCCCGCUCGCUUACUCUGCAUGGGCUGGGGCCACAACACAUGGUGGCGGGCACCUGGUCGCAGGGGUCGCAGGGCUGCGACCGCGGUAUGUACACCAGUGCAUGCAGAUACACAUACACUUAAAGGACCACUAUAGACACCCAGAUCACAUCAGCUCAAUGAAGUGGUCUGGGUGCUAGUUUUAACCCUGCAGCUGAAAACAUAGGAGUUUCAGAGAAACUGCUAUGUUUCACUGAGGGUUAAUCCAGCCUCUAGUGGCUGUCUCAUUGACAGCCGCUAGAGGAGCUUCUGCGAUUCUCACUGUGAAAAUCACAGUGAGAAGACGCUGAAUGUCCAUAGGAAAGCAUUGAGUAAUGCUUUCCUAUGGGCAGUUUGAAUGCGCGCACAGCUCUUGCCACGCAUGCGCAUUCAGAGCUGAGAGGCGGAUCGGGGCGGAGAGAUCCCCACCGCCAAGGGAGUCCGGCGCUGGAGAAAGGUACGUGCUUAAGACACACACACACUCAUGAACAGAUGCAUACACACUCACUAACAGACGCACACAAACUAACACACUCAGUAACAGACACAAACAGUAACACACUCACUGACACACACACACUCUAACACACACACACACACACUCACUUUUUUUUUUUAUUUAAUCCCUGCAGCCUCCCUACCUUUGGGAGAGUGGAGGGGAUUCCCUGGGGUCCAGUGGUGUCACCCGGCGGGCGGGCAGGCUGGCGAGCACGCGAGGGAGCACUCUCCCCUGAGUGCUUUCUGUUCAGCUCCCUCGUGCGCCGCGUACUGAUACCGGAGCCGGAAGAUGACGUCAUAUUCCGGCUCCGGUAUCAGUAUGCGGUGCGUGAGGAAGCUGAAGAGGGAGCACACAGGGGAGAGUGCUUUCUCGUGCACCCGCCAGCCUGCCUGCCGGGUGACACCAGGGCCAGCCUCGGGGGGCCCUGAGGUGGCCGGCUUCUGGGCCCCCCAGGAGAAGAGGCUGACCACAGUGGGUACAUACCGGGUUGCAGGGCGGCCGGGCCCGCUGGUGGGCCGGGCCCGGUCACAGCCGUGACCCCUGCGACCACGGUAUGUACGCCACUGCUUAGGGAGACCGUCUUGCAGGAGCAUGGUUAGAUACGUGCUAGGUUGUAGGGGCAAUUUGGUUGCAGUCAAGGAGGUCAGCAUGGUGUGAACCCCUCUCCAAAAUGGUUGGAUAUUCGGACAUUGCCACCAGAUGUGGAGCAUUGUUCCUUCUUGGUUGUCACAACUCCAGCAAUUUGGCAAGCUAUCGGGGUAUAUCUUUUAGAUGCGCGUUGGUACCAUGUACCAUCUAUAGAUUGUUUUUCUCUGCUGUUCCAGUAGGGUAGCAGACUUAAUUAGGGAUUUAGUCGUGGUGAACAGUUGGUCCCAUCUCUGCUGGGAGACCUCAAUCCCUAGGUCCACGCUCCACUGCUGGGAAGGUGGCGACAUAUGGAAAGGGAGGUUGCUUAAUAUUAACCCCUUAAGGACACAGCUUCAGAAGCUUGACUUACGCUUAAUGACACAAGCAAUUUUUGCAUUUUCUUGCUGUUUGCGUUCAACUGCAAUUUGCAUCUCUCUCAUUUAUUGCACCGACACAUAUUAUAUACUGUUUUUUAAAGGACAGAAAGGGCUUUAAUUUGGUAUAACAUAUAUAUAUAUAAAUGCUUACUUAUUAUAAAAAAAAUACAGAAAAAUGCAAAAAAAAUGAAAAAUAUUGGGGUUUUUUACAGUUUUUGCAAUAAUAAUGUGUGCAUAAUUAGUGCAGGUUAAGGAAAGUAAUUAAAAAUAAAUUUAUUUAUUUGUUCUGAUUUACAGAAUAUAUAAUGUGUCUGGGAUUUUAAGUUUUUUUUGGUAGUUACAGGUCACAAAGCACAAGGAGUAAAAUAAACUUUUAAUGUGGAGCGAUUUUAGAAUUUGGUAUGUUUGUCUUGUAAGCUUAAUAGCCAUAAAAGAAAACAAAAUUGCCACACAAAAGUAUAUAUUUAUAUAAAGUAGACAUCACGGGCUAUUUACCUAAGGUUGUUUUGACACUUUCUACGUAGCCAUUUCACCGCCAACCUCUGCUAAAUAUUGGAGUAAAAUUGUGUUCUUUUUGGUUUUUGGCACACAAACUUAUAACAGAGAAAUUCUCGUGUAUAUUUUGUAAAGUUGGUGUGUGCUAUUCCUGUACAAAGUUUUAUUUUGUGUUCAGUUACAUCUGCUGAGUAAAAUGACACCCCCAUUGUAUGUCUUUUGCACUAUUUCGUGAAGUUACAGUGCCAUACAGGAUACCUGUCCUUUUCAGUAUUCACAGUAGAAUUUUGAGAGAUGGAUUUAAUGAGCCUUAGCUUCCAUUUUGGGGUAUUAUAACAGUUUGACUGUUCAAAAAACCCCCACAAAGGCCUACCAUUUGUAAAAGUAGACACUCCAGGGUAUCUUAUAAGGUGCAUAUUGUGCCUUAACAUGCCCCCAUUUUUUCACCAAUAUAUGCCAAAGUAUGUGGUAAAAAAUAAUUUUGUGCAUUUUUUACAUACGGAUUGCAUUUUUGCUGGGCGUUUUGUAUAUUUCAUAUGUGCCACUAAGUUCAAACCCCCCAAAUUAUGCUCAGCUAAGUCUUCUGAGUAAAAUGACACCCCAUAUGAAUGUCUUUGGCACUAUUUCGUGAAGCUACAGUGCCAUAUAGGAGACCAAGCCAUAUCCGUUUUUACCAAACUUUGAAUUUUGACGCUGGGCCUAUGUGCAAUUUCCAAGCAUCUUCGCAGGUUUUAAAUUCUACCCCACAAAGGCCUACCAUUUCUUAAAGUAGACACCCCAGGGUGUUUCAAAAGGUAUAGUUUGAACCUUAGCGUGGGAUCAUUUUUCCGCUAGCUUGUACCAGAUGUAGUGGUAAUAAGCGUUUUUUCUGCCUUUUUGACAUACAAAGUGAGUUUGCACAGUAUAUUUUGCAAACCUUAUGUGUGCUACGACUGUAUAAUACUUCAUAUGUUGCUCAGCUAUGUCGGCUGAGUACAGCAAUACCCCCGUAUGUACCUUUGCCAGGUAUGUGUGGACAUCGGAGGGGCACAUUUGGGACACAGCCAUUCCAGUUUUUUUCAAACUUUGAAUUUUUAUGCUGUGCCUAUGUCCCAUUUUAGAGUAUUUUACCAGGCUAUAUAAUCCAAAUUCCCCAUAAAGCCAUACCAUUUCUUAAAGAAGACAUCCCAGGGUAUUUCAAAAGGCAUAUUUUGAACCUUAGCGUGGGAUCAUUUUUCCGCUAGCUUGUACCAAGUGUAGUGGUAAUAAGCAUUUUUUCUGCCUUUUUGACAUACAAAGUGAGUUUGCGCAGCAUAUUUUGCAAACCUUAUGUGUGCUAUGACUGUAUAAUACUUCAUAUGUUGCUCAGCUAUGUCGGCUGAGUACAGCAAUACCCCCGUAUGUACCUUUGCCAGGUAUAUGUGGAUGUUGAAGGGGCGCAUUUGAGACGCAGCCAUUCAGUUUUUUUCUAACUUUGAAGUUUUACGCUGUGUCCAUGUUCCAAUUUGGAGUAGUUUAGACGGUUGGUUAUUGAAACUUCCCCACAAACACAUACUAUUUAUUAAAGAAUACACCCUGGGGUAAUUCAAAAGGCAUAUUUUGAACCUUGGCGUGGGAUAAUUUUUUCUCUAGUUUGCUCCAGGUGUAGUGGUAAUGAGCGUUUUUAAAAUGUAUUUUUUUACUUUUUAUAACUUUUUUACUUUUAAAAACUAGUUUUUAAACUUUUGUUUUGCUUAUAAAUUUUUUUUAAACUUUCCUAAACUUUCUUAAAACUUUUUUACAGAUUUAACAUUUUUCUAAGCUUUUUUUUUUACCGUUAACCCCUAACUAGCAGUACGCAGCAGUAACAGUAAAUUCCCCAUUUUCCCAUAACUCCCACCCACCCCAGCUAGCAAAAUAUAUAGUUAUAAAAUAUUUAAAUUAAUUAAUUAAAUAAAUUGAACCCCUGAGGGUUAAAAAAAUAAAUAAAAGUUAAUCCUCAGGGGUUAAAAAAAAUUAGAUCACAGUAUAAUACUGUGAUCUCUAUUUGAUCGCUGUAGGCAGUGAUCGACUGGCAGGGAAGGGGUUAAUUUUUAUUUGGACUAGGUAAAGUGUGUUUUUUUUGUUUUUUUUACUUAAAUGUUAUUAAAACAUUUUUUUAAGCUUAAUUUGUAACUUUUUAAAGUUUCUUUUAAAACUUUUUUUUAACGUUAACCCCUAGUUAGCCUAACGCCAAAUCCCCCAAUUCCCCACUAACUUCCACCUACCCCAGCUAGCUAAAUAUAUAAUUAAAAAAUAAUUUAAUUAAUUAAUUUAAUUAAUUUAACCCCUGAGGGUUAAAAAAAAAAAGAAUUAACCCUCAGGGGUUAAAAAAAAAAAUCAGAUCAUAGUAAAAUGUAAUCCCUGCCAAUUGAUCACUGUAGUCAGUGAUCAAUUGGCAGGGAAGGGGUUAAUUUUUUAUUAAAAUGGGUAAGGGGGGGGGACUUUAAAUAAACUUUAUUUUUUUUUACAGCAGGGGGCAGGAUCAGCACUGAUCCGGCUCCCUGCACUUCACACAGAACCCGGAAGUGCAGGGAGCCGGUAGGUGAGUAUAGAGAGCACAUGUGCUCGCUCAGACUUGCGGUCAGAGUGAGCACAUGUGCUGGGCAGACUGACCGGGUGCUCCCGGUAUGCCUCUAAUGCAGAGGCAUACCGGGAGCACCAUUAACCCCGCGAUCGCCGCGAUAGCGGCGAUCCGGGGUUAAUUUUACCGCGUGACGGACGAGGUCCGUCACCCGUCGUUAAGGGUCUCCCCUCUGUGACGGACCUCGUCCGUCACCCGUCCUGAAGGGGUUAACUUGUAGCACAUGGAGAUUGGCUUAAUUUGCGGAGGUAACCUUGUGUUUAUACAUAUCUGUUCCCACACAGUGAGUGUUUGUGUGGGAGUGGUUGCAGGGGGGCUAGUGCCUGUCCUCGUGUGAGGAAGGAUUUUAGUUGGAGAUAGGAGAACUGUGAGAUACUCGGCAGGUUGUGACUGUCCUGCAGGUGUUGGAAGUCUAUGAGUUUCCCCUGUGCCUGAGCUUGCCAAGGUUUAUCGUGAAAGGUGGGGAUGCAGUAUGAAAGGGCCCCAAUAGGGGUGGCCAAGGAGAGAGUCAGAGAGUCAGGGUGAUCUGGGGUGGUGCUGAUAGCAAGGGUGGUCUGAGCUGUUUUGGCAGCCAGAACAUGCUGGGGAAGUCGAAGGGCUGUAGCCAAUUGCUCUCUAUGUUUACCCACUGGGGCCAGGGACCGGUGAGGAAGUGGGGUAUCGCCAAGGCCAGUACCGAGACAUGGAAAUAGGCCUCGAUAUCUGGAGUCCCCCUGCCUUUGUUGGAGGCCGGAGCAUUUUCAUGGUUACUCUCGGUUGGAAGCCUGCCCAUACGAAUGUGGACAUGUCUUUGUGAACCGCUUUAAAGUAGGCCUGAGGGAGCUGUAUGGGUAGUGUGCGGAAAAGAUAUUGUAGUUUUGGUAGAAUGGACAUUUUGAAUGCAUCUAUUCGCUCCGUCCAGGUCAUGUACAGCAAGCCCCAACGCUGGAGGAUGAGUUUGCAUUUGUUCCAUACCCUUAUGUAAUUCCCCGAGUAUAAGUAUGUCGCCUGUUUAGUGAAUAACACUCCUAGGUAUUUAAUAUUGUCUCUGCACCACUCAAACGGGUAUUUGGUGCGGAGGGCCUCUCGAACAGGGUUUGGUAACCCUAUAGCUAAAGCUUGAGUCUUGGUUUUAUUUAGGGAGUAGUAUGAAGUAGGCCAUAUUCCCGGAUGAGAUCCAUGAGCGGUGGUAUGGAGGGCUCGGGGCGGGAGACGUAGGAGUAUGUCAUCUGCAAAUGCACUUAUUUUGGUUUCCUUUCCGCUUACUUCUAUUCCGCAGAUAUCUGGGUAGUCCCUAACCGUGCAUAAGAUGGGCUCCAAGGCUAGGACAUAUAAUAACGGGGAAAGUGGGCACCCUUGCCUAGUUCCAUUGCUUAUCGGAAAGGGUCGGGACAGAAAACCUGCUUGCAUGACUUGGGCUGUUAGGGCUCAGUACAGGGCAAAUAGUUGGCCAGUGACUUGUGGGGUGACUUAGUUAAUACGUGUUUCAGGAAGGACCAGCUGAGGCAGUUGAACGCUUUCUCCGCGUCUAACACCAAGAGCAGUCCGCCUCCGCCGGUCCCCCGGAGCUUCUCCAUUACCAAGGAGAAUUUGCGUGUAUUGUCAGAGCCUUGUCUGCUCUGGACAAACCCCGUUUGGUUGUCCACUAUCAGUGUCGGUAGUAUGGGGCUCAGUCUAUUAGCCAGAAUUUUGGCAUAUAUCUUCACGUCUGUAUUCAGAAGCGAGAUGGGGUGGAAGUUUUUGCAUAGGUCGGCAAGUUUAUCUGGUUUGGGGAUUGUUACUAUGGUGGCUAGUAGCAUCUCCGGUGGGAGAGAGUUGGUUUUGACGGCCUCCAGGUAUACUCUAAGGAGGUGGGGUGCUAGGUCUUCCGCUUAUGCUUUAUAAUAGGCAUUGGUAAACCCAUCAAUCCCCGUGGAUUUGCCAGGUGGCAGGGCCUUAAUAGCUGAGAGGACUUCCUCUAGUGUUAUGGGUUGCAGGAGCUGUUCUGUAUGUGCUUAUGAGAUGUUGGGGAGUUGGAUUCCGGAUAGGUACUGGAAGAUGCCCGUGUCAUUUGGGUAGUGUAUCGUGGUAUCCUGUUGGAGGUUGUAAAGUUUUGAAUAAAAGUUUGUGAACUCUUGGGCAAUGUCCUCUGUGUUUACAACUUUCUCACCUACGUCCGCUAAGCGGACAUAUAGUUUGGACAGUUUAUUCGCCAGUUCCUUUGAGGGUUGUAUUUUAUUCAGAGAGUUUACUAGUGCAAUUUGCUUGUGGCACUCUAGGGUGCUAGAGAUUUGAAGUUUUUUGAGGAAAGAGGAGUGGCGUAUCAUAUGGCCUCUUAUGACCGCCUUAUGAGUGGACCAGACAGUUGAGUCAGACAUUUCUGCCGUCGCAUUAGUCCUAAAGUAUUCCUGGAUUUCCCUUCGGAUAGUGGCUGCGAAUUCUGGGUCCGAAAGCAGGGAGUCAUUGAGACGCCCCGUCCCUUUCCCUUUAAAUUGGAAGAGAUCAAAUAGUUCAAGGGUGACUGGGGCAUGGUCUGACCAGGUAAUCUCUCCUAUGGAGCAUCCAGAGAGUUGUGCUAGUGAGGCUCUAUCUACUAAGAAAGCGUCUAUCCGCUAGAGUAAAACGUAUAAUCUCGCUCAGUGGGGUGAAGUGUCCUCCAGGCGUCAUACAGGUCGUAGUGGGAUAGGAGUUUAGUGAGAGCUUUAGCGACUCUUUCUCUAGUGCUAUGUGUUCGGCCUGAAGUGUGGGUCGAUGUAUCGAGGUUAGUCUGUGAAAUUUAAAUCGCCACAUAGGAGUAGGUUGCCCUGUUUGUAUUUGUCAAGUUUGGUGAGCAUGGAAUGAAGAUAGGACUUGGAAUUGUCAUUGGGGAAGUAGGCUGUAGCCAACAUAUACUGUGUGUUAUUAAUCAGCCCCAUGAGGAUGAAAUAUCACUCGUUGGGGUCUAUGUGUUGUUGGUGGAGUUGUUGAGCUACAUCUCUGUGGAUGAAAAUGGAGACCCCUCGGGUUUUGCUGUCCGACAGCGAGUGGUAUUGGACGGGGUAAUGUUUAGUGAAUAGGGCCGGUGUGUGUCCUUUCUUAAAGUGGGUUUCUUGUAUGCAAGCUAUUUGGUUUUUCUUGAGGUCUCUGAGUAAAAGCCUUUGUUUACUAGGGGUAUUCAACCCUUUAACAUUGUAAGUAAUGAUUUUCAUACUCUAGGAUAAAGGUUAAGUGGGGUUCCUUAAGGUUCAUGUUUGCAAUCUCAACCUGUAUCGGGGUCAACUGAUUUUCCCAGAUCUGGGGAGGGCCUUGGACACUCUCCAACUGCGAUUUCCAGCGGGCACAUGUUGUCUGCAGUACAUUCAGGAUUGUAGUGAUUCUGUCUCUGAAUGUGGUAGGGGUCGGUACUGUAUCUGUUUUAUAGAAGUUUUGGGAGUUGCUAGUAAUGCUGCACUUACGGGGGGCAGGGACAGAAUGGGUGGAGGGGGGAAAGAGGGUACAUGGGGGGGAAGAACUUGGGGGUAAGAUGCCCAACUAGGUUCACCUAGAGUGAACCAAGGAGCGCCAAGUGGGACUUGGCCGCCGAUACCAGGGGACGUGGUGGUGAGCAUCGGCUCAAUAUUGAGAGCUCACCUUGGAGGAGCAAGUGGAGAACUAUUAAACAAUAACAUUUAUUCAGGGUAAUAGGUACCUAUUGUGUUUGUUUAUUUAUUUAUAUAUAUAUACACUUUUUUUUUUUUAAUGAGCUUCAGGGAUGGGCUUACGUAGCCAAGCUUUAAUACCUGGGAGGGGACUCUGUGGCUGUCAUAGUCAAUACAUGACUUCGGAGUGGUAGUUACUGUUGUGUAUACAGUAAGCAAUAAAACAAGGGGGAGCGCGCCCACCUUAAAGGCUCUUGAGGUCUUGGGCUUAGUGGUUCGGGAGGAAGUUGUAGCCUUACUGUCCACAUGAGGCCGGGCGAGACUACCCCUUGUGUAGAGGGGUCAGGGCAUGUGUUUACUGGAUCUCUUGGAUCUAGAUGCCUAUUAGCCCUGGGCUAGUGUGGGUAGGGCAGUUGGUUUAGCAAGGCAGUAUUCAUAUCAUGGGAGUUAUCUUUGGGAGUAGUAGUGCGAGUGACAACUAGCCCGUAGUACUUGGCCCCCAGUGUCCGAACCCAGGGUUGGUUUGAGGGUCCUAACUAUGAGGGAAACAGCGGGUCCAUAGUGCGAUAUGUCUAUAUAGCAUACCGGGGACCUAUUGUUAACCGGGCCCAAUGGGAGAAAUAGCAGGUACAUAACAUUAAGUAACAACAUAUAUAGCAGGUGAAUUAUUAUAUCGUUCGUGAUGGUUUUAUACUUGCUGUGGUCAGGCCGCUUCAGGUAAUUGUCCACUCCGGCACCAUCCGUGGCAUGUUAUGGGAGCGAUGUUCCGUGGCAGCAGGUAGUACCAGGCCUUAAGCUUCUCGAUGCCUGCCGCAAGAGANNNNNNNNNNNNNNNNNNNNNNNNNNNNNNNNNNNNNNNNNNNNNNNNNNNNNNNNNNNNNNNNNNNNNNNNNNNNNNNNNNNNNNNNNNNNNNNNNNNNUGAGAUUCUAUGCAGUGCAUCCUUGUGGCUGACAAGCAGCUUUGCGGGGAAUCCCCAUCGUUACACUACUCCCUGUGCCCUUAGUGCGGUCGUCAUUGGUGACAUGCUCUUUCUGAAUUGGAGGGUUGCGGCUGAUAGAUCCGUGAAAACCUUCAGCUGUUGGUAGGGUUCCGGCAUCUCCACCGCUCUGCGUGGUCGCACUAGCCUCUCCUUAGCAUGGAAAAAAUGCACUCGGACAAUGACAUCCCUGGCUGUUGUGCUGGAGGGCGUCUGAGUCGAUGGGCCUGUCAAUGAGGAGCUGGUCUGGGUGGGUCUCAGGCGUGAGAGCUUGGAAAAAAUCCAGCAGGUAGGAGUUAAGUGCAGAGGGGUGGACCCCUCUUAUUCGCAGGUUAUUCCUCCGAGUCAGGUCCUCCAUAUCUGUGUAACGAGAAUAUACCCCUACACGCAGGAUCCAGCUAAACAGAGGCAGAUACAGAGGAGAGAUACGUCUACCGGACCUUAGAAUGGCCGGACUCGACGUAUAUGAGAGGAGACAGAGCCAGGAACAAACCGAGGUCAAGGGCACAGAGAGACAGCGUAAACUAGGACAAGCCGGGGUCUGGUACACGGAAAACAGCAAGCCGGCAAACAGUACAGAUAAGGAUAAAGCGAAAACGAAGUCAGAAUACGAAGCCAAAGUCAAUACGAGAAAACACAACUGAACACCACAAGCGCUAAAGGGAACUGAAACAGAAACCACGAUAGGGCAACGAGCUAAGGGAAAAAGGUAAGUUUAAAUAGCCUUUAAACGAAAGUGAUUGGCUCCUGUCACUUCCACACCCCCCAUAGGUAAUUGUAUAGGGAGUGUGGUAUGACAGGAGCCAAUGGGAGCCUUUUGGCAAUUAGGCUCCCACUGUCUCUUUAAGAGCGCGCCCGAGACUCGCGGCGCGCUCUUAGUUUCAGGCGGGACACGUGACCGCUUCACGCGGUCACUGCCCGCCUUCCAUCCAAAGCAGUCGGAUGAGCCGCGCGCGGCUCGUGCAGCCGCAGGACCGCGCGCGGCUUGAAGAGAGGACCGCGACCGGCCCCCGGUUAAGGUAAGUAACGCUACAGUACCCCCCCCUGAGGACACGCCCCCCGGGCGGGUAGGACCAGGCCUGGCAGGAAAACGAGAAUGGAAAGAGCGCACAAGACGGGGAGCAUGGACAGCAUCAGCCGAAAUCCAACUGUGCUCCUCAGGCCCAUAACCCUUCCAAUGUACCAAGUACUGAAGUCGACCCCUAAGGAAACGAGAGUCAAGAACAGCAGACACUUCAAACUCCUCAUGACCCUCCACCGAGAUAGGAGGGGGAGGAGGAGUAUGCCGGGUAUAGCGGUUGCGUACGAAAGGUUUCAACAAAGAGGUGUGAAAAACAUUAGGAAUACGUAGAUUCUUAGGCAGGCCUAAGGCAUAAGAAACAGGAUUAACUUUAUGUAUAAUACGAUAAGGUCCAAUGAAGCGGGGAGCCAAUUUCAUAGAAGGCACCCGGAGACGAAUAUUCCGCGUGGAAAGCAAAACCCUGUCCCCCACAACAUAGGACGGAGCUGCUCUGCGAUGCUUGUCAGCCUGAGCCUUCUGGCGAGUAGCAGAGUCCACCAAAGAACGCUGAACCUGCUCCCAAGUAUUACGCAAACCAAUCAAAGGUUGCCUCUUUUUACAGAGGAGUGUGUAUAACAAAAGUGCUCAAAAGAGUCAAAAAGUGAUUUACAGGCAGCUCAAUACACUAGUGUGGAAAUAUCCUCUAUUCCACUGAAUAAAUUUAGUAGAUAUUGGUGCGGUGUAAGUGACAAGGACCUACACCUAUAAGUGGAGCGCUCAAACACAGAUAAAUCUUACCAAAACGUAGUCUCAUUCAAUGGUAAAAUAUGGGGUACAUGUCAACAUAAAAUACAGAAAAUACAAUAUAGUGUAGACGGUACUAAAAAAUGGCUUCACAGUGAUUAUGAUAAUAUUGUGUUGAAUAUUACACUCACAUUUCAAGGAGCCUGUAUAUAGAAAACACUGGCUCCGUAUAAAGGCUUGUGUGCUGUUAUGGUAGCACCACCCUCCUACUUCGGCUUGAAGAAUUUCUCAGGAACACGAAAAAAAAGAGAAGAAAGCAAACCAAUGUGUAGACUUAUGGUGAUAGAUGGCACAGAUAUGUGUUCAAUAAAUGGGGUGCUCACCUGGUCCUGAGCCUACGAAUCCCGGCUCUAGGUAUGUGGAUUUUGUGCCAGUUUGAAUGGGGAUGGCACUACCCCUGUGAGGAUUCCUUGGAGGCUCCAAAAGGAACUUGGAUGAGGUAUUAAAUAAAAAUGGUGAAUUUAUUAGUUUAAAAUAAACAUAAAAACAAAGAUGAUAAAAGUCCUCAAAUAAAAGUCCUUUAAAAAUGGCCAAUACGCGUUUCACUCUCAAAUAGAGCUUCUUCAGUCAGCUGUAAUGUUGGUCCUCUGAAUCCUCCAUUUUAAAUGUCAUCUGGGUCUUCCCCUUUAAUGAGUUAAGUUCAUUCUGUCCAAUCAGAUUCAAUUUCACAUAAUGUGUGUGUAUGUGUGUACCUUUAAUAGGUUAAUGAUGUUGACGCCUUUAUUUGUCUAUUUUUUCAUUGGUAGGCAGCAUUGGUUGGCGGAAGUGCUUGUUUUCAACUGGGUGGUUGGCGGAAGUGACGUCAUCUAAUCAUGUGAUCGUCAUCCAGCCAAGUUAAAAAAAAAAAACUGCAAAAAGCAAAUAGGGCUGCAGAAUUGGAAUGACAGUAAAAUUGCAUGAUGUCAAAUAUUAAAUUCCUAGUGAUAUAAUAUAAAUGUUGGUGCAUAUAGACUAAUAUAUUUACAUUGUUAAAGGUGCAUACAGUGCUGUUUUUUUUUUGUUUUUUUCUUUUUUCAUUGGUGGGCAGCAUUGGUUGGCGGAAGUACUUGUUUUCACCCAGGUGGUUGGCGGAAGUGACAUCAUCUAAUCAUGUGAUCGCCAUCCAGCCAAGUAAAAAAAAAAAAAAAGCAAAAAGGGCUGCAGAAUUGAAAUGACAGUAAAAUUGCAUAAUGUCAGAUAUUACAUUCCCAGUGAUAAAAUAUAAUUUGUGGUGCAUAUAGACUAAUAUAUUUACAUUGUUAAAGGUGCAUACAGUGCCGAUGGUACAUAUAUUUUUAUACAUUAAAAAGGUGAUAUUACAUACAUAUGUGCUGGAAUAGAUAUCCUUAUUGGGUAUUUUCCCAAAAGGUGGUUAAAUCAAUAUUCUUUAAGUGGUAUUCACAAUGUUUAUAAGUUUGGGCAUAAAUAAUAUGCCACUGAUUGAAAAUGAAUAAGAAAAAUGUAUAAAAGAAAAACAAGGGUACAAAAAGAGUAGAGUGGAUUACAAUGGAUAAAUUCCAUUGAACCCCAAAAAAAGGGAGAUACCCAUUUAAAUGAAAUGGCAGAGUUCGAAGUCUAUAUUCAAACCCCGGGGCUUUAAAGUCCCGAGGUUGAAUAUCCACCUCAUCUCACUCUGUCCCAGUAAUUUAUUAAGGUCGCCUCCCCGCCAAUUCCCCUUAACCUUUUGUAUACCCAUAAAGAGUAAUUGAGUGGGAUCACUAUUGUGGGCUAGGGUGAAGUGGUGUGAUACACUGUGUCCUUCAAAUUUUUUCUUUAUAUUUCUAGUGUGUUCCUCAAUCCUAGUGUGCAAAUUCCGUUUGGUGCGUCCCACAUAUUUUAAACCGCAAGGACAUUCCAAUAAAUAUAUUACGUUGUUUGAGUAACAAGUUAUAAGUUCUUUAAUAGGGAAUUCCUCAUCGUUAUUGCAGUUCUUAAAAGUCUUAAUAUGUCUCUUUUUAUUGUUGGUGUUCCUACACGCAAGACAAGUACCACAUCCGUAAAAACCCUUUCCUUUAUUUAGGAAGGUAGUAGUUUUAGUUUUUUUAAUGUGGUUCUUUACCAAAAGUCGGUUUAAAUUAGCUGCACCCCUAAAUAUUAUCUUGGGUUUUGGUGGUAGAAUCUGGGAUAGGGCAUGGUCCUGAAGUAAAAUAGGCCAAUGUUUAUUUAGGAUUUUCCUUAAUGCCUUAUUGUUAUGGCUGUAAUUACAUACAAUAGGUAAAUUGACCUCACAUUCAUUUUGCGUUUUGUUUUUUUCUUGUAAUAAAGUGCUCUGUGAAAUUUUUAAAACUUGUGUAUAAGUGUCGUUGAGGGUCUCCUUUUUAUAGCCCUUAUCUAACAAGUCGGUAAUUAAUUUGUUAAUGCUCAUCCAGAACUGGCAUGCCCUGUGAGGAGAAUGCAGCCGGAAGAACAACGGGAUGCUGGCCAUAGACAACGUAAAAAGGGGUCUUGCCGGAAGAAUCAUGAGUGGCGUUAUUCCGAGCAAAUUCAGCCCAAGGAAGCAGGUCAGACCAAUUGUCCUGAUGGUGAGACACAAAACAACGGAGGUAUUGCUCCAGAGACUGGUUGGCACGUUCAGCAGCCCCAUUAGACUGGGGAUGAUAAGCGGAAGAAAAUGAGAGAGAAAUACCCAUUUCUGAACAAAAGGCCCUCCAGAACCUGGAAAUAAAUUGGCUACCCCUAUCGGAUACAAUAGAUACGGGAAUCCCAUGUAAUCGAAAUACUUCUCUAGCGAAGAUAUGAGCCAGUUCCUUGGAUGUGGGCAACUUGCGAAGAGACACGAAGUGAGCCAUUUUGGAGAACCGAUCCACUAUCAUCAGGAUCACUGUGUUACCAUUUGAAGGGGGUAAUUCAACAAUAAAAUCCAUGGACAGGUUAGACCAAGGUCUCUCGGGAACGGGUAACGGAUGCAACAGCCCACAAGGAACUCUACGGGAGGAUUUCAUACAGGCACAAGUAGUACAAGCACUUAUAUAGUCAGUGACAUCCUUUCGUAAGGAAUCCCACCAAAAAUACCGAGAAACAGCUGACACCGUUUUGGAAAUACCAGGAUGUCCAGCAGUCUUAGUAUCAUGAUAUAAUGACAUAAUAUCCCGUCUCUCAGGAACAUCAACGAACAGUUUAUCAUUAGGCCUCUCGCUAGGUGCCAUGCUUUGUUUCGCUUGUAUGGCCUGCAAGAGGGACGAGGAAAUAGACAAAAUAGUAGUAGCUAUUAUCCUGUCUGGGGGAAUGACAGGAGUAACAUCAAUCUCCUGUUUGUCAGUAGUUUCGAACUGUCUGGACAGAGCGUCUGCUUUAGUGUUGCGAUCACCUGGCCUAUAGGUGAUAAUAAAAUUGAAACGGGACAAAAAUAGUGACCACCUAGCCUGCCUGGAAGACAAUCUUUUGGCUUCGCUAAGGUAGGAUAGGUUCUUGUGAUCCGUAAAAAUGAGGAUAGGAUCCUUAGUUCCUUCUAACAAAUGUCUCCACUCUUUAAGUGCUAAAAUAAUAGCAAGGAGUUCGCGAUUACCCACAUCAUAAUUUUUCUCUGCUUUGGACAUUUGUUUAGAAAAGAAGCCGCAUGGAUGCAAUGGCUUCUCAGGCGACUCUCUUUGGGAUAAGACAGCACCUACCCCAAUAUCCGAAGCAUCAACUUCAAGAAUAUAGGGCAGUGAGGGGACAGGAUGCUGUAAAAUAGGUGCAGAGGCGAACGUAGUUUUAAGAAAUUCAAAAGCCUGAAGUGCCUCGGUAGACCAAACACGAGUAUUGCCAUCCUUUUUAGUCAUACGGGUAAUAGGUGCUACAAUGGACGAGAAACCUUUGAUAAAACGUCUAUAAUAAUUGGAGAACCCAAGAAAACGCUGAAUAGCUUUCAGACCUUGCGGUAGAGGCCAUUCUAUUACAGCAGCUAGCUUCUGGGGAUCCAUACGAAAACCUUUAGCGGAAAUCAAAUACCCCAAGAACUGGACUUCGGUUUGGUCAAACAGACAUUUUUCUAGCUUGCAAUAAAGACCAUUAGCAAGAAGGGUCUUCAAAACUGUCGUAACAUGUCUGUGAUGAGUGUGUAUAUCUGUAGAAUAUAUUAAAAUGUCGUCCAAGUAUACGAUAACAAAUGUGUGAAUAAAAUCUCUCAAGACAUCAUUAAUAAAUUCUUGGAAUACUGCUGGGGCAUUGCAAAGCCCAAAUGGCAUAACAGUAUAUUCGUAAUGACCGGAUCUAGUGUUGAAUGCAGUCUUCCAUUCGUGAUUUUCCUUUAUACGUAUCAAAUUGUAUGCACUCCUAAGGUCUAAUUUAGUGAACACAGUGGCAUGUUUCAGCCUGUCAAACAAUUCUGUAAUUAAAGGUAUAGGGUAUGCAUUUUUGAUAGUGAUUUUGUUUAGACCUCUAUAAUCUAUACACGGUCUUAAAUCACCUUCUUUCUUCGAUACAAAGAAGAACCCUGCUCCAGCUGGAGAAGAGGAUCUCCUAAUAAACCCUUUUUCUAGUGAUUCCUUGAUGUACUCCUCCAUGACACGGUUUUCUUGAACCGAUAAGGGGUACACCCUGCCCUUUGGAGGUAUAGUGCCAGGCAACAAGUCAAUAGCGCAAUCAUAGGGUCUGUGAGGCGGUAAUUUCUCAGCCUCCCUUUUAUCGAAAACAGUCUUUAGAGAUAAAUACUGAGGGGGUAUAACCGUAGACAAAGGAGGACUGGUAGGUACCUCAAUAGAAUUCAAAGGUGUGACUUCCAACGUACAAGACUCGUGGCAGGCCUCACUCCAUGAUUUUAUUUGCCCUGUCUCCCAGUCAAAAAUGGGAUUGUGAGCACGUAACCAUGGAUACCCUAAUACUAACUGUGAAGAGGGAGAGGUGAUGACCUGGAAUCGAAUGGUUUCAUAGUGUAAAACCCCUGUGUACAUGUGUAAUGGUACAGUCUCAUGAGUAACAACUGGAGAACUUAAUGGUCUACCAUCUAUGGCCUCAACGGCCAAGGGUAUCUCCUUCUCUCUGAUGGGAAUGUUGUUUCUCUUUAUAAAGCCAGAGUCUAUAAAAUUUUCAGCUGCCCCAGAGUCAACCAGAGCAUAUAUGUUGUCAACUAUACAAAUCUCUCCCAUAUAUAAAGAAACCGGGAGAAGCAAGCGGUUAGGAGGCAAUUUAGGAGACUUAGAUAUCACACCCAAGGCCAGUCCCCUAUAAGGUCUUAGGUGCGAGAGUUUUCCGGGAGUAAAGGACAUUCCUUUACCAUAUGGUCUCUCCUACCACAGUAUAGGCAGAGUCCCUCCCUUCUCCUAUGUAAUUUCUCAGUAUCAGAGAGUUUGGCAACCCCUAAUUGCAUAGGUUCCUCCUCAGACACUUUAACACUCUCUGGUAUAUUAACUCUGGGGUUAAUGGGUGUAACAAAACGUCUAUUCCUGUUCUUGGUAUAGAGCCUGUCACGAAUUCUAUUAUCAAUAUCAAUGAGGUAAUCGAUAAGGUCCUCUAAGGCAAUAGGAAGCUCCUUAGCUGCUACCUCAUCCAAUAUCGUAUCUGACAAACCUUCCAUAAAGGCAGUAGUUAACCCAUUGUUGGUCCAAUCUACCUGCGAAGCAAGAGUGCGAAACUGAAUAGCAUAAUCAGCCACAGACCUAGAACCCUGUUUAAUUCUCAUUAAUGCUCUCGCGGCAUUCUUUGACCUUUUCAUUGUGUCAAAAGUUCUACGAAAAGCCGUAAGAAAACUGUUGAAAUCAUGUACCAUAGGUCCAUUAGCUUCCCAAAUAGGAUUUGCCCACUCAAGUGCCUUAUCGGUAAGUUGGUGCAUAAAGAACCCAACCUUAGACCUCUCUGUGGGAAAUGAACGUGGAUACAUUUCGAAGUGAAAUUCAAUCUGAUUAGUAAACCCUCUGCAAGUCUUAGAGUCCCCUCCAUACCUAGGAGGAGGUGUUAAAUGGGCCGAAGUAUUAGGCAAAGUAGAUACUUCAGGGAGAAGGGGCGUAGGAGGGUUAGGUGUGGUUGCUGGAACGGUUCUAGCUAGGAGCGUCUGGAGAGCCUGAGCUAUCUGAUCCAUACGGUGAUCCUGCUCUACAAAUCUUGCCUCAUGGGACGCCAUCUGUUGAGCUAAAUCUGCGGGGUCCAUGGCCCUAUCGUAAUGUAACGAGAAUAUACCCCUACACGCAGGAUCCAGCUAAACAGAGGCAGAUACAGAGGAGAGAUACGUCUACCGGACCUUAGAAUGGCCGGACUCGACGUAUAUGAGAGGAGACAGAGCCAGGAACAAACCGAGGUCAAGGGCACAGAGAGACAGCGUAAACUAGGACAAGCCGGGGUCUGGUACACGGAAAACAGCAAGCCGGCAAACAGUACAGAUAAGGAUAAAGCGAAAACGAAGUCAGAAUACGAAGCCAAAGUCAAUACGAGAAAACACAACUGAACACCACAAGCGCUAAAGGGAACUGAAACAGAAACCACGAUAGGGCAACGAGCUAAGGGAAAAAGGUAAGUUUAAAUAGCUUUUAAACGAAAGUGAUUGGCUCCUGUCACUUCCACACCCCCCAUAGGUAAUUGUAUAGGGAGUGUGGUAUGACAGGAGCCAAUGGGAGCCUUUUGGCAAUUAGGCUCCCACUGUCUCUUUAAGAGCGCGCCCGAGACUCGCGGCGCGCUCUUAGUUUCAGGCGGGACACGUGACCGCUUCACGCGGUCACUGCCCGCCUUCCAUCCAAAGCAGUCGGAUGAGCCGUGCGCGGCUCGUGCAGCCGCAGGACCGCGCGCGGCUUGAAGAGAGGACCGCGACCGGCCCCCGGUUAAGGUAAGUAACGCUACAAUCUGCCAUUUUUAGCUUGUGUUCCUGUACGGUUGAUUCAAGCUCUUGGAGCUUGUCCGCGAGGCUGUUGUGGGCCUCUGCAAAUUCAUCCAUCUUCUUUUCCAUGUGGGAGGUACGCUGGCCCACUUUGUGGAGUUCCUUUCGGAGGUCUGUGGAGAGUGUAGUUAUUUGUUUUUUUAGGUUUGCUUGUAUAUUUUCCGCAAAUUCCGGCAUCAUCAGACGCAUUGUCGUCGCUGUCAGAGGUCUCUCUUCCGACACCGAGCUGGGGGAGGCAGAGGGGGAGAUUGAGUCAUCUCCGGUACAUAGCACUCUGCCAUUUUUGAUCGGGCUGCGGCCCUCUCGUGCUUUGGGUGCAGAUGUUUUGUUGAGGAAAAAGGACGCUCUGUCCGCCUGAGGUAGUUCCGUUCUUAUGGGGUAUUAAAUUUCUUGUAGACCGAUUAUUUUUGCUCCUGUUACUCCAGGUUCAGGAACCUCACAGACUUGCGUCCAUGCGGUUCAGAUGCCAGGCCACGCCCCCUGCUUCUGCUUUUUUAAUGGGAAAGCAUACAAGGCUAUAUAGUAAAUACCUUUGUGACUUGCGCGACAAAAACAGGAUGCUUGAAGGCACUUUAUACCAUAAAAGGAAUUUACAGAACUAAGCAUAUUUCAACAGUUAUAUAUAUAAAAAAAAUGAAGUUACUUAGGACAUAAGAAGUGGGGGCUGAGUCUGACAGCUGCAAUCUUCACAAGAAAGAUUGUGCUUACAUGUCAGGCACUAAAACUAGGAUAAAGUUCAAAGCACAUCAUGAUCCAAGUUAGCCAGUUUUAAACAGACUGGUCAUCCGGUCACCUGUAACUUGAGCCUUGGUUCAGGUAUAAUCCUCCACACCUCUAAAGCUGAUUGUCAUUGUGUGCCAAUUGUAUGCCUCUAAAACUGAUUGCCAUGGUGCCAAUGGUAUACCUCUAAAUCUGAUUGCCGUGGUAUGACAAUGUUAUGCUUCUAAAUCUGAUUGCCAUGGUGUGCCAAUUGUAUGCAUCUAAAUCUGAUUGCCAUUGUGUGACAAUUUUAUGUCUCUAGAAAUGAUUGUUAUGGUGUGCCAAUUUUAUCCUUAUUCAACUGAUUGCCAUGGUGUGCCAAUUGUAGGCCUCUAAAUCUGAUUGCCAUGGUGUUAAAAUAUGCAUUAAAAGCAAGUGGGUCUUGUACCAUUUUUAAAAGUGGGUCUCGAUCCAUAAAAGUUUGGGAAGCCCUGCAUUAGAGGAAACGUACAAUGCAUGAAUAGUUUUGUUUGGAAAGUGUAUCAAUUUUCAGAUUUAAAAAAAUACCUUUUCAUAAAAGUAUUAACAAACAACAAUUACUUGUCUAAAAACAUUUUUCAUAGAUAACAUGCAUAAUUGUACAUACGUAAUAGUAAAAUGUUUUGGUUGUAUGUUUAAAUAUUACUUACACCUUUGAUAUCUGAUUCCCAUAUAAUAGAUCUCUCUUUGAUGUAGAGGUUAGGCUCUGUGUUUGCAGUCAAAAUGUAAUCUCCAACGUGGGUUGUUUUCAUUGUGUUAUUUAAAUAUAUGUAUUGUAACAGCUCAAAAUGUGUCUUUGAAUUUCUCGUCUCAUGAAAAGUAAACUCAUUACCAGAAGACAUGUUAAAAUGCAGACUUCUUAGAUAUUUUCUCAGCUGAAAUAGUUUACAAAGAAUACAACUUUAGUUUUGCAAACAACUACAAAGACAAAACACAAUAAGUCUGGCUUGACAAACACACAUAAGGCUAAAAUGCCAUUAGUAUGAUAAACUAACCAACUAGUAAACAAAAACUACUACUACAUCAUAUUUAGAGCGGCAGAGUUAUUAUGUGUUCAUUUGUAUGUGCUGAACGUUGUAUCCCCAUUCUUUUGAUUGUGCAUCAUAUUUUGUAUAUGUCACCAUUCUGAAUGUUUAACCUCCUAAGAACCAGGCUUCCAUUUGCUUUUUUUCUGUACAUAAAGGUACACUUCACUGACCAAAAACAAAAAAGAACCAUUACUGUGUAGUAGAUAUACAGAUUAACCCCUAAUGAAAACAUGUAUGCGUUUUUUUAAUUGAGUCAAUAUAUAUAAACAGCUUGCAAAGGCUGUAGAUCUCUGGUCUGCUGCCUUUGCAAGCCCUCCUCUUUUUGCACAGCCCAGACUCUGUGUCUGUCCAAUCACAGACUUUCCAAUACAGCUCAAUAAGAAAUCUUUGCAAGAUAGGGCUAUGAGCAAUUGCCUGCCUUUAGGAGAACAAGAGGUUAAAGGAACUGUUGUCUGCUUGAAGGCCAUGGAGUGUAACAUGGAUAGUUAAAAAAACUUUCAAUAUCUCUUGAAACCUGCACUUUUUAAAAUGAAAAAAAGGACACACUCUUUAUACAUAACAUAUUUCAGUAAGCUAAAGUGCUACAGGGGUCUUGACUGCCCCUUUUCAGCAAUAACUGAAGAACAAAUGUUUGCACAAUUAAUAUUGUGUGCUUAAGUAGUGGAGCUUGAUAAAAUGUAAUUCAAAAUAAAUUCAUGUCUUUGUCCUGAUUUACAGAGUAUAUCAAAUAGCUAGUAUUUCAGUUCAUGUUUAGAAGUUAUGGGUCACAAACUACAUGGAGUAAAAUAUAGUUUUAUUGUGGUAAGAUUUUACAAUUUAGUAUGUGUUCCUUCUUUAAUAGGCACCACAGAAAACAAAAUUGCCACACAAAAGUAUAUGUUACUAAAAUAGACAUUAAAUAUCACACACCAUUUACCUAAGGGUAUUUUAACAAUUUUUACAUGGCCAUUAAUCUGCCAAUAUCUCCUAAAUAUUGUAGUAAAGUUGAGUUUUUCUGAUAUUUAACACACACACAUUACAUGCUUUUUAUGUGUAUUUCUUAAACCUGAUGUCUGCUACUUCAUUACAAAAUCCCAUAUUGUGUACAUUCGUUUGAUUACAAAAAUACCCUGCUGUAUGCCUUUGUCACUGUCAUGUGAAGCCACAGUGUCAUAUAAGAGACCUGGCCAUUUUAGUUUUUACAGUUAAAAUUUUGAUAGAUUUGAUGGGCCUAAGUCUAAUUUUAGGGCAUUACAGCAGUUUGACUGCUCAAUAUAACCAACAAAGGCAGUAAUUUCAUAAUUUGUGAAAAUAGACACUCCAGGGUAACGUAUAAGGGCUAUGAUGUUCCAUAAAAUGAUGCCAUUUUUUCAUAAGUUUAUGUCAAAAUGUGUGAAGCAUUUUUAAUUUUUUUUAUUNNNNNNNNNNNNNNNNNNNNNNNNNNNNNNNNNNNNNNNNNNNNNNNNNNNNNNNNNNNNNNNNNNNNNNNNNNNNNNNNNNNNNNNNNNNNNNNNNNNNGCAUGAUGUAAACCAGCAGAAUAUUAAUGUCCACUACACAUUAUGUAAAUAAUUAAUUCACACAAAUAGUGUUUUUUUUAAAUUUUAAACAAUUUUCAUAUUUAUCAUUAAAGAAUUUGAUUCUGUCAUCCCCUCCUACCCUCACUCUGACCCCUGUCACCCUCUCCCUCUCUGACACUGCCACCUGUCAACCCCUCCCUCAGCCACCUGCCCACCCUUCACUCUGCCACCCCUAACUCUGUCACCCCAUCCCUCCCUCAGCGACCUGUCACCCCCUUUCACACUCUGUUAAUCCCUUCCACAAUCUGUCACCCCCUUCACACUCUGUCACACCUCUCCACACUCUGUCAGCCCCCUCCACUCUCUUUCACGUCAUUUCACACUCUGUCAUCCCCUCCACUCACACACACAGUCUCCCCUUUCGACACCCUGUCACCUCCCUCCACACACCCUGUCACCAUUCCCCACACACACUGUCACCACAGACAAAAUGCACAAAGGCCACAGUCCAUAUACAAAAAAUACCGCAAGCAGCUACCACACACACAUACGGUCCUAGACACAAACAUACACAUGCUCACAGAAACAUACAUUCACAUACAAGGGUACUCACUGUCAGACGCACUCUCAGGCACAUACACAGACAGACAAUGCCAGACAAUUCAGAAAUACACACAGCCAGAUAAACACAUUGUGACUGUAUGUCUGUAUUAGUCAAUAUGUGUGCAUCAGUGUGUUUGUGUGUGUGUGUGUGUAAAUGCAUGUGCAUGUAUCAGUGUGUAUAUGUAUUUGUGUAUUAGUGUUUAAAUGUGUGCGUGUGUCUGCAGUGUGGUUGUGGUAUGAUAUGGGCAAUGCAAAGAUAAAGUUGCUAUAUAUAUAUAUAUAUACAUACAUACAUAUAAAAUACAUAGGGAAACACAUAUAUGAUAAUAUACAUGUUAAGGAAUUUAGAAUAUGUGGGGAAAUGUCAGGCUAUACAACCAUACCCAGCAAUCGUAUACAAAUGAUUAGCAAUUUAUGUCAUAUCUACAGUAAAAGUGCUCACAACGCAGCGGCAUAGGGAGCUGCGGCAAUUUUUUUCACUAAUGGUGUAAAUGGGGGGCCUCAUGUUUGACUUUAGCCUAAGGCCUUGCAAAGUCUAGAGCUGCCUCUGCUGAACAGCACCAAACAAAGUGCUAAAGGUUGGUGAAACCAAUGUUUAUUUUGUUGAAUUGUGUAGUUUAUUACCCUGGUUUAGAAAGGGACAUUCCUUUAUGUUUAGUUAGUGCUCAAAUUUGAGCUAGGAUUUUGUUUGUAGACUUUCCUUUCUGUUUUGCUGAAGUUUUGAACAAACGGAUUGCUGCAUGGAUUUUUGUGCACGAUGUAAAUAAACCACACCAUUUUUGCAUAAGAGACUGUUGUUCUGUACCUGUUACCCUAGAGGACUGUGUUGCUUUGCCCUUAAAGGUCAAAAGAUGGUGGAGAAUGCGGGCAAUUAAAGCACAUUCAUACAGUCUGUGGGUAUAGAGGCCUAAGGUACUGUGACUCUGCAAACGGAGACGGUUGUUUGAAACAGAGGCCUGCAGGUGUGGUGUGUGUGGUAUUUACCAGGUGGCUGAAAAAAAAAAAGGCAAGAUGGAAGAGUUAGUAAAAGCCUUGAUACAGGCUACUGCCACCCAGCAAGACACAAACCGUGUAACAGCGGCUCAGAUCAGUAGCCUCAUGGAGUCACAGCGACAGGCUGUUGCGGCCCAACAGGAGACAAACCGAUUAUUGGCUUUACAAAUGGACUGCAUUAUGGAAACACAGCGGGAAGACAGAGUAAAGCUAACAAGUGCUUUGCAACAAACCAUACUGUCAAGUGUGACUACUCCUACUAUGGAUAGGGGGCGCCGGAUUAGAGUUACUGACUUUUUACAUAAAGUGAGUGAGGUUGAUGACAUGGAAGCUUACCUGACAACCUUUGAAAGGAUUGCUACCCGAGAAGGACGGCCUCCAGAUUAGUGGGCAGGAUUGUUAGCCCCUUGCCUCAGUGGAGAAUCCCAAAAAGCAUAUGAUGAUUUGCCUCUCAGCCAAGCACAAGGCUAUGACAGAUUGAAAGCAGAAAUCCUAACACGGCUUGGAGUUACGCCUGCAGUGCAAGCCCAAAGAUAUAAUGCAUGGGUUUAUGAUACAGAGAAAUCUACUAGGUAGCAAAUGUAUGACCUCUUGAGACUUGCCCAGAAGUGGCUACAACCAGAAAUCAACUCUGCUGCAGUAAUCAUUGAAAAGGUGGUUAUGGAUCGCUUUCUAAGGAGUCUGCCGAUAGCGCUACGGAAAUGGGUCAGUCAAGCGGAUCCAAAGGACCCAGAAGAAAUGAUGAACUUGACAGAGAGAUACCGGUUUGCUAACGAAACUCAGAGUAAAGAGCCUUACCUCAAUGCCAAAUUGCAAAGGAACAGGAAACCUGCAAAGAAUUCUGGUGGAUUUAAAGAAACAGAUGGAAAAAAAGAUUCUGUAAAGACUGAGAGACAGAUAAAGUGUUAUAGGUGUCAGGAGAUUGGACAUAUUGCACGUAACUGUCCACAGACUGAUGAACCUAUGGAAUGUAAUUUGGGGAGGGGGGAGAAACAUGGUGCAUUGUUGGUAUACACACAAAUGUCUGCUUUAACAAGUACUGGUGGUAUUAACCAUGUCAAGUUUGUAAAUUAUGGAGGGGAGGAGUGUGCAAGCACUCUUAGAUUCUGGGAGUGAGGUUUCAUUGGUAAUGAGAUCUUUACUUCAGAGUGAGCAAGUAGAUAAAAUUACGUGUUGGAUAUAAUAUGCAUACAUGGUGACACCCACACGUACCCCACGGCCGAGGUGGAACUUGCUACCGCGGUAGGGGUGAUAAAACAUAGAGUUGGGGUGGUACCAUCAUUGCCUUAUGAUGCUGUAUUGGGGCGUGAUUUUCCCCUCUUUCGUAAAAUGUGGGAAGAUACUGCAAUAAAACAGGAUAAGUGUACAGAGGUAGAGGCAGAAACAGUGGGUUUAGAGAAUGUUUUCCCUUUUUCUACGAUUGAUUUGGGGCAGUAUAUUGAAAAUGAACCCACUGUAGUAUGUUUCGGCGAGGAAGGGGAACACAAUGAAAGUGAUUUCUCCCAAGUAGAAAAUCUAAGGGAAGAGGUGGAGUUCCAUCAUCUAGGUAUUAGUUCAGGAAAUUUCCGGGCUACCCAAUGGGAGGAUCAAACCUUGGUAGCUGCCCGUAACAAUGUUCAGGUAGUGGAAGGUACUCCUGUUAACCCGGAAACCCAAUUGUCCCUUCCCUAUUUUGCAGAAAGAAAUAAUUUACUUUACCGAGUAGAGAGGAGGGGGGUUGAAGAGGUUGAGCAAUUACUGGUACCUCAAUCCCACAGGAACCUAGUCUUAAAACUAGCUCACAGCCAUGUAUUAGGGGGGCAUCUUGGCAUGGAGAGAGUACUAAGAAGAUUUUACUGGCCAUGAAUCUACUCUGCUAUAGAGCGAUUUUUGCAAGUCAUGCCCAGAAUGCCAAAGAAAGGCUCCAUUCCAAGCUUUCCGUAAUCCCCUCGUUUCUCUUUCCAUUAUGGAAGUCCCAUUUGAAAGAAUUGCUAUGGACCUGGUUGGUCCUUUACUUAAAUCCGCUAGGGGGCACCAAUAUAUAUUGGUAGAACUAGAUUAUGCUACCCGCUAUCCCGAAGCUAUACCUUUAAGAAAUACCUCAGCUAAAACCAUUGCCAGAGAGUUAAUGUUUAUGUUCAGCCGGGUUGGAAUACCUAGAGAAGUACUUACAGACCAAGGUACUCUUAUGUCAUGAGUGAUGAAAGAGCUAUGUAACUUGUUGAAGAUUAGACAAUUGAAAACUUCAGUGUAUCACCCACAAACUGAUGGGUUAGUGGAAAGAUUUAAUAAAACCUUGAAAGCAAUGCUCUGUAAGGUAAUUGAUAAAGAUGGUAAGAAUUGGGAUUGGUUGCUCCCAUAUCUAAUGUUUGCUAUCAGAGAAGUUCCCCAGGGUUCUCACUCAUUGUUAUAUGGCAGACAUCCUAGAGGUCUCCUUGAUGUUGUGAAGGAAACAUGGGAACAGGAACACACGCCUCAUAGGAGUGUUAUUGAACAUGUGGCACAAAUGCAGUAUCGCAUUGAGGCCAUAAUGCCAAUUGUCAGGGAAAAUAUGGAGAGAGCACAGAAAGCUAGUUAUAAUAGGAAUGCUAGACUUAGGGUCUUUCAACCCGGAGACAGGGUUCUGGUACUAAUCCCCACAGUAGAAAGUAAAUUCAUUGCAAACUGGCAUGGCCCAUAUGAGAUCAUUGAACGAGUCAAUGAGGUGAAUUAUAAGGUGAGACAACCUGGUAGAAGAAAGCCUGAACAAAUAUACCAUAUAAAUUUGCUUAAACCCUGGACAGACAGAGAGGUCGUGAUGGCCACGACAGACAAAGUUCCUCUGACCAAAGUAGACAAAGUACCAGAGGUUAACAUUGCUGACACUCUAGCACCUCAUCAGAAAAAUGAGGUCCGAGAGUUUGUUGCUAGAAAUCGGGAUGUGUUUGCUCCAGUACCAGGAAAGACUCAUGUUAUUAAACAUGACAUAAUUACGGAACCUGGAAAAAGGGUUAACUUAAAACCCUACCAAAUCCAAGAGGCCAGAAAAGAAGCCAUUAAAGCAGAGGUCCAAAAGAUGCUUGAACUAGGGGUUAUCGAGGAAUCCCAUAGUGAAUGGAGUAAUCCUAUAGUGUUGGUACCCAAGCCAAAUGGAGAAAUCAGAUUCUGUAAUGAUUUCAGAAAAUUAAAUGAGAUAUCAAAAUUUGAUGCUUAUCUCAUGCCUAGGGUUGAUGACCUAAUAGAGAGAUUAGGACGAUCCAGAUAUCUGACUACAUUAGAUCUGACUAAAGGUUAUUGGCAAGUUCCCUUAACAGAGCGGGCCAAAGAAAAAACUGCUUUUUCCACACCAGAAGGUUUUUCACUAUAAAGGAUUGCCUUUUGGGUUGCAUGGUGCACCUGCCACCUUCCAAAGAAUGAUGGAUAGAAUCCUUAGACCCCAUAGUGAAUAUGCGGCUGCCUACCUUGACGAUGUGGUUAUACACAGCACAGAUUGGGAAACACACCUUCCCCGAGUUCAGGCAGUAAUAAAGUCUAUACGAGAUGCAGGUCUAACUGCCAAUCCAUCCAAAUAUACGAUAGGUUUGGAAGAGGCUAAGUAUUUGGGCUACACUAUUGGGAGGGGUCUCCUGAAACCACAGAAAAGUAAGGUAGAUGCUAUUUGGGAUUGGCCACGUCCUGUGACAAAGAAACAAGUCAGGGCAUUUCUAGGUUUAGUGCGCUACUACCGUAGAUCCAUACCUAACUUUGCUACGAUCGCAAACCCGUUGACAGAGCUAAAUAAGGCAAAAGGCCCUGUUAUGAUAAAGUGGACUCCCGAGGCAGAGAAGGCAUUUAGUACCCCGAAGGAGGUUUUGUGUGCUGACCCAAUUUUGGUUGCCCCAGAUUUUACGAAAGAAUUUGUGGUACAGACAAAUGCGUCUGAUGUGGGCCUAGGAGCGGUUCUUUCUCAAGUACACAGAGGAGAAGAACAUCCCAUUAUGUACCUGAGCAAAAAGCUGAAUCCCUAUGAACAGAGAUACUCGGUGGUUGAGAAAGAAUGUUUGGCCAUAAAAUGGGCACUAGAAACACUUAAGUAUUAUCUAUUGGGGAGAAGGUUCAAACUUGUCACAGAUCAUGUGCCCUUGACGUGGAUGAGACAAAACAAGGAAACAAAUGCCAGAGUAACUAUGUGGUUCCUUAGUCUUCAGCCAUAUAACUUCUCUAUGGAGCAUAGAGCUGGUAAAGACCAGGGGAAUGCAGAUGGUUUAUCCAGAGUCCAUUGUUUGUGGUCAAAGGUCGCUACGACCGAUGGGUCUAAGCUGGCGGGGAGGAUAUGUGACAGAGUCUAUGGGAGAGUAAUAGAAGGAAGGUAUUUAGGACCCAGACUCCUCCAUAGACUGUACUCAGUCACCUUCCCAAUUAGCAACUGCUGAGGCUUUAAUUAGCAAGUCUCAGAGCAGAAAGGGGGAGAUACAAUCUGACCUGCAGAGAGAGAGCAGGUCUGUGCUGAGCAGCACCAAACAAAGUGCUAAAGGUUGGUGAAACCAAUGUUUAUUUUGUUGAAUUGUGUAGUUUAUUACCCUGGUUUAGAAAGGGACAUUCCUUUAUGUUUAGUUAGUGCUCAAAUUUGAGCUAGGAUUUUGUUUGUAGACUUUCCUUUCUGUUUUGCUGAAGUUUUGAACAAACGGAUUGCUGCAUGGAUUUUUGUGCACGAUGUAAAUAAACCACACCAUUUUUGCAUGAGAGACUGUUGUUCUGUACCUGUUACCCUAGAGGACUGUGUUGCUUUGUCCUUAAAGGUCACAGUGUAUAUAUCUGUGUGUGUGUGUGUGUGUGUGUGUAUCUGUGUGCGUGUAUAUCUGUGAUUGUAUAAAUGUUACAUCCCCUGAUAGCCCUGAUCUGGGUGACCAAUAUAUCCAAAAAUCACCCAGAUCAGUUCAGGGGUUUUGGAAUUUAAUUGAAGUUCAAUUUUGACCGACCGAACACAAGGGCUCCUGCCCAGAAACCGUUCCAUGAAUUUAGGUUGAGCGGCCGGUCUAUUUCAACAAGUCUUAAAAAUGAACAAAAGCAUGAACUGCACUCCCUGGCUCAUAGUAGCGAUUGUUCCCCUGGUUCGUGGGAACAAAACUACAGAACAGCGCUCUCCUGUCUGUUCGGGAAAAGGAAGCAGUUCAUACAGUUUGACCAGUAAUCGGGAAGUUGAGUGUCCGAUUUUAGUUACAGACACUCAAGAGAACUUGACUGUUCUCUUUGAAAAUAAUGAGGCGGGGGGGAGCGGGGGUUGGUGUUCGGUAGUUACAGCUACCGAAUGAAAAAAAGUCAAAUAACCGAAAUACCACUGUAAUUUCUUCACACUGCCUUCUAUCAAUAUAAGUUUGUAAGUGCAAUACUUACCCAAUUCCCAGUUAUUGUUUUAUGCUUACAGUAUUACACUACUUUUUUUUUAUCUAUUGUAGAUAUGUGGUGUUUUAUAUGCUUUUGAAGCCUGAGAUGAGUCUUUUCUCUACAUUUUAACAAGGGGUAAUUACUAUUUUAUGCAUUGUAUAUUUUUUCACCGGUGGUGCUUAAUUGUUUGGUUUGCUUUUUGUGUUUGUGGUGUAACAAAAUAACCUGCCUGCUUUAGAGUGCGUCUAAUGGCCAGCAUGGUUUCCUCUUUUUGAUAGACACUGUUGGAGAAUAUCCAUCCUUACUGGCAACCAUGUUUGAUUGUUGCAGGAAGAUUGCAGGGUGUGACGGUCUGCCAAGGUAUUACCGCCAUGCAUACUCUUUUCCCAUAGUAAUCAUACUCCAGUAAUCCACAGGUUACAGUAUCGCAUAAUAGCCCACACAUGAGCCAAAGCUUAAUGCUGNNNNNNNNNNNNNNNNNNNNNNNNNNNNNNNNNNNNNNNNNNNNNNNNNNNNNNNNNNNNNNNNNNNNNNNNNNNNNNNNNNNNNNNNNNNNNNNNNNNNGGACAAGACUGGUUUAAUGGAAAACAGAUGUUCAAUUUAUACAGUGAAGAAACUCCUCCUCUGAGCCAGGGAGAUAAUUGAGUCAGAGAAAGUACUAAACUCAAUUAUCUCCUGGUACAGAAAAAGUUAACAUUUUUAUAACCCCCCAAAAGUACCCCAUAAAAUGCAUGGGAACCCCACAAAAGUCACAUCCCUGUGUAGCCUGAAUCUGGGGGAACAAUAUAUUCGAAAAUCAGCCAGAUCCAUUAGGUAGUUUAUGAUCGGAACCGCAGGGAAGAUUUGACCGGUCUGCCAUGAGGUCGAAGCCCAGAAAAAGUUCCAUGAACAGUGUGGCAAGAGACGGUCUCCAUUUGUGGGGUUUUGCAUGAAAACCACAUAAGAUUGAGUCUAGCUGAUUCAUGGAGAAUGCUCCCUGUGUUCGGUAUUCUGAAACUCCCGAACGCCGUUCAUCUAAGUGAAUGGGAAGGAGAAUGUAGAGUAGAUCCAUAGAGACCGGUGUUUGCGAGAGUGCCUGGCCAAAAUGAGUUCCGGGCCCUCGAUGACCGGGAGACAAGAUGGCCUCCAUCCAUUGUUCCAACCACGUGUAUUUGUAUGGACGAAAUGGCGGCAACCCUGUGGAGCCUUCAAUUAUCGAUUUUCUCAGUGGUUUUCAUACAAGAUACACAACGUUCCAUGUUCUAAUUAGUCUCUGGGGUGGUCUCAGUUUGGGAACUGAACAAAAUAACGAACAAACUGGAACAGGAUGACAAAAACUAACGUAAGUAGCCGAACAGUGAUGGGGCAUUCCUUCACAUAGGGCAUAUCAACUGUAGUCAGGGCCGCCAUCAGAAAUUUUGGGGCCCCUAACACAGCUCAAGGUCUGGCCCCUUGGGUGCCUGCAUCCAAGCCCACCCACAGGGCCUGCCUCCAAGUCUGCAGUGUACAGGGUGUGUUUGCAUAUUGGAUGGUGUGUGUGCGCACAUGCGUACGUAAAUGCAAAAUACAAAAGUCCUUGCACACUUGCUUAAAUUAGUGAUGUUUGCCAGGUGCUCACUCUUGGCUUCAUCAUUGGCACUCAUUGACUUAUGUAGAAGUUCCAGUAUUUCUUUAUUUCUUCAUAUUAAUAAUGAAAAUCCACUAUACUGUGUGGGAACAAAACGAGUUUAGGAGCCAGUCGACGUUUCAGUCCUCAGGUGGGACUGAAAUGUCGACCGGCUACUAAACUAAUUUUGUUCCCACACAGUAUAGUGGAUUUUCAUUAUUAAUAUGGAGAAAUAAUGGAACUUCCACAAAAAAAGAGUGUGUGUGUGUGUGUGUGUGUGUCCAAAACGUAGGACGAUCGUUACGAGGAGGGUAUAUAUAGGCUGGCAAAUGUUUUGUGAAAAAUUAGUUUUUUCUGUCUGGAGAUAAUGGAGUUAUUACAUUAUCUGGCUCAAUUAUCUCACAGGCAGAGAGGAGGGAAUUAUCUGUUUGUAUUUGGAGAGUCACACUUUGUCACUGUAUUAUUAUUGGCUGUAACCUUUGUGUCCCUGUCCCCCACAAGGUCCAUGUGGGAGUGCCCCUUGCAUGGGGAUUUGCAUAAAAGCCAGUGUGGCACCCAUUAAAACCAUUCCUGUUACACCCUUCAUCAAGUUUCAGCUGAUGUUUGGGUACCUGUCUGCUUUACAGGGAGAAUAUACUUGGGAGACUGUCAUUUGUAUGGAGAAUUGUUCGACUCAGCACCCGAAAUAGACGAAUGGGUUCCGGUUAUACCAGAGUUCGUUACAGGCAGUAUAAUCAUAAACAAAAGCAAUCUUCACUCUGAGGCUCCCAAUUAGCAGCACCGCAUCUAGAGGGAGAUAAAAAUGGGACACAGAAUAGAUCUUAAGACAUAAAAUUACUAAAUAAAUUUCGGUUGCACUUACAACAUUUAAAAUAAAUGAUAGCUUGUCAUCAUCUCAACCAAAGAUCCCAACGAAUUGGAAAAGCAAAAAGAUGAAAUGGCAUGAAAAACAGGAUAUAACAUAACCAUAAUCAAAUAAUAGCCCAACGGACUUUUAUUAUUGACUUAUUCUGUGUUUCAAAGUGUACAAAUGCUACACUGCAAACAGCACACACACAAUAAAAUACAAAUAUGGUUUCAAAACUGAUUUUUUUUAUUUAUUUUUUUUUUAUUUAGUGCAGCUGCUGCAGCACACUGAACUGAAAAUAUUAAAUACUUUCUGCAAACAAUUAAAGAAAAAAGCCCAGCCACACUGUAAAUCAGUGACUUAAAGAUGGUGUAAGUGGUACUGGCAGUGCCUAGGUUCAGCAGUAACCUAAUCACCACACGAGGAUCAAUGACACAGGCGCAGCAAUGGUAAAACCAAUAACUGACUUCUGGUCUGAUCCCUUAAAGGGACACUCCAGUGCCAGGAAAACAAUCUGUUUUCCUGGCACUGCAGGUCCCCUCUCCCUCCCACCCCCAUCCCAAGUUGCUGAAGGGGUUAAAACUCCUUCAGUGACUUACCUGUAUCCAGCACCAAAAAUGUCCCUCGGUGCUGGUUCAGGGUCCGCCCACGCUCCUCCCCAUCAUCCAGCGGGGGAGACCUAUUGCGCAUGAGCUUAAAUGCCACACACUACACCUCCCCACAGGAAAGAAUUGAAAAAUGCUUUCAAUGCUUUCCUAUGGGGAUUUCAACGACGCUGGAGGUCCUCACAUAGCGUGAGGAUGUCCAACGAUGCUAUAGCACAGAUAAUCUGUGCUUUAAACCCGGACGUGCACUCUAGUGGCUGUCUAGUAGACAGCUACUAGAGGAGGAAUUAACCCUGCAAUGUAAAUAUUGCAGUUUAUAAAAACUGCAAUAUUUACAUUGCAGGGUUAAGGGUAGUGGGAGUUGGCACCCAGACCACUCCAAUGGGCAGAAGUGGUCUGGGUGCCUGAAGUGUUCCUUUAAUGACUGAAGUCAAAGUGCUUUGAAGAAUCCUGCUUGGAAACAUAUGUACUCUUUACUAUUCCCCUAUUUCCCCUUUCGUGCACUUCUUACUUUAUCUGUGUAUAAUAUGUAAAUGUUGUGGCUAUCCCUUAAACAAACAGAUGCAUCUGGUGUAAUAUUCAUUUAUUAUUAUUUAAUCACUUUCAUGGUUAAUACUUUGCAGAUUAAUAUAUUCUUGCUAGUUUACAACACUUUGCAUUUUAUAUUGAUUAGUACUUAAAUUAUUGUAGGUAUGUAAUUUGUGUUUCUGAUCUUACUGUUAAUUUUAAUUAGUAAAUAAAUAGAUAUUUACUAUGUCAGUUUUUUUAAGGACUUUCUUCAAAUUGCAAAAUAACAGUCUGUCUCCAGACUCAUAGAGCUCAUAGAGCUCAUAUUAACCUUAUUGAUCCAUUGGUGGUAACUGCAAUCCCAAAAAUCUUGGAAUUAGGGUCUUCUUCUGGCAUAGUAAUGAGAGGUCUGGUGAAGCCAUGGGCAUGGAUAUGACAUUAUACCUCUAAGCACAAAUUCACAAGGUCCUUUUGCAGUGACCUGGUGGCGUUUUGUUUGUCAAUAACUGCUGUGUGUACCUCUCUGCAUAUACAUUUACCCCAUGUGCUGCUGGAUGAAGAAUAGUAUACAGAGCAGAGGCUAUGGAGGUGCACCCCACUUCACCUCCCAUCCCAUGGGCUCUGUGUUUCAAACCUAAUACUUAGCAAUCAUCUUUUUAUUCACCUCUUACUUGGACAAGAGAUACUUUCCCCAUAAUUGGCCAACGCUCUUGUCCAUUAUGCAAAAAUUAUGAUAUACUACUAACUUUCCAAAUAAUUCAAUACUGUUAGAAAACAUUUCCAAAUUAUUUAUCUGCAGCAGUUGUGAUUAAAGCCUAUGGAAAUGUUUGUAGAUAAUUCAUUUAUAAAGUUUUUCUAACUGUAAUAAAUAAUUAAGGUUUUUUUUCUAUGCUGUAUUUAUUUGUAGCAGCUGUGCUCUUUUAAAUUAUGGAUGAUAGGGUGAGCGUAGCUUUUCUCUUUUGUGUUGUAUUUAUAUGUCUAAAUCUAGAUUAUGACGUGUUCCAUUUAACUUCCAUUGAUUACUUUUCUGUAUUUCGUAGAUCAGUUAUGGAGCUGUAAAUGACAACUUCUAUGACCAAGCUACUUAUCCAUUAGUUUUCCAUACCGGCCAUGGGACAAAUGCUUAUAAUAAGGCCAUUAUUGCACUGCUGAAACACUAUGGUUGGACAUGGAUUGGCAUACUGCACUCACCAGCAGAGAGUAGUGAGAUGGCAAGCCAAAGUUUUAAAACAGAGAGUAUUAAAAAUGGAAUUUGUGUUGAAUUUAUGUUAAAAUCUGAUUCAGAUUAUCAAGAAAACAAUGUUUUGAGAUACACAGCAAAGGUUAUUGUUAUAUUUUCCACUGAGGACCACCUGACAAACAUAUUCAUGAAAUUUUUUUAUCUGAUUAAACUUCGUGAGAAAACACUAAUAUUAUCAUCAGAGAUAUCAGCACAUAGCACAGGAUAUUUAAACCAACAUGCAUUAAAUAAAAUAAUGAAUAGAUCACUUAUUCUUGUGGCAGCUAAAUCAUAUAUUCCAGGUUUUCAAGAAUUCCUCUACAGAACUAGCCCCACGGUGUAUACGAAUAACACAUUCUUGCAAAAUGUAUGGUUAACUUAUUUCGGGUGCCUACCUGCAGAUGAUCAUAGUGAGAGGCAAGUUUGCAAGAAGAAAUUCUCUCUUAGUUCUCUACCUAAGUUCGCGUUUGAUGCUGAAAAUUUCCGUACAACUUACAAUGUUUAUGCUGCAGUCCAUGCAAUAGCUCAUGCUUUGCAUAUGUACAUCUCUGAAUCAAAAAAUGGGAAGAUUAAACAGUUUCACUCAAGAGAGGUAAGUGUUUGACGUAACAAAAAUGUUAACAAUUCCUUAAAAAUAAUAUUUAGUUUUAAAUAAUAAGCGACCCAUGAUGGAAUUAUUCCGCCAUGAUGUAAUUCCCUCAAGGAUGGUCAGGAUAUGAAUAGGAUCCUUAGAAAGGUACAGGCUACAACCUAGCAACAAAGCACAAGAGGAAAUAUAUAGAGAAAAUAAAUAUUUAUUAGAUAGAUAAUAAAGAUGAAGUUGAUAGCAAAACUCAAUGCCAGAAACAAUUGAGGACUGGUGCAUGGUCACAGGAUAAACAGUAGCAACGGACCAGACCAAGGACAAGGAAGGGUCUGGAGUGCAGGUAAUAAUAUCAGGAGCAAUGUAAAGUGCUUAAGUGGAUACUAUAGGCACCCAGAUCACUUCAGCUCAUUGAAGUUGUCUAGGUGCAGUGUUUCUGUCACUCUUAGUCCUGCAAUGUAUUAUCUACCAGACAGCCACUAGAGGUGCUCUUAGGAGUUUACCUGACUCUAGGUUCCUUAACUGAUGCCGGACAGCCAGCAUCAUUGAAAUCCUCGUAGGAAAGCAUUGAGGCAAUUCUUUCCUAUAGGGAGGGCCUAAUGCGCUUGCAGCACAUGUACAUUAGGUUCCCCUGUCAAUUGAUGUGGGAGGAGGCAGAGCACCAACCCAGUACUGAGGGAGAUUGAAGCUGGAAUUGGUUAGGUAACUAACCAUUUAUGUGUUGAUGUGGGAGCCACGAGGGGAUCAGAGGGCACUACAGUUUUUGAAAUACAACUUUGCAUUCAUAACACUAUAGAAGCUCUUUAAGGAGUCAAAAUGCCAUAAAAGGGCAUUGAAUCACAAACGGAGAUAGUUUGUAUAGAGUGAGACCCUUUGCAUCAUUUCUGUGUCAUUGACACAUGCACACUGUAACAAUUAAGAUGCUAAGGUGACGGUAUUAUAAAUGGCAAAAAGAUGUGAGAUGCUAAAAUGCCCUAAGAUACUCCAUAGACCCAUCUUCAAUUUGCCAUUAAAAAAAACAAAAAAAACACACUGCAGGUUAUACAUUCAGCCCUAUAUUUUAAAGAAACAUUCAGAAGUGUAUGUAAAAGUGGUCAUUCUAUACUCCUAUAGCUGAGCACAAAGUGAUUUGUUUUUGUCAGGAUCUUAUCUGAUGUGGAGUCAGAAGUGCAGAGUAAUAUACUCACCCUUGCAAAUAAACACAGACCAAAGUGACCAGAUAAGAAGCCACCUGGGCUGUGUGUCUAUGCACAGGGUUUGUGCAGGAUAUAGCUCCAAGUUGCAGUACAGGUAAGGAAAAAAGCAGGAGAAUAGUCGAGGACAAGCCAAAGUCAGAGGAUGCCAGAGGUCAGGAUAAAUGAUGAGAAAUAUCAAGAUCAUGAGGCAUCUAUCUGGAGAACACUUGAUCAAGAACACAUACAGGAACCAGAGUCAAUGAACUGACAAAGUUAUCAGCGUGAGGCAUUGCUUAUUUACCCAGCUAAUUAAUGAUCUGCUUCAGGUGGGCUAGACAGCCACGGGUAAAGUCCAGCCCCCAGUGUUGGAGACAAGGCGAGGAUAAACAUUAAGCAGACACAAGGACUGAAGUGUGGCCCAGAGGCAAGACAGCAGAACUAAGGCAGAAAAAUGUCAUGAUGAGAACCAUGACAGUUUUACAGUAGCACACUUUAAGUUUACAACAUAAAUCUAUAAAUUUCAAUGUGCUCGUAAAACAACCUUCUAAAAUAAAAUAUUGCUUAAAACUUUGAAACAAACUUGUGCUAAAAUAGAUGUACUAAAAUACUCAAAAUCUACCAUGAUAUACUCUUUCAGAAAUGGAAUAUAUUUAUGUAGUAAUUUGAACUUUCACACUGUACAAUGCCCCGAAAUGGGCCUAUUAAAUCCAUCUAUAAAAAUUCUAACUGUAAAAACAAAUAGUCAGGUAUCUUAUAUUGCACUGUAAAUUCAUUUAAUAUUGGCAAAGAAAUUUAUUGGGAGUAUUUUUAUUCAGAAGAGUUUGCUGAGCAUAAUAGGGCGUGCAGGGGUACAUAGUGACACAUAUUCGAUUUGCAAAGUGCCCAGCAAAAAUGUAAUUUGUAUGUGAAAAUAAAAACAAAUUUAAAAUGCUUCACACAUUUUGACAUAAACUGGUGAAAAAAAAUGGCAAAAUUUUAUGGAACAUCAUAGCCCUUAUACGUUACCCUGGAGUGUCUAUUUUCACAAAUUAUGAAACUACUGCCUUUGUUGGUUAUAUUGAGCAGUCAAACUGCUGUAAUGCCCUAAAAUUAGACUUAGGCCCAUCAAAUCUAUCAAAAUUCUAACUGUAAAAACAAAUAGUCAGGUAUCUUAUAUUGCACUGUAAAUUCAUUUAAUAUUGGCAAAGAAAUUUAUUGGGAGUAUUUUUAUUCAGAAGAGUUUGCUGAGCAUAAUAGGGCGUGCAGGGGUACAUAGUGACACAUAUCCGAUUUGCAAAGUGCCCAGCAAAAAUGUAAUUUGUAUGUGAAAAUAAAAACAAAUUUAAAAUGCUUCACACAUUUUGACAUAAACUGGUGAAAAAAAAUGGCAAAAUUUUAUGGAACAUCAUAGCCCUUAUACGUUACCCUGGAGUGUCUAUUUUCACAAAUUAUGAAACUACUGCCUUUGUUGGUUAUAUUGAGCAGUCAAACUGCUGUAAUGCCCUAAAAUUAGACUUAGGCCCAUCAAAUCUAUCAAAAUUUUAACUGUAAAAACUAAAAUGGCCAGGUCUCUUAUAUGACACUGUGGCUUCACAUGAUAGUGACAAAGGCAUACAGCAGGGUAUUUUUGUAAUCAAACGAAUGUACACAAUAUGGGAUUUUGUAAUGAAGUAGCAGACAUUAGGUUUAAGAAAUACACAUAAAAAGCAUGUGAUGUGUGUGUGUGUUAAAUAUCAGAAAAACUCAACUUUACUACAAUAUUUAGGAGAUAUUGGCAGAUUAAUGGCCAUGUAAAAAUUGUUAAAAUACCCUUAGGUAAAUGGUGUGUGAUAUUUAAUGUCUAUGUUAGUAAUAUAUACUUUUGUGUGGCAAUUUUGUUUUCUGUGGUGCCUAUUAAAGAAGGAACACAUACUAAACUGUAAAAUCUUACCACAAUAAAACUAGAUUUUACUCCAUGUAGUUUGUGACCCAUAACUUCUAAAAAUGAACUGAAAUACUAGCUAUUUGAUAUACUCUGUAAAUCAGGACAAAUACAUGAAUUUAUUUUUAAUUACAUUUUAUCAAGCUCCACUACUUAAUCACACAAUAUAAAUUUCAAAAUUAUGCAAAUUUUUUUUCUUCAGUUAUUGUGCUGGAUCAGUUUGUAAUCCUGACAACUAUAGCAUUAGGAAUACAGAUUUUAUUCUUAACACCAUAUUGCUCCUUAAAAGGGGCACCCAAGACCCCUGUAGCACUUUAGCUUGCUGAAAUGUGUUAUGUAUAAAGAGUGUUUCCUUUUUUCCAUUUUAGAAAGUGCAGGUUUCAAGAGAUAUUGAAAGUUUUUUAACUAUCCAUGUUACACUCCAUGGCCUUCAAGCAGACAACAGUUUCUUUAACCUCUUGUUCUCCUAAAGGCAGGCAAUUGCUCAGAGCCCUAUCUUGCAAAGAUUUCUUAUUGAGCUGUAUUGGAAAGUCUGUGAUUGGACAGACACAGAGUCUGGGCUGUGCAAAAAGAGGAGGGCUUGCAAAGGCAGCAGACCAGAGAUCUACAGCCUUUGCAAGCUGUUUAUAUAUAUUGACUUAAUUAAAAACACACACAUACAUGUUUUCAUUAGGGGCAUAUCUGUAUAUAUAAUGCACAGUAAUGGUUCUUUUUUUGUUUUCGGUCAGUGAAGUGUACCUUUAUGUACAGAAAAAAAACAAAUGGAAGGCUGGUUCUUAAGAGGUUAAACAUUCAGAAUGGUGACAUAUACAAUAUAUGAUGAACAAUCAAAAGAAUGGGGAUACAACGUUCAGCACAUACAAAUGAACACAUAAUAACUCUGCUACUCUAAAAUAUGAUGUAGUAGUAGUUUUUGUUUACUAGUUGGUUAGUUUAUCAUACUAAUGACAUUUUAGCCUUAUGUGGUUUUGUUGUCAAGCCAGACUUAUUGUUUUUUGUCUUUGUAGUUGUUUGCAAAACUAAAGUUGUAUUCUUUGUAAACUAUUUCAGCUUAGAAAAUAUCUAAGAAGUCUGCAUUUUAAUAUGUCUUCUGGUAAGGAGUUUACUUUUAAUGAGACGAGAAAUUCAAAGACACAUUUUGAGCUGUUACAAUACAUUUAUUUAAAUAACACAAUGAAAACAACCCACGUUGGAGAUUACAUUUUGACUGCAAACGCAGAGCCUAACCUCUACAUCAAAGAGAGAUCUAUUAUAUGGGAAUCAGAUAUCAAAGGUGUAAGUAAUAUUUAAACAUACAACCAAAACAUUUUACUAUUACGUAUGUACAAUUAUGCAUGUGAUCUAUGAAAAAUGUUUUUAGACAAGUAAUUGUUGUUUGUUAAUACUUUUAUGAAAAGGUAUUUUUUUAAAUCUGAAAAUUGAUACACUUUCCAAACAAAACUAUUCAUGCAUUGUACGUUUCCUCUAAUGCAGGGCUUCCCAAACUUUUAUGGAUCGAGACCCACUUUUAAAAAUGGUACAAGACCCACUUGCUUUUAAUGCAUAUUUUAACACCAUGGCAAUCAGCUUUAGAGGCAUACAAUUGGCACACCAUGGCAAUCAGUUGUAUAAGGAUAAAAUUGGCACACCAUAACAAUCAUUUCUAGAGACAUAAAAUUGUCACACUAUGGCAAUCAGAUUUAGAUGCAUACAAUUGGCACACCAUGGCAAUCAGAUUUAGAAGCAUAACAUUGUCAUACCAUGGCAAUCAGAUUUAGAGGUAUACCAUUGGCACCAUGGCAAUCAGUUUUAGAGGCAAACAAUUGGCACACAAUGACAGUCAGCUUUAGAGGUGUGGAGGAUUAUACCUGAACCAAGGCUCAAGUUACAGGUGACCGGAUGACCAGUCUGUUUAAAACUGGCUAACUUGGAUCAUGAUGUGCUUUGAACUUUAUCCUAGUUUUAGUGCCUGACAUGUAAGCACAAUCUUUCUUGUGACGAUUGCAGCUGUCACCCUCAGCCCCCACUUCUCAUGUCCUAAGUAACUUCAUUUUUUUUAUAUAUAACUGUUGAAAUAUGCUUAGUUCUGUAAAUUCUUUUUACGGUAUAAAGUGCCUUCAAGCAUCCUGUUUUUGUCGCGCAAGUCACAAAGGUAUUUACUAUAUAGCCUUGUAUGCUUUCCCAUUAAAAAAGCAGAAUCAGGGGGCGUGGCCUGGCAUCUGAACCGCAUGGACGCAAGUCUGUGAGGUUCCUGAACCUGGAGUAACAGGAGCAAAAAUAAUCGGUCUGCAAGAAAUUUAAUACCCCAUAAGAACGGAACUACCUCAGGCGGACAGAGCGUCCUUUUUCCUCAACAAAACAUCUGCACCCAAAGCACGGGAGGGCCGUAGCCCGACCAAAGAUGGCGGAGUGCUAUGUACCGGAGAUGACUCAAUCUCCCCCCCCCGCCUACCCCAGCUUGGUGUCGGAAGAGAGACCUCUGACCGCGACGACUAUGCGUCUGAUGAUGCCGGAAUUUGCAGAAAAUAUACAAGCAAACCUAAAAAAAACUAAUAACUACACUCUCCACAGACCUCCGAAAGGAACUCCACAAAGUGGGCCAGCGUACCUCCCACGUGGAAAAGAAGAUGGAUGAAUAUGCCGAGGCCCACAACAGCCUUGCGGACAAGCUCCAAGAGCUUGAAUCAACCCUACAGGAACACAAGCUAAAAAUGGCAGAUAUGGAGGACCUGACUUGGAGGAAUUACCUGCGAAUAAGAGGGGUCCACCCCUCUGCACUUAACUCCUACCUGCUGGAUUUUUUCCAAGCUCUCACGCCUGAGACCCACCCAGACCAGCUCCUCAUUGACAGGGCCCAUCGACUCAGAUGCCCUCCACACUUACCCAGCACAACAGCCAGGGAUGUCAUUGUCCGAGUGCAUUUUUUCCAUGCUAAAGAGAGGCUAGUGCGACCAUGCAGAGCGGUGGAGAUGCCGGAACCCUACCAACAGCUGAAGGUUUUCACGGAUCUAUCAGCCGCGACCCUCCAAUUCAGAAAGAGCAUGUCACCAAUCACGACCGCACUAAGGGCACAGGGAGUAGUGUACCGAUGGGGAUUCCCCGCAAAGCUGCUUGUCAGCCACAAGGAUGCACUGCAUGGAAUCUCAUCUCUUGCGGCAGGCAUGGAGAAGCUUAACCCCUUAAGGACCAAACUUCUAUAAUAAAAGGGAAUCAUGACAUGUCACACAUGUCAUGUGUCCUUAAGGGGUUAAGGCCUGGUACUACCUGCUGCCACGGAAGAGCGCUCCCAUAACGUGCCACGAAUGGUGCCGUAGUGGACAAUUACCUGAAGCGGCCUGACCACAGCAGGUAUAAAACCAUCACGAACGAUAUAAUAAUUCACCUGCUAUAUAUGUUGUUGCUUAAUGUUAUGUACCUGCUAUUUCUCCCAUUGGGCCCGGUUAACAAUAGGUCCCCGGUUUGCUAUAUAGACAUAUUGCACUAUGGACCCACUGUUUCCCUCAGAGUUAGGACCCUCAAACCAACCCUGGGUUCGGACACUGGGGGCCAAGUACUGCGGGAUAGUUGUCACUCACACUACUACUCCCAAAGAUAACUCCCAUGAUAUGAAUACUGCCUUGCUAAACCAACUGCCCUACCCACACUAGCCCAGGGCUAAUAGGCAUCUAGAUCCAAGAGAUCCAGUAAACACAUGCCCUGACCCCUCUACACAAGGGGUAGUCUCGCCCGGCCUCAUGUGGACAGUAAGGCUACAACUUCCUCCCGAACCACUAAGCCCAAGACCUCAAGAGCCUUUAAGGUGGGCGCGCUCCCCCUUGUUUUAUUGCUUACUGUAUACACAACAGUAACUACCACUCCGAAGUCAUGUAUUGACUAUGACAGCCACAGAGUCCCCUCCCAGGUAUUAAAGCUUGGCUACGUAAGCCCAUCCCUGAAGCUCAUUAAAAAAAAAAAAGUGUAUAUAUAUAUAAAUAAAUAAACAAACACAAUAGGUACCUAUUACCCUGAAUAAAUGUUAUUGUUUAAUAGUUCUCCACUUGCUCCUCCAAGGUGAGCUCUCAAUAUUGAGCCGAUGCUCACCACCACGUCCCCUGGUAUCGGCGGCCAAGUCCCACUUGGCGCUCCUUGGUUCACUCUAGGUGAACCUAGUUGGGCAUCUUACCCCCAAGUUCUUCCCCCCCAUGUACCCUCUUUCCCCCCUCCACCCAUUCUGUCCCUGCCCCCCGUAAGUGCAGCAUUACUAGCAACUCCCAAAACUUCUAUAAAACAGAUACAGUACCGACCCCUACCACAUUCAGAGACAGAAUCACUACAAUCCUGAAUGUACUGCAGACAACAUGUGCCCGCUGGAAAUCGCAGUUGGAGAGUGUCCAAGGCCCUCCCCAGAUCUGGGAAAAUCAGUUGACCCCGAUACAGGUUGAGAUUGCAAACAUGAACCUUAAGGAACCCCACUUAACCUUUAUCCUAGAGUAUGAAAAUCAUUACUUACAAUGUUAAAGGGUUGAAUACCCCUAGUAAACAAAGGCUUUUACUCAGAGACCUCAAGAAAAACCAAAUAGCUUGCAUACAAGAAACCCACUUUAAGAAAGGACACACAUCGGCCCUAUUCACUAAACAUUACCCCGUCCAAUACCACUCGCUAUCGGACAGCAAAACCCGAGGGGUCUCCUUUUUCAUCCACAGAGAUGUAGCUCAACAACUCCACCAACAACACAUAGACCCCAACGAGCGAUAUUUCAUCCUCAUGGGGCUGAUUAAUAACACACAGUAUAUGUUGGCUACAGCCUACUUCCACAAUGACAACUCCAAGUCCUAUCUUCAUUCCAUGCUCACCAAACUUGACAAAUACAAACAGGGCAACCUACUCCUAUGUGGUGAUUUAAAUUUCACAGACUAACCUCGAUACAUCGACCCACACUUCAGGCCGAACACAUAGCACUAGAGAAAGAGUCGCUAAAGCUCUCACUAAACUCCUAUCCCACUACGACCUGUAUGACGCCUGGAGGACACUUCACCCCACUGAGCGAGAUUAUACGUUUUACUCUAGGGUACAUAAUACCUACACGCGGAUAGACGCUUUAUUAGUAGAUAGAGCCUCACUAGCACAACUCUCUGGAUGCUCCAUAGGAGAGAUUACCUGGUCAGACCACGCCCCAGUCUCCCUUGAACUAUUUGAUCUGUUCCAAUUUAAAGGGAAAGGGACAUGGCGUCUCAAUGACUCCCUGCUCUCGGACCCAGAAUUCGCAGCCACUAUCCGAAGGGAAAUCCAGGAAUACUUUAGGACUAAUGCGACGGCAGAAAUGUCUGACUCAACUGUCUGGUCCACUCAUAAGGCGGUCAUAAGAGGCCAUAUGAUACGUCACUCCUCUUUCCUCAAAAAACGUCAAAUCUCUAGCACCCUAGAGUGCCACAAGCAAAUUGCACUAGUAAACUCUCUGAAUAAAAUACAACCCUCAGAGGAACUGGCGAAUAAACUGUCCAAACUAUAUGUGUUGGAAAAAACUUGGAAAAAAACAAACACAUGUUACAUAAAUUACGAGCUACCACAUACCACAAUAGUGGUAAGGCAUCAAAAUAUCUGGCCUCUAGGCUGCACAGCCACUAUUCCGCUAACAAAAUAACCCACAUUAAUAAUGACGUAGGUGAGAAAGUUGUAAACCCAGAGGACAUUGAUCAAGAGUUCACAAACUUUUAUUCGAAACUUUACAACCUCCAACAGGAUACCACGAUACACUACCCAAAUGACAUGGGCAUCUUCCAGUACCUAUCCGCAAUCCAACUCCCCAACAUCUCAUAAGCACAUACAGAACACCUCCUGCAACCCAUAACACUAGAGGAAGUCCUCUCAGCUAUUAAGGCCCUGUCACCUGGCAAAUCCCCGGGGGCUGAUGGGUUUACCAAUGCCUAUUAUAAAGCAUAAGCGGAAGACCUAGCACCCCACCUCCUUAGAGUAUACCUGGAGACCGUCAAAACCAACUCUCUCCCACCGGAGAUGCUACUAGCCACCAGAGUACCAACCUAUGCAAAAACUUCCACCCCAUCUCGCUUCUGAAUACAGACGCGAAGAUAUAUGCCAAAAUUCUGGCUAAUAGACUGAGCCCCAUACUACCGACACUGAUAGUGGACAACCAAACGGGGUUUGUCCAGAGCAGACAAGGCUCUGACAAUACACGCAAACUCUCCUUGGUAAUGGAGAAGCUCCGGGGGACCGGCGGGGGCUGACUGCUCUUGGCGUUAGACGUGGAGAAAGCGUUCAACUGCCUCAGCUGGUCCUUCCUGAAACACGUAUUAACUAAGUAUGGCAUCCCCCCACAAGUCACUGGCCAACUAUUUGCCCUGUACUCAGCCCUAACAGCCCAAGUCAUGCAAGCGGGUUUUCUGUCCCGACCCUUUCCGAUAAGCAAUGGAACUAGGCAAGGAUGCCCAUUUUCCCCGUUAUUAUAUGUCCUAGCCUUGGAGCCCCUCUUAUGCACGGUUAGGGACCACCCAGAUAUCUGCGGAAUAGAAGUAAGCGGAAAGGAAACCAAAAUAAGUGCAUUUGCAGAUGACAUACUCCUCUUUGUCUCCCGCCCCAAGCCCUCCAUACCACCGCUCAUGGAUCUCAUCCGGGAAUAUAGCCUACUUCAUACUACUCCCUAAAUAAAACCAAGACUCAAGCUUUAGCUAUAGGAUUACCAAACCCUGUUCGAGAGGCCCUCCACACCAAAUACCCAUUUGAGUGGUGCAGACACAAUAUUAAAUACCUAGGAGUGUUAUUCACUAAACAGGCGACAUAAUUAUACUCGGGGAAUUACAUAAGGGUAUGGAGCAAAUGCAAACUCAUCCUCCAGCGUUGAGGCUCGCUGUACAUGACCUGGACGGAGCGAAUAGUGGCAUUCAAAAUGUCCAUUCUACCAAAACUACAAUAUCUUUUCCGCACAAUACCCAUAUAGCUCCCUCAGGCCUACUUUAAGAAAGCGGUUCACAAAGACAUGUCCACAUUCGUCUGGGCAGGCUCCCGACCGAGAGUAACCAUGAAAAUGCAUCCCGGUUCCAACAAAGGCAGGGGGACUCACAGUUCCAGAUAUCGAGGCCUAUUUCCAUGUCUUGGUACUGGCCAUGGCGAUACCCCACUUCCUCACCGGUCCCCGGCCCCAGUGGGUAAACAUAGAGAGCAAUUGGCUACAGCCCUUCGACUUCCCCAGCAUGUUCUGGCUGCCAAAACAGCUCACACCACCCUUGCCAUCAGCACCACCCCAGAUCACCCUGACUCUCUGGAUCUGGGACAUCCACAGAGCUAGAUUAAGCUCUUCGAACCUACUCUCCUUGGCCACCCCUAUUGGGGCCCUUCCGUACUGCAUCCCCACCUUUCACGAUAAACCUUGGCAAGCACAGAACCUGACGCACUUAUACCACACUCAUGCACAGGGGAAACUCAUAGACUUCCAACACCUGCAGGACAGUCACAACCUGCCGAGUAUCUCACAGUUCUCCUAUCUCCAACUAAAAUCCUUCCUCACACGAGGACAGGCACUAGCCCCCCUGCAACCACUCCCACACAAACACUCACUGUGUGGGAACAGAUAUGUAUAAACAAAAGCUUACCUUUGCAAUGUAAGCCCAUCUCCAUGUGCUACAAGUUAAUAUUAAGCUACCUCCCUUUCCAUAUGUCGCCACCUUCCCAGCAGUGGAGCAUGGACCUAGGGAUUGAGGUCUCCCAGCAGAGAUGGGACCAACUGUUCACCACGACUAAAUCCCUAAUUAAGUCUGCUACCCUACUGGAACAGCAGAGAAAAACAAUCUAUAGAUGGUACAUGGUACCGACGCGCAUCUAAAAGAUAUAACCCGAUAGCUUGCCAAAUUGCUGGAGAUGCGACAACCAAGAAGGAACAGUGCUCCACAUCUGGUGGCAAUGUCCAAAUAUCCAACCAUUUUGGAUAGGGGUUCACACCAUGCUGACCUCCUUGGCUGCAACCAAAUUGCCCCUACAACCUAGCACGUAUCUAACCAUGCUCCUGCAAGACGGUCUCCCUAAGCAGUGGCGUACAUACCGGGGUCGCAGGGGUUGCGGCUGUGACUGGGCCCGGCCCACCAGGGGGCCCGGCCACCCUGCAACCCGGUAUGUACCCACUGUGGUCAGCCUCUUCUCCUGGGGGGCUCAGGAGCCGGCCACCUCAGGGCCCCCCGAGGCUGGCCCUGGUGUCAUCUUCCGGCUCCGGUAUCAGUACGCGGCGCGCGAGGGAGCUGAACAGGAAGCACUCAGGGGAGAGUGCUCCCUCGCGUGCUCGCCAGCCUGCCCGCCCGCCGGGUGACACCACUGGACCCCAGGGAAUCCCCUCCACUCUCCCAAAGGUAGGGAGGCUGGGGGGAUUAAAUAAAAAAAAAAGUGAGUGUGUGUGUGUUAGUGUGUGUGUGUGUGUGAGUGAGUGUGUGUGUGUUAGUGUGUGUCAGUGAGUGUGUUACUGUGUGUGUCUGCUACUGAGUGUGUUAGUUUGUGUGCAUCUGUUAGUGAGUGUGUAUGCAUCUGUUCAUGAGAGUGUGUGUGUCUUAAGCACGUACCUUUCUCCAGCGCUGGACUCCCUUGGCGCUGGGGAUCUCUCUGCCCUGAUCCGCCUCUCAGCUCUGAAUGCGCAUGCGUGGCAAGAGCCGUGCACGCAUUCAAACUGCCCAUAGGAAAGCAUUACUCAAUGCUUUCCUACUCAUUGCUUUCCUAUGGACAUUCAGCGUCUUCUCACAGUGAGAAUCACAGAAGCUCCUCUAGCGGCUGUCAAUGAGACAGCCACUAGAGGCUGGAUUAACCCUCAGUGAAACAUAGCAGUUUCUCUGAAACUCCUAUGUUUUCAGCUGCAGGGUUAAAACUAGAGGGACCUGGCACCCAGACCACUUAAUUGAGCUGAUGUGAUCUGGGUGUCUGUAGUGGUCCUUUAAGUGUAUGUGUAUCUGCAUGCACUGGCGUACAUACCGCGGUCGCAGCCCUGUGACCCCUGCGACCAGGUGCCCGCCACCAUGUGUUGCGGCCCCAGCCCAUGCAGAGUAAGUGAGCGGGGGGGCCCACGGGUCAGUUUUCGCACCGGGGCCCCAUGGGUUGUGUGUACGCCACUGUCCCUAAGCAUCUGCAGAAGCUUAUGUACCAUGUCAUAUUAUCAGCCCAAAGACUAAUAGCAAGAGCACGGAAAUCCCCUAAUCAUCCCGCAGUGUCCACCCUAGCGAUGGAAAUAGAUACACAAUGCAAGUACGAGCAGGGCUUUGGCAGACUGUGGCCCCGAAAUAAAACUACCCAAAGGACAUGGGUGGCUUGGAGCACAUGGAGAUUGGCACAAGCCAGAUCGCGCAGAUUGUAACUACACCAGAAGGAGAGAUUGGCAGGAAUCUGCAAGAGACCCGAUGAGGGCUGUGAACAGGAUAAUGUGUUGCAAUAUAAAGUUAUGUACACCAUUCAGUCUAAUUCUGUCUAUAAGAAAUGUCAGAUAUGAACAUGAUGCAUUCCCCCCCUUUUUUUUCCUUUCUGUACCCCACCCCCGUGUUAACUUUUCUACAAAAAUAAAAAUUGUCAAAAAAAAAAAGCUGAAGCAUCUUUUGAUUCACAAACAAUUGUGUGUGUCUGAUUGCUUCUUUGAGUGCUCAAAUUUACAAUUUGGUUUCCCUUGAACAUAUCGUUGGGUUAUUUUUGUCCACAAUUUCGGUGCCUAAAAAGAGACAAUCCAUUCCAUUCGGACGAACUACUGGGAAACCGGAAGUUGUAGACUGUGAGUCUUAAGCUUCAGCAGGUGAGAAAAAUGUCUUUUCUACCUAUCUAGAUUCACUCUCUAUGUAGCUCUCUGAGUCCUAUGUCCAGGUGAGUAAGGAUUUAAAUAGGUCUCCUCCUAAAGAACUUUUUUUCUGUAGUAUAGUAUGUUCAGGUGGAAUGUCUUGUGAAAGAAUUUUUUUUUUUCAAAUCUUUUUAUUGUAGAAAAGGCAGUAAGAUGCUUAAAGCCAAUCUCUUACCCAUUUUUAAAAAUGAUAAAAACCCCACUGACAUAAAAAAUUAUCGUCCGAUAUCUUUAAUAGAUGUAGACACUAAGCUAUAUGCUUCGGUUUUGGCUGCCAGAAUAAAAAAACUUCUUCCAUUAAUUAUUCAUAGAGACCAAAUAGGAUAUGUUCCAGGUAGAAAUUCCUACACAAGUAUAAGGAAAAUUAUCAAUAUCUUGGAAGAUGCAAAUAGAAAUGAUGUUCCAGUUCUGACUCUGUCGAUCGAUGCUGAAAAAGCAUUCGACAGAGUCAGCUGGAAAUAUUUAGAAGCCGUUUUAUCACACUAUGGAUUGGAAGGUUGGAUUAAAAAAGCCAUAAUGGCGUUAUACGUCAAUCCAGUUGCACGGACUAUUGGACCUAAUAUUGUUGCCCCAUGGUUCCAACUAUGGAAAUGGUACUCGGCAGGGCUGCCCCCUUUCACCAUUACUUUACUUGCUGACUAUCGAACCAUUGGCUGAAAAUAUUAGGAACAAUAAAGAGAUUAACGGAUAUAAAAUAAUGGAUGAAGAUCAAAAAAUUAGUCUAUAUGCUGAUGACAUUUUAAUUACUCUCACAAAUCCUAAAAAUUCUUUAGAGCAUAUAAUGCAAGAAAUAGAGCGAUAUAGUUUUAUAUCAAAUUAUAAGUUAAAUACAAAUAAAUCUUUGAUAUUAGAUGUCAAUUUCAAUAAAAAGAUGCAACAAGAGAUUAAAAACAAAUAUGAUUUUAUUUGGGUUAAAGAAAGCAUGGAUUAUUUAGGAAUUAAAAUAACUAGAGAGAUAAAUAAGAUUAUGGAAGUAAAUUUUUUAACAUUAUUAUUAGACCUUAACAAAUGGUGAAAAGACCGUAGAAAUCUAGAGAUUACUUUUUGGGGACGAAUAAAUGUCAUUAACUCAUAUGUUAUACCAAAGUGGAAUUAUAUGUUUCAAAUGCUACCUCUCCAUAUUCCAAUCCACUGGCUUCAAUCAAUACAAAGAAGUUUUACUCAAUACAUUUGGAAAGGCAAGAAGCCAAGAUUGAAACAGUCAAUAUUGGUGCAGAAAUUACAUAAAGGUGGACUCGACUAUCCAUUUAUAAUGAAUAAUUUUAAAGCAGCUACUAUCCUACAUGUUUAUAGAAUGCAAAUCAAAGAAAAUAAAGACGAAGGAUGGUAUAAAAUGGAAAUGAAGGCAGGAGAGUCUCUAGCUUAGACUGCCUAAUUUGUAAUAUAAAUAAAACGUUAAAGAAAAAAGAGUAUUCUAGUAUUAUUUUAACUCAACUACUGGAAAAUUGGUCAAAAAUCAAAAAAGCAAUGAAUAUAGGAAAAAAAGUUCCAAGCUAUUUAGAGUUAGAUAUUGUAGAAAAACAAGUGGAAGAUUUAAACUUAAACAAUUGGAAAAAAUUAGGGAUAACGACCUUGGAUCAAUUAUUGAUAGAAUGAUCAAUCAAAACUUUUGCUCAAAUAACAGGUGUAUAUAAUCUUCCUUCUAGAGAGGUGUUUAAUUUUUUAAGACUUAAAAGCUAUAUGAAUACACACCUUAUAAUACCAAAAUCUAAUUUAAGCAACUUGAUUGAUUUAUUAUUCACGUCAAAAAAAAUUAAUAAACCACUCUCUAAAGCUCUGAUAUUAAUUAAAUCAAUGGCUAAAGAUACAAACCCUACUGCCAUACAGGUUUGGAAACAAGAUUUAAAUAUUGAUAUUAGUCUGAACCAAUGGGGUUCUUCAACGAUGGAUGUUAAGAAAAAUAUACAUUUAUUAAACUUACUAGAAACACACUUUAAAGUUUUAAAUAGGUGGUACUUAGUACCAGCUAAAUUGAACAAAAUUUAUCCCUUAAUUAAUCCUAUUUGCUGGAGAUGUAAUAAUAUUAGAGGCAAUUUUAGACAUAUUUGGUGGGAUUGUAAUAAACUAAAGAAUCUCUGGUUGAAAAUACAGCAUUUUAUAUCCAUUAAUUUAAAACUCGAGUUGAACAUUUCUCCAGAGGUAGUUUUGUUGCAUUUGAACUGGCCACAUAUGACAUAUGAGCUAAAAGCAAUUCUUAUACAUCUUUUUUUAGCUGCUAAAAUAGUAAUUGUGAGAUGGUGGAAAAAAGAUUCAGAAGUCCCCUGGAAGAAAGUUAAAAUUCAACUCAAGUUUCAGAUUAAAAUGGAGUUGAUGCUAAGUAAACAAAGACUAAGUAAUAAGGUUUCUGUUUGGUCAAAAUGUAUUGAGAUGAUUGAUGUAGAAAAUAAUGCUGAUCAAUUAGAAGUAGACUAAUUCCAUGAACAUUGCAAAAAAUAUGAGAUACAUUUAAAUGAAAUUACCACUCUGCUAUGGAAACUUUUUUGAUGUAUUUUCCUUUUCUCUCCCCUAUUUUGCUGCUAUGUCGUUUUGUAUUGUAAAUUUGUAUGAUAUAUGUAUUUGUAUGAUAUAUGUAUUUAAUAAGAAAAAUAAAUAAAAAUAAAGAUUAAAUAUUCAAAAAAAAAAAAAAAGGCAGUAAGAAAAGGCUCGCAGGCCUCCAUAAGAAGCAUUGUGGAAAGAUGUAUCACAAAGCAUUUGUCAUUCCAUUUUAGAACACAACUUAACAGACUUUGAAACAGUGCUUGGUUACAAUGGUAGUGUAAAUGCAUGGUAUAGUUGCAGUGUAUACAAGUAUGACAUGAGGGCAUUUUCACGGUGGUCACUCUAAGCCUAUAACUAGGCAUGUAUAUACAAUUAUUGUUCCAUGCUCGGUGCGUUUUCUCCUGUAUGUGUAUUUACUGCUUCCUUCCACCAAGUAUGGAGCUUAUUUUCCUAAAUCAGGGAUGAUUUGAACAAAGAGGGGUAAAGGUUGUUGGAAAAAGAAAGAGUUGUGAAAGAAAUCUUGAAAUCUUGAGACAGUAGAGUAUAUCUGUAGGGCUCGAGUUUGUCUGCCUUGUCAUUUGUUUUAUAGUUAGAGUCAGAAUCCUCCAAGGCAGAUCUCUGAUCUGUGUUUAAAUUAAGAAGACAAAGACUAUGAAAAUUCCACUGCAGUGGUCCUAAGUGUUUAAACACUGUUUGUAUAGUAUUAUCUUGGUUAAGGACGUAAUUACUCCUUACAGGUGUUCGAGAUGGGUGACUCACAAAGUACCCAGGAGGAAUUUACAGCUCUGACUAUAGCCAAACAUCAUUAAGGACAAGGAACUACUAAGACAAUAAAGAAAUUACUUAAGAAAGCUGGCAUGCCCACAGAGGGCCCCCUUGAACCCAGAUAUGGAAAGAAUUUAUGGCAAAUUAUAGAGGGUGGUAAGAGGAUAAUGACUUAGAAGAAGUUGCUCAGAAAUGUCAUGAUAUAGCGGUUGAAUUAACUAAAUGUGGUUGUAGAGAAACUACCAGGGUCCAAUGUUUUGGACCCUUAGGCUCCUGCAAUAAAAAGAAUCCCAAAAGGAAACCUGAAUAUCCACCCCUUUACCCAGGAAGGAAGGAACCGUAUAUAAAUCGGUCCCUAAAGAGAAAAUGAGAUCUCAAGUCCCUGUAUCCACUGUAAAUCCUAUUACCCAAAAAGGAAUACAGAAUCCACGUUGUGAAUGGACACACUCAUGGUGGAAAGAAAAAAGAUAAAAAGAAAAAGAAGCAGUAAGCUUUUGAAAGUAGACCACUAGAGGUUCAAACAGGUCCAAAAGGGUAGGAAGAGUAUAAGCCAUGGACACCAAGUGAACAACUAGUUCUAAUUCAACAGUUGCCAGAUGUGUAAGAAGCUCCUUUAGCUUUAGUUCAAUCCCUGUCCACUAUUCAGGCUACUUACCAAUGCACUUUGGCAGACCUAAAGCAAAUACUUGACUUGCAGGUCCUGUCCUCACUCGAAUCAUUGCCCAUUACACAGAUGUACAUGAGGGGAAUUUAAGGAAAGGUGGACAAGACCAACCGCUAAAACAGACCAAUGGUUUAGAUAUAAAUCAGCCUCAGGAAAAUCCUAUGUAACUGCUCUUAAAAAUUGGGCUAAAGUAAAAACCGAAGAACUGGCCCACAAGCUAGGAGAAAUUAUACAGGGGAAAGAUGAUUCAGUGGAAAAAUUCUUUGUCAGACUGCAAAUAGCUUGGGAGUCACUGGGCUAUACUGAAACCAAAGUAACAUCCACUAGAUUGUUAAUUAAUUGUUUCAUAGAUGGUCUCCAUGCUCCUAUAAGAACAGGACUCCAGAAUACUAGACCAGAAUGCAAAAGCCUUAAUUACAGUGAUUUAGUUAAAGUGGCUAUGGGAGUAGAAGCCAACCUAAAUAAUAGAAGAAGAACAAUAUACAAUGGAAACAUCAUAGCAGCUUUAGAUGCAGAAAAUUAGCACACCAUGGCAAUCAGCUUUAGAUGCAUAAAAAUGGCACACCAUGGCAAUCAAUUUUAGAUGCAUAAACCUGGCACAUCAUAACAACUUUAGGUGCAUACAAUUGGCACAUCAUGGCAAUCAGCUCUAGAGGCAUAAAAUUGGCAAUCAGUUAUGGAGGCAUACAACUGGAACAUCAUGGCAGCUUUAGAUGCAUAAACUUUGCACACCAUGGCAAUUGGCUUUAGAUGCAUAAACUUGGCACACCAUGGCAAUCAGCUUUAGAUGUAUAAACAUGGCAUGCCAUGGCAACUUUAGUUGCAUAAGAUUGGCACACCACAGCAAUCAGUUUUAGAGGCAUAAACUAGGCACACCAUGGCAAUCAGCUUUAGAGGCAUAUAAUUGGCACACUGUUGCAAUAAACUUUAAAUGCAUAAAAUUGGCAUAUCUUGGUACUUUUAGAGGCACACUUUUGGCAUAUUAUGGCAGUUUUAGAGGCAGAAACUUGGCAUAUCAUGGCAGUUUUAAAGGCAGAAACUUGGCAUAUCAGGACAAUCGGUUUUAGAGGCAUACAACUGCUUACUCACAGACUCAGGCAGAAUCAGAAGCGAUGUGUUCCACUCUUUCAUCCAGGCACCUCAUGUUGAGUAUCCCAGUGGUGCAACUAAUGUAGAGAGGGUCCUGUUGCAAUUAUCUUUCCUGGGAACCCCUCUAGUGCAAGUGUGGCCAAAAAAUGAAUCCCCAUCUGUUGGAGAACUUCAACAAUGCUAUGCCAGGGGGAUCUACCAUUUGCUCAUCGUUGCAGGGUGGUAUUUGUGAGCAGUGUUUGAGCAUUUGAAUGUAAGCAUGUUUUUGUAUGAAGUAUAUGUGUACAUGUAUGGUGGUAUUUGUACUGUUGUCAUUGGAAUGUAGUGGUGUACUUGUAUGUAGUUUUUGUGUCUGAAUAUAGGGGUGUUUGUAUGUAGUGUUGGACUUUAAAUGCAGGUGCUCUUUUGUGUGUAGUGUUGUUGUUUGAAUGAAGGUGUGUUUGUAUAUAAUUUUAACGUUUUAAUACAGGGCUGUGUUUGUAUGUAAUGUUUGUGUUUGAUUGCAGUGCAUGUGUAGUGGAUGCAGUGUGUAUAUAAAAUAUACAUAUACACAAUGUGUGUUUGAAUGUAAGCAUGUUUUUGUAUGCAGUAUGUGUGUGAAUGUUGGUGUGCAUUUGUGUGCAGUCUGUAUACCUCCACACACUGAAACACAUAUACAUAUACACACACACACAAAAAUACACACUGACACAGCAAUACACACAGGAACACACAAAAUUACACCUAGUUUCCCACACACAGAUACACAGACACUCAUGUACACAGACACACAUGGACACACAGAUACACAUACACACAGAGACAGGAGGUGAGGGUGACAGUGUGUGGGAGAGGUGAGGGUGACCGUGUGGGAAGGAGUGUGUGUGUGCUGGUGACAGUGUAGGGGCAGUGUGAGAAAGAUUGACAAUGUGUAGGAGUGAGAAAGGGUAACGAUGUGGGGGAUGAGAAAGGUUGACAGUGUGGGGUAGGAGAGUGAAAAAUGGUUACUGUGUGAAGGGGCAGGGUGAGAAAGGGUUACAGUGGGGGAGGGUGAGAAAGGGUUACAGUGAUAGAUGGAUGAGUAUAGAUGAAUGACAAUGUCCAGCUGUCCAUUGCCCUAUCCUUUACUUACUUUGACAUUUACACUGUCCGCCUAUUUAAACCCACUCCUUUAAUAAUUGCUGUCAUUUACCACCCUCUGGUCAUCCUAGGCUAUAUAUUGAGCGCUUUUCUUCCUGGCUACCUCAAUUCCUCUCCUCUAGCACUCCUUUCCUUAUACUUGGGGAAUCAACAACCUCACCUGCAGUGAUGCCUCUCGUCUGCUCUCUGUAACCUCCUCCUUUUCCUCAGGCAAUGGUCUAAUUCAGCAACCCAUACAGUGGGAAAUACUCUUGAUCUCACCUUCACCAACCUCUGUACCACCUCUAAUCUCUCCAAUAUUACUUUUUCUCUAUCUGACCACCAUCUGCUGACUUUUGACAUCAGCACACCCAAGACCCACCUGACACCACCCUCAGCACAUCAAUAUCACAGAAAGCGUAGUCAGGGAUGGAACCAAUAGUCAGGACAGGCAGCAGACAGGCAAAAACGAAUGACGAGCAGAGGAUCAAAAACCAGGAGUCGGAUUAACAGCCAACAGGAACAAAACGAUCUGACAAUGUGUAACAACCAAGGCGGGGUUUAUAUAGGGAUAUGACAGCCACUUAUCAGGAACAGGUGUGCAUGGUCCAGGCUUAGACACUAGGAGAACAGGAUACCAGGAACAACUAGAAACAAACAAAGAUGCAAUCAUGUCCAAGGUAAGGUAACUGACUAUCUCACUACUGCCUUUUGCAUCCAAGAUCCUCAAAUGACUUGUGGAUGCGAGAUUGACAGACUUCCUCGAGUCCAAUUCUCUGCUCGACCCACUUCAGUCUGGUUUCGGCGCUCAGCACUCUGUGGUGACGGCCCUGACCAAAGUACCAAAUGAUAUACUCGCUGCAAAAUCUUAUGGUCACUACUCUAUCCUAAUUCUCCUUGACCUGUCCCCUGCUUUUGAUACUGUUGAUCAUUAAUAGCUUCUUUUAAUCCUUCGUAAUCUUGGUCUAAGAGAUAUGGCUCUCUCCUGGUGCUCCUCCUACCUCACACAGCGCUCUUUUAGCGUUUCUCUCUCUGUUGGUACCCCCCAAAGUUCAGUCCAUACAUUGGCUUCCCGUAAGAUAUAUGGCUCAAUAUGAAAUUCUGUUUCUUGCUUUCAAAGCUCUACAUAAUGCUUCUCUCACCGAUCUAUCAUCCAUAAUACACAAGUAUGUCUCAUUUAGGCCCCUAGACUAUCCUCUGUUCAUACCUCCAUCUCUGAUACUCACAUUCAAGACUUCUCUAAGGCUGCCCUGUUCCUGUGGAACUCCCUUCCCUUUUCCGUUAAAUGCUCACCCAGUCUCCACUCCUUUAAAAAAUCAUUGAAAACUCACUUUUCCCCAAAAGCAUAUCAAUUAAACUUUUAAUGGCUCCAAAAAAAACCACACUAAGUCUGAAUACUAUUCCAAUCUACUCCAAUCGACUUCCCUAAUACUUCCCUUACCUUUUGUGUCAGUUUACUCUACAGCCUCUAGCAUGUAAGCUCAUUGAGUAGGGCCCUUAACCCCUUUGUUUCUGUGUGUCAAACUUGUCUGGUUAUAAAUACAUGUUUGUUAGUCCACCCAUUGUAAAGCACUAUGGAACUUGUUGGCGCUAUAUAAAUAUUAUAAUAAUAUACCUUUUCCUUAUCUCAAAAAACCUCAUGACUUGUUUCCUUCUAUAAUGUAAUGUAUUGAAUAGUUGUAUCAGCAGAUACUUUACUAAGCACUGUCCUAUAACCAGCUCAAAAAAUGUAAAAGUAGGAUUUUAAAGAUGUCUUGUUGACUCUUUGAUUGACAGGAAACCUAUGUCUUUGUCCUAUGUGUUGUUUACAUUUUGAUUGACAGGCACAUGUGGUUUUUGCUAACUUAAGCCUUUAACCAUUCCAUUGCUGAGCUAACCUUGUAGAAUGUCAAGAGUCUGCAAGAUAUGCUAAAUUGUAUAUAUUGCACAUUAAAUAAUCAUAGUCCAUACUCCACAGGGGAAACAUUGAAAAACACCACUAGAUGGAUAGCACUUAUGCAGUAUCCUUGUACAGGGAUGAGUUCCAGAAGAGCACGUCAGAGGCAUUGGCUUUCUUUUGAGCAAAUGCAUCAGCAGAGAUGGUGCAACUGAUUUGGAGAGGCAGAUCUGCCUUGCCAGCCAGACCUGAGCAGUGGCAGAUUGAGGAGUGCAGAAAUCUAGUUGCUGGACCUUGCAGUGAUGACGACACUGUCUUUGGAAAUGGUAAGCUGGAUUUUAGGGACCAGAUUCAAAGCAACUCUGGGACAAGGUCCUUAAGGAGAUGCAGGUACUCUGGAGAGAAUUCCUCCCAACUCCAGAACAGUGACUUCAGGAUCAAAUGGAUCUGUGAAUACCUUUCUGGGAGAGCAACCCCUGAAAGAUUGGGUGGUUGAGCUUGAGAGGCUGGUCUGGAGGGAUUUAUGGGUGGACAUUUGUUAUGUGGUCCAGAUAGCCAAUGAUGACCCUUCAGAGGGUGAGGACUAUGAUGGUCCUGGCCUAUUGUAGGAAGCAGAGGACUGAGUUCAGAAAACCUGCGGUUUUCUUAUUCUGGGACAUCCAGGAACUUAGAAGAAACCUCAAGAAUAUUGGUCAGGUAGGUGUGGAGGGAACUAUGUGCUCCACACCUAAAUCACAGGGAUGCUGGGUAGCCGGUGUGGCAAAACCAACCUCGCCACUGGGCAUUGGAGAAGCCUGUUUGCCCACCUCCUGCCUGCUGACUAUGGCCCCUGGGAGGUUUGGCCCUUUAAAUACAGUAUUUGGGCAUAUUGUAAUUUAUUGUGCUGUUGCUGGCCCUUUAAGAACCAUCUGGGGACAUACUAUGACUUUUGGGAACAAUGCCCCUUUAAGACUUUGUCCCCAGUGUCCCCAGACUGUUAAUAUACUGUGUUCCUGGCUUUAUUCCACUUGGUUCAGUAAAUGGGGCUUACUGAAGCAAGUACCACACAGGCGGACCACCCAGAAGGGGAAGUGUGCAGGCAAUUUAUCUCCCAGGCUGGGAGCCUGCUAUAGGUGAAUUGCCGACUGCUGGGUGGCCGUAGUUCGUGCAAACAAACACGUGGCGGCGGCCAUCUUUAAUUCAGCUGAAGUUUUACCUUCUCCAGACUUCAAUGCAUUCGACAAUUCGAACCCCAUUCGACAGUUCGAACGCCGUUCGACAGUUAAUUCGACAAUUCGAAUGGUUGUCGUUCGUUUGUUUGAACUGAAUUUAACAUGGGAAAUAGACCGGCCGCACAGCUUGAAUCUCUGGAACUGUUUUGGGCAUGAAAAUGUGCGUGAGGUCGGUCAUAAAGGGACUUCCAGCUAACUUUUUAACCCCUGGAUGGAAUUGGCUGAAUUAAAGUGUGCUGAGUUUUAAUAUGUAAUUUAUGAAGAUUGAAUGUAUAUUUUUAAAGAUACAGUGUAUGUGUAAAAAGUAUAUUUUUCCUGCCUGUGAUAAUUACUCAGUAAUUAUAUCAGAGGCAGAGGGGAGUGUUAGUGUGCAAUUGCUGGGAGUGUUUUAUUGUAAUGUACGUAUUUUAUUGGUUGUUUUACAAAACCCUGUGGGCGGUACUAUGUUUCUAAAAUGGGCAUAAAAGCAGAGUGUUUGAUUAAAAGCUUCAGUUCUACUUCACCCUCAAUUUGGAGUGCCGUCUUUUAUUGGGGGAAUCUGCUACAAGGGAUUGCUAUGCUCUGCAUAUUCCCUUGCUAUAAUCACUCCUAAGCUCUUUUAAGAGCUUGUUCCUGUUGUUCUCUCUGAAGGAGUCUACGGUGGUUAUGGUGUUGGCUGGAGUGCUUGGAGACCUCAGGAAGCGCUAGGAGCAUCCUUCAACAGAGGUACCCAGUCAGGGUGCCAGGUGAUCCGUUACAGCCGACCUGCCCUGCAGCACCAGAUAAGGAUUGAUGGAGUGGAAGUAGCUGCCCCCAAUAGCAGCAGAUUGCAACCCUGCGAUAGGAUGUAGAGGCAGCUCUCUACCCAGUAGCAGAUUGAGCUCCCAGCAGGGGAGGUAUUUGGCCUCCCUCCCCAGAAGCAGAUUUCAAACCAUAAGGUGGAGGUAGAGUUAUCUGGCUUCCCUCCCCAGCAGCACUUCACAACCAAUGAAGCUGAGGUUGUCGACUUCCCUCCCCGGCAGCAGAUCACAACUAAGGGAGUUUAAGUUUUCAGCUUCCCUCCCCCACAGCAGCUGGCAACCCUGCAAGAAGAGGUAGAGGUAGUCAAGCUCCCUCCCCAGAGGUCGAUUACAACCAAGGGAGUGGAGGUUUUCAUCCUCUCUCCCCAGAAGCUUCUGGCAACCCUUAAAGAGGAGGUAGAGGAAUUCAACCUCCCUCCCCAGCAGCAGAUCAUAAUCAAAAGAGUGGAGGAUUUCGGCCUCUCUCCCCAGUGCAGAUUACAACCAAGGACACCGAGGUUGUCAGCCUCCCUAGUAGCAGAUCUCAACCGAGGGAGCAGAGUUUGUCGGCCUCUCUCCCCAGUGGCAGACCACAACCAAUGGAGGUAGUCGGCCUCCCUCCAGGGCCGGCGCUACCAUAAGGCGGCACGAGCGGCCACCUUAGGGCGCACGGUCUCGAGGGGCGCAAAAAUGUCAGAGUGACUGGCGGGAGCACGGAGAACUCGGAGAAGCUUCCGCCUGUCAAUUUCUGCAGCAAUCUAAUCAGCUGGCUGGGAAACGUGCAGCCACUGAGGGAAAGGGGGCAGAGCAGCGAGGAGCAACCGCGGCCAAUCUCUUCCUGAGCUAUAGGCCGCUGGGAUACAUGACAUCAUAUCCUGGUGGCCAACUGCUGUGGAGAGAGGAGGAAAGCUACAACAGUGCAGCGGGACCUCUGUUUAGCAACUAUAAGGAACAGUAAGUCUGUGUGUGUGUGUGUGUGUGUAAGAGUUAGUGUGUGUGUGUGUAACAGUUAAUGUGUGUGUGUUAGAGUCAGUGUGUGUGUGUGUAAGAGUUAGUGUGUGUGUGUGUGUUAAAGAGUUAAUGUGUGUGUGUUAGAGCCAGUGUGUGUGUAAGAGUUAUGGUGUGUGUGUGUGUGUGUUAAUGUGUGUGUGUUAGAGCCAGUGUGUGUGUAAGAGUUAUGGUGUGUGUGUGUGUGUGUGUGUUAAUGUGUGUGUGUUAGAGCCAGUGUGUGUAUGUAAGAGUUAGUGUGUGUGUGUGUGUGCGUGUUAGAGCCAGUGUGUGUGUGUGUUAGAGCCAGUGUGUGUGUGUAAGAGUUAGUGUGUGUGUGUCUAUAAGCUGUGUGUGUGUAAGAGACUGUGUGAGUGUAAAGCAGUGUGUCUGAGAGACUGUGUGUGUGUUACAGCCAGUGAGUGUGUAUAAGCAGUGUGUGUAAGAGACUGUUUGUGUGUGUCUGUUAGAGCCAGUGAGUGUGUACAAGCCGUCCAAGUGUGUAAGAGACUGUGUGCGUUAGAGCCAGUGUGUGUAUAUAAGCAGAGUGUGUGUGUGUGUGUGUAUAAUGGUCAGUGUGUGUGUGUGUAACGGUCAGUGUGUGUGUGUAUGAGCGAGUGAGUGUGUCAAGGGGGUAAAGAAAAGUAGGAUGAAGACACAAAACACAUAAAAAAGAAUGCAAAAAGGGACACGAUAUACAAAAAAGGAAAACAAGAGAAAAAGGUGGUAAGAUGCACAAAAGGGGCAAAAGAAUUGGUAAGAGUGGCAAAAGUGGGAAUAUUAGACAGACAGGUGAAGAUAAAUUUUGGGGGCAGCAAAAUGUGUCUUUGCCUGUGUAGACAGAAGUCCUUGCACCGGCCCUGCCUCCCUCCCCAAUGAUAGAUUGCAACCCUGCUAGAUGAGAGAGGUAGUCAGCCUCCCUCCCCCAAAUAAAUAUGAUGGGAGAAUAUGAUUGCAGACUAGGGGAGAGUCAUUGUUGAUUUUAUUAACUGAGCAAGUGAAAACUGAUACUGAAAAAACAAAAACAUGAAAAUACUGAGAAAUAAAAAACUCAUAGGGUAUUAACCACUAACAUAGUAACCACUAACAUAGUAACUAGCUACUUUUAAAAAUGUAGUCAUAAGAGAGAGGAAUAUAAAGGCAUUUCACUAUCUAUUGACAUAGGCAGUACUUUUCAUAUAGUAUCUUCAAAAUAUCUCAAGAUGCGAAUACAUAGAGGUGUAUUUCCAAAUCACCCAAAAUUUUUAUAGCAAAAUUUUUCAUGCACUUUUCAUGCUUCAGAUUCCAUAUUUCUAGACUAGAUUAUAUAAAAAGAAUGAUAUGGCCACAAUAGUGUAUUACAGUUAAUACAUUUACAUUUUUUUAUUACAAAUGCACUUGUCAAAGCAGGUCUACUCUCAACGCCUCCUGGUACACCUCAAGAUGUGCAGCAUCCAAACAGUAAAUAACAGAUCUACAUGCCGAUGCAUAGAUACAAAUGUUAACCCUCCCAAAAAAAUAACACCCCCAAAAAAAGAAAAAAAUAAGAAGCAAUCCCAGUCUUAUGCCUUUGUCUAUAUCAGUGGUCGUAAACCUGGUCCCUACCACCCUCUAGUGGGCGUUUCAGGAUUCCAGGUGGGCGGUAGUGGGUUCUAUGGCCCAAGAAGAAUACUCCCUCCAUCCAGAGAGAUGAACGCUCUAUUUAUGCACGUACAAACGCGUGUGCACGUACAAAUGCGUGCGCAUGUACAAACGCGUGCGCGCGCAUACAAGUGUAACACAUGGGUAGAGGAAGGGGAGGACUUGGAGUAGGGGGAUUCACAGUAGCAGGGAGCAGAGUACUUCUAAAAUAGGAGAAAGAAGGUGCAGAGUACUUGUAAAAUAGGAGAAAGAAGGAAAAUAAAAAAUAUAGGAAGGAGAAGGAGAGAAUUGUUGUUGGCUAAUAAUAAUAAUAAGUGGACUACCUAGCUCAGCCUUCCUGCUGGCUAUUGCUGUAAGGAAGGUAGAAGAAAAGAAUAAAGGAAAAGGAGAAAAAAAAGGAAGAAAAAUAGAAAAAAGGAAAAACAAAGGAAGGGGGUUGGGUGGAAUUGAGGAGGGAGAGGAGGGUAGCUGGUGCAUGGAUGAGAAAUCAUAUUAUCAGCAAACAGAGAAACCUUCUGAAUAUCACCGAAGGAGGAGAACUUUGUUUGUUCCUUAUGAAAAUCGAACCAGAUAUCAAGUAUUUAGUCUCGCAGCAUCAACCUCAAGGAUCUCAUUAAUCACUAGUUAAAGGUAAUUUCAAUUUACUUUAUUGUUUUCUCAUUAAACUUUACAAAGUUAAAAACAUUAUAAACAUGCAUAAAGUACAAAUAAAAAGAUAAUUGAAUUUGUUUUUGUUUUUAAUACCCUCCUUUCUAAAAAAAUGUCUGCACUUGCGCUAAAAAAAAUAUCGGAAACUGGUGGGCGGUAAGGAAAUUCUUCCUUGAAGAAAGAUGCAUUAGUGGGCGGUAGGUAGAAAAAGGUUGACUACCCCUGGUCUAUAUGAUUAAACUUUCCCAGGUUCAAUUAACUGCAGCACAGGUUCCAAUUGUGGCUCACAGUCUUUAUAUUCCUAUUACCCCCACCUACUCGGCAUGCAUGGUGUCCAUUAGCUGAUUCACAGCCCUAUGCAAGUUGACCCUUCUCUUCAAAACUUGCAAAUACACAUGUGCUUAUGAAAUGUUGAAUGGGUAAGCAAAAAAAUGAUUGGACACAUGGACUUGACUUAACAUUUUUAAUUAUGAAUAGGAGGAAUAUGAAUAUGUCUCUAUCACCUCCAAAAUAUGUGGACAAUCCCAGUUGUAUGGGAUAAACUAUAUAGACAGAUUCCUAUUAAGGAGUUAACCCCUUAAGGUUCUAUAGAACGCACAAGCCAUCGUAUGUACUUACCCGGUCUCCAGCAAUCCCACACUGGCGAUCGCGGUGUGGGGACUCACCUGGGAGCCCAGGGAGCCCCCCUCCGUCUGUUACGGCCCUCCUGGGCCAUGUGAUAGCAAGGUUCUUGCGGGGACCUCACGAUCACAUGGACGGCAUAGCCAUCCAUAGCAAUGCCAGCAGGGGGAGUGCCUGUAAUGACAGGUACUCCUCCUGCUGCCUGUAAAUAGUAAAAAAAAAGUUAAAGUUACAGUUAAAAAUAAAAUAUAUACUUAGAUCAUAUAUAUAUAUAUAUAUAUAUAUAUAUAUAUAUUUAUUAUAUAUAAGAUAUAAGUAAAUAUCUACACAUAUACAUACAUACUCAUACUCUGUCUAAGUGUAUUUUAAUAUUAAUAUAUAUAUUUAUAUAUAUUAAUAUCAAAAUACACAUACAAUGAUAUUGAUAAUAUAUAUAUAUAUAAUAAUGUAAAUACGUAAAAAAAAAAUAUAUAUAUAUAUAUGUGUAAAUUCGUUCUAACUGUAUUUUAAAAUGAAUAUAUAUAUUGAUAUCAAAAUACAUGUAGAACGAAAUAAUAUAUAUAUAUAUAUCUAUAUACAUAAGUAAAACUAGUAAAUGAAGGCUUGCACUCACGGUCUUUUUCUUGUAUAAAAGUUUUCUUUCUUUAUUCCAUAUUUCUUAAAACAUACUUUCUGGUAGAAUCAACGUUUCAGCCAUCAUCCGUGGCUUUCAUCAGGAUCAGUUCAGCUUUUUUUUUUUUUUUGCUGAACUGAUCCUGAUGAAAGCCACGGAUGAUGGCUGAAAUGUUGAAUGGGGUAUGUCCAGUUUUUUUUUAGUAGCCACUUAGUCACAAACACGGGCCAAAUUUGGCUUUCAAAUUAGUUUUUUGCAUUUUUCACACACAAACAAAUAUUAACACUAACUUUGGCCAGUGUUUGUGACCGAGUGGCUACUAAAAAAGACUGGACAUACUCCAGUAUUUGUAAUACCUUGGAUUGUCUACUUUUGCAAAUGGUAUGCCAUCAUGGGGGUAAUUCUCAUUCCUGGGCUUCCAUACGGUCUCAAAGGCAACGUAACCAAUCUGGCAAAUUUCAAUGUGAAAAAACAGAAAAAUGUAACAUGCUAUAUUUGACCCUGUAACUUCCCAAAACACCAUAAAACCUGUACAUAGGGGGUACUGUUUUACAUGUGAGACAUCGCUGGAUACAAAUAUGUGUAUUUUAUUGCAGUAAAAACAAACAGUAUUAUGACAUUAACAGUUAAAAUGUCAAGUAGAACUAAAAAUAUUUUUAAAAUACUUAUUUUCUCCCAUUUUUUAAAAUAUUUUAUUCAUAUUAAAUUAUGUUUCAUAACUAAAUAUUUGAUGUUAAAUGAAAGCCCUGUUUCCCCUGAAUAAAAUGAUAUAUAAUAAGUGUGGGUGCAUAACAUGAAAGAGGCGAAUUACGCCUGAACAGACAUAUAGCGCAAAUUCAAGUUUUUGUUUUGAUCACAACGUGUACAUUUGGCUCAGUCCUUAAGGGGUUGAACAAAAAAAAGUUAAAACUGUGUAAAUAUACAUAUAGUUAUUUAGCAGGCAUUUCUGAAACGCAAUAUAUACACACAAUUGCUCUUUUAUCCUACAUUCUUCUGCUAUUUGUGACAUCUUUCAAAUAAAUAAAAACAAUAAAAUAUAUUGUGCUAUACUUAUUUAAAAGCAAAUAUUUUUGUAGUCAAUGUGAUAAAUAUUAAAAUGAAAAUAAACACUUUUCAAGCAUUGAAAGUUAAUAUGUCAUAAUUGGACAUUUAUUUGUAGUCUAUUAUAUCUCUUUGUAUUAUUUUUUUUUUUUUAGAUCCCUGAAUCUAUGUGCAAUGAGAGAUGCCCACCUGGGUACAGAAAAGCAAAUCUAAGAGAAGAAAUGUGCUGCUAUUCUUGUGUUCAGUGCUCACCUGGUGAAAUAUCCAAUCAAACUGGUAAGAACGAAUGAUGAUAGGAAAGGGGAGAAAGCUACAACUGUACUGGCUAAUUUCAGAGGUGAAUGUAGGAGUAUUAUUUCUGUUUUAAAAAAUCAAACAAAUUCAGGAAUAAGGAGAGUGCUGGCCUAUUGUGAGAGUGGAGCUCUAGGGGACCCAGUUUAUAACUGUGAAAAACACUCAAGUCCAAAUUUCAUUUCACCUCGCAGCAAUAAAAUGCUAUGGGAAUAUGAAUUUUAAAAGAAGGUAAGAUAACAAACGUAAAGGAAAUAUAAACAAUAAGGCUGCAUGGAAAUUGUACAUUAGUCCAUAAACUAUGAGGAGGUGACCUAUAUCUUUCCAGAAUAAAAUCUGGAAAAGAGUGCAACUUUGCAGAGCCAUCAUCUAAAAUACCAUUCAAUUAAGCAGAAAAAACCUGCAAUAAGGCUUGAAAAAAUGAAUAAAUCAAAGAACAUGUUGACUAUAUUGGACAUAAGAAAUAGAUAGAUUAAGUAUUACAAGAUUGACUUAAAAUGUUAAUCCAAGUACCUUGACAAUAUCAGUGAUUUGACGCAGUCCUUGUUGCCUGGAUUCUGUACGUGCAAAAUGAACUCCACCUCCGGCAGCAUCAUUGGGGCAUCAGUAGCAAGCUCACCCUCAUUAAAAUCUCUCCCCUUCCAGUAAGGGUACUGAUUUUAGAAUAAAGGAUUGGGCUGAGGGGAGAACUUGGCCUAAAGUUUAGCUUAAAGGGACACUCCAUACCCCUAAUGCACUUUAGCUUGCAGACAAGUUUUAUGUGUGAAGAGUGUGACCUCUUUUUUCAAUUAGCAUAAAGUACAGAUUUCAGUAGAAAUUUACACUUUUAUUAAUUAAGCUGGCUACCCCUUCUUCCCCUCCCCCACCCCCCUCAAUUAAGAUAAACUCAAGAGGCAGCAAUUGAGCACCUGUCUUGCAAAGAUUUCUUAUUGAGCUUCAUUGGUAAAUCUGUGAUUGGAAAGCCACAUAAAAUCUAGGAGGGCUUAGUAGGGGAGGGCUUGCAAAGGCUACAGACAAGUUAACUGCAGGUUUUGCAUGCUGCUUUUACAUUAAACCUCGAUGACAAAAUUGCAUAAUUAAAUGCAUACAUGUUGUCAUUUGGAAUAUAUAUUCUAAACAGCGAUUUUUAUUUAUUUUUUAUUUUGGCCGUGGAGUGUCCCUUUAAUUAUAUCCAUAUUUUUUUUUUAAAAAGACUGACUAGCACAGCAAGUACUUUAUGAAAAAACUAUGUUUUGGUUGGAAUAACCAUUUAAACGUGAAACUAUCAAAUUCCAUGAAUCCUGGGAUGUAAAGCUCUGCGGAACUAGUUGGCACUCUAUGAAUACCAAUAAUAAUAGGAAUAAUAAUAAUAAAAGAACAACUGUAUCCUCCCAGCAAGGGAGAAGGUAAAAACAGGGAUCAAGAGUGAUUAGUUCCAAAAACCUGUACAUCCCACAGUUCCAAUGGGAGAAAAAAACAAAAAAAACAUACUGCCCUAAGAUAAAACUUGUCUCUACAGGGGUGAGACAGAAAGUUCUUGUUCUGAGGUUAAACAAUAUAUAUAUAAAAAAAUAACCAGACAUUACUGGUAUUACUAAGGUAUACAUGUGUAUGCAAGUAGUAGUAACUGGAAUCUAUAGUUACAAAGAUCCUUGUAAAAUAAUAAGAAAGUCCUUGAUAACGAUGAUAGUUGUAGUAGGUAGUUCAAUGUAUUUCACCGAUUAAAGGACCACUAUAGUGCCAGGAAAACAUACUCGUUUUCCUGGCACUAUAGUGCCCUGAGGGUGCCCCCACGCUCAGGGUCCCCCUCCCGCCCGGCUCUGGAAAGGGGAAAGGGGUUUAAACUUACCUUUUUCCAGCGCUGGGCGGGGAGCUCUUCUCCUCCGAUCCUCUUCCGUUCCGCCCCGCCGGCUGAAUGCGCACACGCGGCAAGAGCUGCGCGCGCAUUCAGCCAGUCGCAUAGGAAAGCAUUUACAAUGCUUUCCUAUGGACGCUGGCGUGCUCUUCUCUGAAACUGCUAUGUUUAUUAAAAAAUGGGUUAACCCUAGCUGGACCUGGCACCCAGACCACUUCAUAAAGCUGAAGUGGUCUGGGUGCCUAGAGUGGUCCUUUAAGAUAGGUUCCAAGAUAUGAAAUGACAAUAAAUAACAGAGGGAACAAAUAAUAGUUUGAUAUUGUUUAUAACCAGUGCAGAAGCAAUAUUAUUUAUAAAAAUACACUCACAAACAAGAAGCCGUCUGUUGGCUUGAUUGUAUCUGCUUCUGACAAUAUAAUCCUUGUCACAGGAUAUUAGCUGAAGAAUCACAGCAAAGUCUUUGUAGGGACACUGGUAUGUCUUACGUUAUCUUCACAACAUACGCAUCGGUAUAAUCCCCGCUCAAGGAUAUAGCUUGUAAAGGAUAUUCCUCCGUAUUUUCCAAUGGGUAUAUAGUAAAAUAUAGAAAAAAGGCCAUUCAGUUACCCAUUUGUUGUAGUACUCUGGUGAUUAUGUCAAUUGGAGGCAAAACAGCCUCCUCUUAUUCCACUAUUUCAUAACACUAUUAAUAGAGCUCUGAGUGGGCUCUGUCGUGAGAGAGUUCACGGUUACCUCUCACCAGGGAAAACAUAGAUGCUACAGAAGAUUAAUUAUACUUAAACUAAUGUAUAUGAGAGAAUGAGUAGUUUUAUUUAUGUAUAUGUGGGAGACUAAACAAAUACAUGCAUACAAUAAUGUGGAAGUAAAAGACAGUUAAGGGCUGCGCCACAUGUAAUACGAUAAAAAAAUAAAGUAAAAUAUAAAAUAAAAUAAAUACUGUGAGUCUUAAAAUUGUCUCUUAUUCAGGAGCUAGUUUCAACUGUGGUUCCUAGGUUCUUUAUACUUGGGGGGUCUUGUUGUCUUUAGGCUCUGUAUACAGAAUAACCUGAUAGUGCAGUAAGUCAGGGCUAAUUAGGCCUGUUAUUAAUAAUAAUAGUAUUCCACUCGCAUUUAAGAGAGCUAUAACCAGCUCUAGUGUAGAUCGCCUAUAGUGGUAUUAUCCCCAUUUAUGUGAUAUGGUGGUGGUAGGUCUCGACUGGUAGUUGUCUAGAUGCUCAGAGAGAAAAUAAGAAUAGCCACAGAUAGUGCUCUCAGUAAGACAAUAAUAAUAGUGUUGAAUAUAAAAAUUGUACUUACAAACGUAGAGCAGGCUCACUGUUCUGUGGUGACUGCGUUGGUGGUAUAAUCCCCACCUAGGGUUUGCUUGGGAGUAGUAGCAGAUGAAGUUAAAACUUUGGAGAUAAUAAUAAUAAUAAUAAGUAAUAAAAUAUAUUAUUAUUUAAAAAGCCAGGAAAAAAUGUAUAAAUACAGAGGUAUUGGUACAAUAAAAUGUUGUAAAACCAAAGUCCUUUAUUAUAUCAGAUAAAAAAACAUAAUUUCCAUAACGCGUUUGGUCAUAACAGACUUUUUCAAAUGGGUUAGAGCAUGCAUCCUGACUAAUAGGCUUUAAAUAAGGUUAAGAUCAUUUAAAAAUGGUGCCAAAAUUGUGUGCAUCAAUCAUAGUUUAGAAUAAUAAUAAUAAUAACAUAAAAUGAAUAAAUUAACCAUUGGCACUUUAAAGUAUAGGUAUAAGAAGUGUUAAGUGAUAAUUAAGAUAAAAAAACUAGGGUGUUAUAGUGUUUAAUAUGUGUGGGGAAGGUGGUCAUGUGAUUCGCGGCACUUUGCCGCAUGGGAAAUGUAGUUUCCGGCAUUUUUUAGGGGCUUAGGGUGGCUGUUCAUUACAUCACUGGUGUGGGCGUGUGCGGCCGUGAAACUAGUGGAUGGUGCGCACUUGUUGAGGGGCGGUCCAUGAUUCGAGGCAUCUUCCAGCUUGGGAAAUAGAGUGGGAGUGUAAACAUAGUAGGAAGUUGGCGGUACAUACUUGGCGAGGGCCGGUUCUUAAUUUGCGGCAUUUUGCCGCUUUAAAAAUAUAAUAGGAGGGGAUAUUAAAUAUAAACAGAGUGGAUGUGAGUAGGCUGCAAAUGCAUCAGCAAUAUUGGGGGUGUGUGUAUUUCUGAUGCAUUUGCAGCCUACUCACAUCCACUCUGUUUAUAUUUAAUAUCCCCUCCUAUUAUAUUUUUUAAGCGACAAAAUGCAGCGAAUUAAGAACCGCCCCUAAAUGAUCUAAACCUUAUUUAAAGCCUAUUAGCCAGGAUGCAUGCUCUAAUCCAUUUGAAAAAGCCUGUUAUGACGAAACGCAUUAUGGAAAUUACUUUUUUUAUCUGAUAUAAUAAAGGACUUUGGUAUUACAACAUUUUAUUGAACCAAUACCCUUUUAUUUAUACAUUUUUCCUGGCUUUUUAAAUAAUAAUAUAUUUUAUUACUUAUUAUUAUUAUUCUUAUCUCCAAAUUUUUAACUUCAUCUUCUACUACUCCCAAGCAAAUCCUAGGGGGGAAUUAUACCACCGAUGCUUUCACCACAGAACAGUGAGCCUGCUCUUCGUUUGUAAGUACAAUUUUUAUAUUCAACACUGUUAUUAUUGUCUUACUGAGAGCACUAUCUGUGUCUUACUGAGAGCUCUAUCUGUGGCUAUUCUUAUUUUCUCUCCGAGCAUCUAGACAACUACUAGUCGAGACCUACCACCACCAUAUUCCAUACAUGGGGAUUAUACCAUUAUAGGCGAGCACAAUAAUAUUAUUAUUAAUAACAGGCCUACUUAGCCCUGACUUACUGCACUAUCAGGUUAUUCUGUCUCUUUCUCACCCACAUACGGAGACUAAAGACAACAAGACCUCCCAAGUAUAAAGAACCUAGGAACCACAGUGGAAACUACCUCCUGAAUAAGAGACACUUUUAUAUGUGACAAUUUCCACAUCUGGAAUAAGACUCACAGUAUUUAUUUUAUAUUUUACUUUAUCUUUUUUAUCGUAUAACAUGUGGCGCAGCCCUUAACUGUCUUUUACUUUUGUAUUAUCCUAUAGGGUUGAGAGGGAUCCCUUUUUUAGGGUUGAGGUCUUUUUGUUCAUUCUUCUGUGUUACUGAACGCUGACCCAUCUGUGUAUUUUUACUAUAUAAUAAUGUGGGAAUGCUCUGUGUAUAUAAAGUAAUACAAUGUGAGCAAGAUAUUACUUUGCUGCAGAGGGAUUUAGAUAGACUGUUGGACUGGGCACUCAAAUGGCAGAUGAAUUGUAAUCUUGAAAAAUGCAAAGUUAUGCACUUCGGUUGUAAAGAAUGCACAAGCACUGUAUACCCUUAAUGGAAACUAAUUAGGGAUAACAACACACGAAAAGGACUUGGGAAUUGUUAUAGACAACAAACUAUGCAACAAUGUGCAAUGUCAAUCAGCAGUGGCUAAGUCCAGUAAGGUAUUGUCAUGCAUGAAAAAGGGCAUUCAUUCUCGGGAUAAGAAUAUAAUUUUGCCUCUUUAUAAAUCACUGGUAAGACCACAUAUUGAAUAUAUUGUGCAAUUUUGGGCACCUGUUCUAAAGAAGGAUAUUAUGGCACUAGAAAAAGUGCAGGGGCGGGCUACAAAAUUAAUAAAAGGAAUGGAACAUAUCAGCUAUGAAGAAAUGUUAACAAAUUUAAAGCUCUUUAGUUUAGAAAAUUUUGCCUGAGAGAGCAUAUGAUAACAUUAUACAAAUAUAUUUGCGGCCAAUACAAAUCAGUGUGUGGAAAUCUAUUCACAAACCGGACUUUACAUAGGUCACAAGGUCAUGCGUUAAGAAUGGAAGAAAGAAGAUUUUGUCUAAGGUAAAGAAAAGUUUUUUUUACGGUAAGAACAAUAAGGAUGUGGAAUUCUCAGCCUGAAAAGUGGUUUUAUCAGAGUCCAUACAGAUGAUCAAACAGCAACUAUAUGCAUACUUGUAAAAACAGACUAUUCAAGGAAAUAAUUUUUCAAUGUAGGGUAAUACCUGCCUGAUACAAGGAUAAAUCUGACUGCCAUUCUGGGGUCAAGAAGGAUUUUUUUCCCAGUUUGUUGCAAAAUUGUGAAAAAAAGUGCUUCAAACUUUUUUUUUUGCCUUCUUUUGGAUCAACAGCAAAAAACAAAUGUGAGGAAGGCUGAACUUGGUGGAUGCAAGUCUCUUUUCAGCUAUGUAACUAUAUAUGGGAGGGUGCGGGUAUGACUGUAUGUGAGAGAGUGAAGGCAUGCCAGUAUGUCUGUGUGUAUUGGAGAGUGCAGAGUAGGAACAGUUAUUGUUGACAAAGUACCAUGGUGAUCAGAUGGUAGAUCUUGUUAAGAAGACUUCCAAUAGAUUAUAUUUCAUCUCAUGUCUGACCACCCAUUUCUUAAUCAAUUUUUAUUUUUAAUUUCAGAUAUGGAAAAUUGUUUGCUGUGUCCAGAAGAUGAAUAUCCUGAUGUUGAUCAAGUCACUUGUCUGCCGAGAACCAUAGAUUUUUUAACCUACC
RNAcentral lists this long non-coding RNA (155933 nucleotides) under Pelobates cultripes (western spadefoot toad). Lineage: Eukaryota; Metazoa; Chordata; Amphibia; Anura; Pelobatidae. The record is from RNAcentral.